GAUAUGUUAGGUAGUGGGUAAGUCAAGAAUAUUGGAAGGUUGAUACUUGGAUUAUGUAACAUUCAAUUAAUGUUAUUGCUAUAUUAAUCCUAAUACCUUUGUUUUUUACAAGAAUUUUUCAAGAGAAAGAGUAAAAAAAAAUCAUUAAAUUUCUUAAUAAAAAAUAAAAAAUAUUGAAUGCGGGCUGGCCUGCAAACCUGCGGGCCAACCCUUAUGUGGAGAGAGACGAAAAAUCUAGCCCGCACUCACUUUGCGGGAUGGGCAAACUCGACCCACAUUUUGUAGGCCAAGUGCGGGGUGGGCUGGCCGCCUUGCCAUCCUACUCUGAGGCACUGGCUAUGGAGUGAUCCUGACCUAGCCCUAGGUCUUGUGUCAUGCUCAUGAUCAUUCUUCUGGAAGGUUAGGCUAGCUUAGUGGGUCUUCUAUCUCUCAGGGCUUCAUCAAAUCCUGACUCCAUCUCAAUAUGUAUUUUAUGACCAAAAUAUUGUGAGAGUUGGCCUCACACAUAAAUAACGUGUCAUCCGCAAACUGUAGUAUACUCACUUCUAGUUUUUCACUCCUCACACUUAUACCUUUAAAUAAAUGUCUCUUACACAUUUGUCUCACCAUCCUUGUUAACUCUUUUUCUACUAUUAUAAAAAGAAAAGGAGUCACAGGGUCACCUUGUCUAAAACCACAUGUUGGUUUUAUUUUCUUUGUAGGACCAUUGACUAAAACUGAGAUAAAAAAUGAUUCCAUACAAGCCCUUACCUGUUUGAUCCAAUCACUACAUAAUCCUAGAUGACCCAUUUUAACGAGUGCCAUGCUUUCCUUUUUCCAUAUACACCCAUGUACAACUUCAUUAGCAACUAGGACACUAUCUAAUAAACCCUUGUCAUUUAGGAAUGCUGACUGUGUAAACUCAAUAAUCCUAGGCAACACAAAUUUUGAGUCUAUUUGCUAGAAUCUUGGAUCUUAGAAAUGCAUCCAACAAGAGAAAUAGACCUAAACUCAUCCAAUCUUAAAGGGUUUUCAUUUUUAAGCAUUAAGGUUGUGAAAGAGAAAUUAUACCCUAUUGGUAUGUGGUUGGAAUGCUGGAAAAGCUUAACAACCAGAAUCAUGUCAUGCUUUAAUGUCCCCUAAUUAUUCUUAAUAAACUCAAAGUUUAACCCAUUUGGCCUUAGGCUCUUAUCAUUCCUACAAUAGUCAACUGCCUCCUUGAUUUCCUUUCUUAUAUAGUCCUUUUAAUCAUCUGAUUAUCCUCACGUGGUAGAGAAGGGAAUUCUACAUUAUCUAAGUCUAUAGGAUAAGAAUAAGGAGUUAUGAUCCUGCACCUCCUUUUUCACUCUAUUUGGUUCUUCACACUAAGUCCAUUGUAUUUCAACCUCUUUCAGCUCAUUUUUCAUUCUCCUCCAUCUAAUCCCAGAAUGGUAGUAUUUAGUUUUAGCGUCUCCUUGCUUCAUCCACAUAGUUAUAGCUUUUUGGUUUAGAAUUAAUAGUUCUUUAGUUCGAAAAUCGUUUAAGUCGCUUAAUAAUUUGACGUGUUUCUCUUUCAUUUCGUCACCUAGGUUACUAUCAUUACCAAACUGAUCGAUAUGUUUUAGUUUUCACUCCAAUAAUGGUUUUGUAGUACUCAUGCUCCAAAAUAUGUCUUUGUCCCAGCUUUUUAAGUCAAACUUCAAUAUUUGAAGCUUUUGUUUGACCACCACUAGAGUAUUCCCCCUUUCAUUGUACGAAUUUCGUUUAUCCUUGAUCAUGGAAUUAAACUCUGGUUCUUUAUUCCAUACAUUGUGAAUCUCUAGUCCAUGUGAGCAACCAACAUUCAUCUAAGAUGACCUCAACAACAUAUAGGGUCAAAAGAGAUGUCCUUAGAAAACUUCUAAUUGCACUAUAGUAUUUUCCUUUAAUUGCAUCAGUAUCCCUCCCUUUUUGUUUGAGCCUAGGAAUGUCUUGUUGUUGUUAUCAUUUAUCCUACAACACCACACCAUAAACCUUCAUAGCUAAUUUGGGCUACAUCUUGGUUAUCUUGCUUAUGGUCUAAUUAGUGCAUGAGAAAAAAAUAAGAAGUAGUUCUAGAUAGGUAGAGAUAGCUAACAUAUAUGACCAGAUAAAGAGAAGAGCAUAGCUACAUAAGUUAUUUUAAACACUGACUCAGAUUCAAAGACUAAUCAGAAAAGAAAAACGGAUAGCAAAAUAAUUACUCUUCAACCAUAGCCAAGACAUAAGUUGGGGCAUAUGAAAAAUUUCCUCAACUAUCUACUAUCCAUUGUUGAAAGGCAAUUGUAUUUCUAUAACCCAUAAAGUCCAAACAAUUGGUGUCUACUUACCUUUCCAUAUAAGAUUUUGUUUAUGAUUUAUAAGGGGGAUAUAAAGUUGAUCAAAAUGAUUAUGAAUAUUAUUGUGUCGGACAAACUGAAUACCAAUCUAGCUAAAGUAGGAAUCCCAGAUAGCCAAUGCUAUUUCACAACCAAGAAACGAGUGAUUUACAAUUUUUUGUUAAUUUUUUUCACAAAAGUCACUUCAAAUAAGUUUUUCACAAAUAAAUAAUUGCUACAGUAUAGUCUAUAUAUGUAGAAUUUUGUUUGUAAUUUGAAAGUGACAAAAAUACUUUGUAUUGAAUCUUAUCACGUUGAGAAUAAGAAUGACAUUUCACCUACUCAGGCCUUCCUAUUGGUGAUAAUCCAUCUAGGUAUUCCUUUUGGGAGCCUGUGCUAUCAAAGAUCAGACAUAAACUUUCGGUGUGGAAAGGGAGAAACCUAUCCUUCGCGAGAAAAGUUUGUUUUAUAAAAGUUUUCAUUAAUGUCAUACCUCUGUUCUUCUUAUCCUUCUUUAAAUCCCUAAUAGGUGUUUGCAAGGAAAUUGCAUAGUCUAGCUGGGAGAACAUUUGUAAAUUGAAAGAGGAGGGCAACCUUGGUAUUAGGCACAUUGAUCUAUUUAAUAAGGCACUUUUGGAAAAAUGGUUAUGGGAAAUGGGAUCCCCUGAGACUGGCCUUUGGAAGGAUGUUCUAGAAUCGUAGUACGGAUCGUGGAGGAAGGUAAAUUCAAUUACAUCGGAUCGAAAUAAGUACAAAUCUAGAUGGUGGAAUGAUUUAUCCAAAGUAAGCCUAUCAGAUAAGGGAAGUAGAUGGUUUGCUUCAAAUGUGGUUUUUGGCAAGUAGGAUCUGAAUCAAAGUUCAAAUUAUAAGAAGACAAGUGGCUAGUCAACACUCUACUCAAAGAGAGAUAAUCCAUAAUCUACAAUAACUCAAUGCUUAAAGAUAAACCUAUUGUUAGGUUCAGAAGAUGGUAUAGAAAGGGUUGGGAGUGAAUUUUUUGUUGGAGAAAAGAGUGGUUCGAGUGGGAAAAAUCUAUGGUAGAAGAUUUUAUGGCAAGAUUAUCACAAGUUUCCCUACAUAGAGAUAAGGAGAAUUUAUGGUUAUGCAACAAUCCCCUCACUUAUAGAUUCUCGGUAAAAUCUGCCUAUACAUAGUUAGAAAAUCUUGGAACUAGGGGUGUAUCUACAUCGUUUGCAUAUCUUUAGAAUCUAAAGGUUAUGCCCUCAGCUCAGUAUUAUGUGUAGAGGGCUUUAUUGGAUAAGAUAGCAACUAAGAAGAACCUGCAUAAAAGGGUUUUAUAUUGAGGGAUAUAUUAUGCGCCCUAUUUGGGAGAGAAGAGGACUUGACAUCACACAUUCUUAUUUCGUGUAAGGUAUCAAUUACAGUUUGAAAUAUGUGCUAUGGCUUGGGAUUAGUUUGGUGAAUCACAAUGUGUUGGUUAAUCAUUUUGAACAGUUUUCAUGCAUUUGCUUUAAUAAAGAAAGUAAUGGUUUGUGAAAAGUUCUUUGAGUCUCUGUCAUUAUUUGGAAGCAUAAACAAAGAUAAAUGCUGAGGAAAUUUUUACCAUGGCACAAGUCUAAUCAUGAACAUGGAUGAAACAUAAAGUUUGAAGUCCAAAUUCUUCUUAAUCUGCUUUAACAUGAGAAAAAAUGAUCUUUGCUUGAGUAUUAACUUAUUGUUUUUUGGUGGUUUUGAGUUUAAAAUCUGUUUUAAGUGUUAUUUUGUUGUCAAAAAUUAUUGUUAUGCUACAUUAUCUUUGAGCUGGCUAGAGGAGUGGAUGGUCGAGAGAUUUUUGGUGUAGGUUACGAUGUAGUGGUGCAGGGUGCUUUGGGGUGAAUGAAUGAUGCAUAAUAAAAUAUGGAACAAGGCAAGAUGGUGUUUGGCUUACCUUUGGCAAAUUCUGCAAAAGGGCAACAUAGGUGAUUAUAUUGAGGUGCUGGAUUAUUAAGGACAGUUCAACAACGUUGUCUUGCGGCCAGUGGAGGCAAUUCUGCUCGUUCCAAAAAGUUAUCCUUAUGUGGAAACGGAUGUAGGGACAUAUACGAGGGACUUCAAAAGCGUCUUCGUGUUACAAUGUUUUUUGCUGCAGAGAUGUAACAGUGGUGUGGAUUAUGCAGAGUAUUUAUAAAGAGCUCAAAACUUCAUGCUUUUGGAAUAUUAGGCAGCAAAGGCCAUAUUCUUGUUUAUGGAAGCAAGCCAGAAUAACACUGGUUUAGGAGCAGCUACUUUUCUGGAUAUUUUAUAUUUUAUAAUUAUUUUCAAUAAUUUCAAUUUCAUUGUUUCUCUUCAAUAUCUUUAUUUUUUCCCCAUCCGUAACUUUUAAAAGAUCAAACUUAUUUUAUAAAAAUAAUUUCAAUACAAUUAAUAUGUUUAGUAAAAUCGAGUUUCUUGGAUAUCUAAAAUUAAUUUAAUACAAUUAAAUUGAAAAUGUACACAAAUUACUAGUCUAAAUAAAAAAGGUUCCAAAUAAAAUAUAAUUUCUUUUUUUACUGCAACAACUUUAUUAUUUUAUUAUCAAAUGUUAUCCAAACUCAUAAUUAUUAAUUUCAAAUAAAAAAACGAGAGAUGGUGAAUUUUAAUAAUUUUAGAUGUUGUAUGAAUAAACCUUAUGAUAGAUGAAGGUAUAUGCAUCUUAUGGUACGUAUAAUAUCUUGAAUAUAAAACAAAAAAGCUAUGUUUAUACUUAAAAAAAACCUUACUUGUAAAUUGAAUUUUAAUUCAAAAUAGAAAUAAUUAAAAGUAAUUUUAUAUCAUAAAACAAACUAUUGCUGUCGUAGAUCCAGAAAAUAUUUAUUUAAUCUUAAUUUUAAUCAUAAUAUAAUUUAUAUAUAAAAAAAUAUUUUUAAUCUUGAUUUUAAUCAUAAUAUGUUUUUAUCCUAGAUAUCAAAUAGUGGACAAUAAAUUCUUCAAUUAGAAAAAGUAGAAAGACCACCGUUUUUAUACUAUCUUAAAGGCAAUUCUCUUUCAGAAAUAUGACCUUAAAUUGACUCACUCAGUCAUAGUGAGAAACCAAAUAUCUCAAUUCACAAACACUUUUAUUUCUUACAUACUUCUUCUACAACAUUCAAUUCAUAUAUAUUAGGUUAAGCCACCUUUUGGCCAUGCACAAAAAUCAUGCAUUCAUGAUUAUGUCAACAUCAUGCUUAACAACACCCACUCAUUCUAAUAUAGAAAUUGGUAAAUGUAGGACAAUAAAGAAAAUGCUUUUCAAUAUAAUUUACAUGAUGUAGAAGAGAAAACAAUUUUUUCCAUUAAUGAAAUUAGUUUAUAUGUAUUAAUUAAUUUGUAAAAACUCUUAUAUAAAUAUGUCUAAGGAAAGUAAAUUUUAUAAUAAUCUUGUGUGCAUGAGCGAGAUAUGUGUGUGCGUGAGUGUGCAUGCGUGUGGGAGUUUGUGUGGAUGUGUAUGUGUACGUGCAUGUAUGUAUGUGAGUAAGUGUGUGAGUGUGCGUGUGUGUGAAUGUGCGUGGUGUGUGUGCGUGUGUGUAUGUGUGCACGUGUGUACGUGUGUAUACAUGUGUGUAUAGGUUAAUUUCAUAAAAUAGAGUCAUUAGUGGAUUUUUAAGAAAAAGAUAAGUUACUUAAGCAAAGAAGUAUCAUAGUUAGUUAAGAAAGAAGUAUGUAACUAUAAGUUAGUAGGCUAAUAUCACUACAAAAAAAAAUCAGUAUUAUUUACGGAUAUUACCUAUGAAUAUUAUCUAUGGACAACAUUACUUACAGAUAUUAUCCACAAAUCUGAAUCCAUAAGUAAAUUCAGUAUUAUCUAUCAACUAUUACCCACAAAUCUCUAUUACCUACCAACUAUUACCUACCAACUAUUACCUACGGAUCUCUAUUACCUACCAACUAUUACCCACAGAUCCCUAUUACCUACCAAUUAUUACCCACGGAUCUCUAUUACCUACCAAUUAUUAUCAUAAUUAUAUACAUACACUACAAGAAAACAAAGAUUUACGUAGGCAAAAAAUGGACGCAAAAGGCCAAAAACUGACGCAUAUGCAUCGGAUUUUCGUUGGCCACAGUCUCGACGAAAAAACCUUGGAAGCAAAUGGAAACUAGCGUGGGCCAGCGAAUUGGACGCAAAUCGCAUAAUCUGAGUGGACGCUCAAACGACACAUAUGCAGCGACUUAUGCGUGAGCCAAACCCACGCAAAAUGCCUAUGCGUCGGGUUCCGCUGACGAAAAUGAAAUAUAUAUAUAUAUAUAUAUAUAUAUAUAUCAGAGGUUGCGUGGGCCUAACUCACGCAAAAGCCGGUGCAUAUUAAAAAAAAAAGUUGGCGUGGGCCAAAGGCCGACGCAUAAAGGGAAGAAAAAAAAACAAUUUAUUUUGUUUUCUAGCCAGUUUAUCUGUAAAGAAUAAAUAUCAACCAAAUCACAUUCAGAAAAAUUACUAUCAUUCACAAUACAUCCACAAACACAUCCAAAGUACAAAAAUAAUACAAAUAGUUAAACAAAGUAUUUGAUCCAUUCAAAUAUUCAAAAUUAUAUGAAUACUUUAAAAAAUAUUACAAUUAAAAUUGUACUUUACAAAUUUAACUAAAAGUAUCAAAAUGAAUCACAUAGUGAUGUGAUAAACCUGUAAAAAAAUACAAACAAUAUAAAUAAAUAAAUGAAAUAAUUAAAAUACUUAGUAUAUAAUAAAAAUGUCAAAUAGUUAAACUUACACUAUAGGAUGCACUUUAAGGAACAGGUUGAUCAUCCUGCUCUGGAUCAUUUAAACACCCCCACGUCACUAAAUAAACUUUAUUCUUUGCAUCAUCAAUAUUUUUUUUAAACACUACAAAAAUUAAAACCUUCAUAAUAUAAUUCAUUAUUAAAACAUAAUUAGUGGGAAAAGAAUAUCACAUAACAUCAAAGAUUCUACCAUAGGAACUAAUCUACAUUUUCGUGUUAUAAUUGAAUUCUUUUCUAUGUAAAUUACAAAAGCUUACAUGAAAUUGGUGGAGUUGCCAUAUAUAUUUAUGGAAUCUAUUAUCAAUUUACAUUCAUUUUUUUCUCUGUAAGUGGGAAACCAUGGCCUUCCCAGCUACUAUUGUUAUUCUUCCUAUUGGCAUUCUUUUCAUCCUUUAGGUAAAUAUUAUUCAGAUAACAUAACAUUCACAUAAAUAUAUUAUUAAUUUACAAACUUUUAAUAUUUUUUUCAAAAAUUUUCUCUCUAAAUAGUAUGUUUGGCCUAAACAUUUAAAUUUUUCCUAUAAAAAUAAAUAUGUUGAAUAUCUUGUAAUAUAAAAUAUGUUAGAGUAACUUAGAGAUUAUAUCUUUAGAUUAGUUUUCCUUUUUGUUUUGGAAAGAUAAAAUUUAAAUCAAAAUCUAAAAUAAAUAAAAUUCCUAAAUUAUUAAAAAAUCUAAAUAAAUAAAAUUUAAAUUAUUUAAACUAUUACAUGGAAGUUAGACUUACCUUUAGUUGUCUCUACUGGAAGAACAAUUUAGUAUUGACAAGGGUCUAAAUCUACAACUACAACAAAGAAAUAAAAAAAAAAGAGAAUCGAGGUAGCAAAAUUGAAGCGAAUUAGGAAAACAUGUGUAAAUAUGUUUAUCAAAAUAGAUAUAAUUAAUUCUUGUUUAACAAGUUUAGGAUCUAAUAUCAAUUUUACUAACGAGAAAGAAUUAAUUCUAGUCAAUUAAUUUGUUUUGAUGCAUGAGAUUGGGUCACACUCAAUAAUCCAAACCAGUAAUCAAUAUACCAGCAACCAAUAUACCAGCUUAAAAAUCCAAAUAAAAGAUCAAAAAAAUCUGAACCUUUAAAUGGAGUGACGUGGAGGAGGCGGUGACGCCCAACCAGUGACACAGAGGAGGCGGUGACACCCAACUAGUGACGCAAAGGAGGCAGUGACGCCUAGAUAGUGACGCGGAGGCAGUGGAGGAGGCGGUCACACGCAGGCACACGGAGGAGGCGGUGACGCGGAGGAGGUGGUGGACUCUCCCAGAGCAGUGACGACCUUGGAGGCAGAGCUGAAGAACGACGAAAAUUUUAGGUUUUCAAAUUUGGGGCAAGUUCUGUGAGUGUUGGGAGAGCGGGGACACAUUAAAUUUUAUAUAUAGUCCCAGUAUGCGUCGGCCACAUCCGACGCAUACUUUAAAAUAUUUAAUUUUAACUAAAUUUAAAAUCGAAUUCAAAAUUUAAAAAAUAAAUUAAAACUUUUUUUAUAUAACAAAAAAAUUUAAUUUAAUGUAUAAAAAAAUUUAAUUUCAUUAUACAACAAAAACUUUUUUUAAUUUAUAAAAAAAAAUUUAAUUUAAUUUAUACAAUAAAAAAUUAAUUCAAUUUAUACAAAAAUAUUUAAUUUAAUUUAUAGAAUAAAAAUUUACUUUAAUUUAUACAAAAUAAUUUGAUUUAAUUUCUACAACAUAAAAUUAAUUUAAUUUGUAAAAAAACUUUAUUUAAUUUAUACAACAAUAAACAAAUUUAAUUUAUAUAAAAACUAAAUUAAGUAUAAUUUGUAUGUGACAUAACAUCUACUACCACAAAUAUCAAUGAACCUUAUUAUUGAAAUUGCUCAUGAUACCCUCAUCAUCCCUUCUAACUUAUAAUUCAAAAUCUAAUAAUCAACUACAUUCCAUUAUUCUAAGUUAAUUCUAUAUACUAUCACAAAAUGACUCAUAUUUCUCAAAUUGCUUAUGAUACUCUCUUUGAGCCUUUACAAUGUACUUCUUAGUUCAACUCUUACCUUGACAAUGGACUAGGGUUAUUAACCUAUAAUCCAAAAUGUAAUCAUGAACUCUAUUCCAUGAUUUAAAGUUCAUUCUAUAUCACACCCAGUCAAAAUUUACUUAUUUAUGUUACAUUUAUUAAGAACUAAGUCUACUAAAAUUACUAUGUCAAAUACCUAUUAUAAGGAAUAUUGCAUAUGUGUCAUCUUGUUACUUAAAACUUACUACAUUAUUAUGUGCUUCAGUUGGAAAAUAUCAAUUUCUUUUCGAGAUCAUACUCAGUAACUAUACCAAUGGCAUUUAUAGAGCAUGUAGUCAACUUUGGAACACUUUGGAUAGUGUAGCAAUUUAACAAUUAAGAAUAAGUUACUUACUCACACACUUAGUCUUUAUGUUUGUAUCAUAUACAUUUUCGCUAAUUCUUAUGCUUCAUUUAUGAGAAGUGACAUCUUUAAAAUUAUAAUGAAUAUCAAAACAAAAUUCCUAGUUCAUUCAUCCAUUGCACACAUAUAACAUUUAAAUUUAUUUAAGUUACUAAUCAAAAGUUUUAUCUAACUUUUUUUUCUUAAGCCAAAUAAAACAUUUUUAGAUAAAAUUGACUCUCUAUUUUUAAAUACAUCCAUUACAUUUUGAAUUAAUUAAUUACUUCAUAUUAAAUUUAUAUUCUUAAAUUUAUGUAUAUUUUAUAUAAUAUUUAAAAAAUUUAAAUACACAUUUUUUUUACUAUUUUUUUCUCAAUUAUUAUUUUUCUACAUGUUUUCAAAUCUUUAUAAACCUUUUAAGAUAACUUCUUUUAAAUAAUUUCAAAAUUAAACACUUCAUCAAUUUAAUAAAUUUAAUUUAACUAAUUUAUAGUAUAAUUUCAAAAAUAAAAUAUUUAUGACAAUAAAUAAAUCAAAUAAAUUUAAAAUAAAUAAUCUUUAAAAUAAUAAAAUAUUUUAUAUAACAUUUAAAUAAUUUAAAAAUACAUCUUUUCUUUUCCUCAAUUAAUUUUAAAUCAAACACUUAAUAAAUUUAAUUUAACUAACUUAUAUUAAAAAUUUAAAAAUUUAAAAAUUAAAUAAUUAAAUAAUUUAUUAUAAUAUUAAAGAAAUAAUUUUUAAAUAAAUACAAUAAAUAAUUAAAUAUUAAAAUAUUUUUUAUAAUGUUAUACAUUAAAUAAAUUUAAAAACCUAAUAUAUAAACAUGCGUGGGCCGUGGCCGACGUAAGCCGACGCAUACAUUAAACUAUGCGUGGACCGCGACCGACGCAAAAUGAUUUUUUUUUUAAAAAAAAAUUAAAUCUGUUUUGCGUCGAUUGUCUUCAAAAUUAAGUUUGCGUGGGUUUUACGUCUGUUUAGCCGACGAUAUUCGCGUUCACAGUUGGCCCACGCAAAUAUUUGGCAGCUAAAUCCUCAUUUUCUUGUAGUGAUAAUAUUAAAAAUAUUAUUAUAAUAUAAAUAAAUUAUAAAAUCAUAACCACAAUCAUAAAUAAUAAUAAAAAUAAUAAUAAUCAUAACUAAUAGGUAUACAUAUUAUUAAUAUUAUAAAAUUUAUAAUACUAAUAUAAUAAUAUAAAUAUUAUUAGUAUUAUAUAUUAAUAAUAUGAAUAAUAUUAUUAAUUAUAAUAUUAAUAAUAUAAAUAAAAAUAUUAAUAUCAUUAAUAUUAUUUAUAGUAUUAAUAAUAUUAACAAUAUUUAUAAUAUUUAAUAAUACUAAUAAUAUUUAAUAAUAUUAAUAAUAUUUAAUAAUAACUAUACCUAUCUGGUGCUACUUCCCCCCAAAGAAAACUAAAUAUAAAAGUUCAGAGCUUUUAUGGCUCUGAUACCAAAUAUAAUUCAGUAUCAUAUUCACUAUCAUAUGGAUCAUAAUAAAAGAAGUAAUAGAAGAAGUAAUCAUGAAGCAUGAAAUGGAAGAACUUAACUUAAUAAAUGAAUAAGAGAUAUUGUAUUGGAAAAAACUAGAAGAAGAUUGUAAAAGACAUACUGAAAUCAUGAAGAAAGUUGUUCAAAAACAAGUUUAUUUCAUAAAAUUUCACACAAGCUUCGAUAAUACUCACUACUCAAUUCUGUCAUUCUCAUCUUGAAGGGCUUCCUUAUAUAGGCACACUAUAUUACAUACGACAACGAGUGCUACAUUAUUGUUCAGACAAACAAACAUUCAUAUUCAAAUUUGAAAUAAUUAUUAUCUUGAAGAAUCUUCUGGUCAAUGUUGUUUUCUUUAAAAGUCUUCUGACUUCAGUCACGUCUACUGUUACUAGAUGCUCCUUCACUAUCGUCGGAUGCUCCUUCUACUGUUUUUUAUUUGCCUGAGCGAGUUGGACAAAAACCAGUCUAACGUCUUUAGAGUGAUCUCGCCUAGACGUAACUGAGCUUGCUUGGACGAGAUCCUCUGGCAACUUUUAGCUUAGACGAAUUGGGACGAGUGUUUACAGCUUUCAAGCUUUAUCUUUUAUAUAGUUGUUGUUGCAAUGCUUCCAUAACAUAGCAUGAGAGACAUAUUGAUAAUGGAUAUUUGAAUAAGAUAUAAGGAUCAAACUAUGAUUUGCCAUUUCAAAAUUAUUUAUAAGUCUCUCUUAAGAUGUGAAAGCUUCGAAAACUAAGUUGUGGAAGGAGCAAGAAAAAUAGGAUAAAAGAAAGAGAGAGAAAUAGAAUAGACAUAAUAAAUAAGUGUGGCAAAGGCUUGAAUACAAGAACACGGUAAGGUCCAAAAUGGAAUAGAUGACAAUAUAUAUAUGCAUUCAUAUUGGGGAGGAUGGGCUAGUAACAAAUGUGGGUAUGUAUUGUCAUCUAGUCAAGAAAUCAAUGAAGAAAACAUUGAGUAAACACAAUAUUUGAUAAAACAUGAGAAAUUCCUAAUACAUUACAAUAAAAUCAUGAAAUAUAAACUAAUUUUAGAAAAAUAAUAAUAAUUAGUUGUUAUAGUAACUAAAUUAGAGACAUUUUAAAAAUUAAAAAGAAAAUUGGUAUUUAAAUUAGUUUAUAUUAUUGUUAAAUAGUUUCUAAAUUAGUAUCUAAUUAGCUAUCNNNNNNNNNNNNNNNNNNNNNNNNNNNNNNNNNNNNNNNNNNNNNNNNNNNNNNNNNNNNNNNNNNNNNNNNNNNNNNNNNNNNNNNNNNNNNNNNNNNNAAAACUAAUAUAUAUAUAUAUAUAUAUAUAUAUAUAUAUAUUCAACAAUAAGUUAAAUAAGUUAAAUUAAAAUAAAACACUUUAAAGAUAUCUAUAUUUCUUAGCUAAAGCUAAAACCUACAUAAAAGUAUUUAUAUAAAUUAUUUGGCACACCUCAACUUUCUUGAAAAAGUAAUAGUUUAAAUUUAUUAGACAAUAAUAUAUAUAUUCAAUCACCGAUAUGAAGUAAAAAAGGGAAUACAAGUCACAUUUUUCAUUGUUAAGUUUAAAGUUUGUGUGUAUAUUUAUGUUCCUCACACUUGUUUUUGGGUCCGUAAGAAUUAAAAUUGAUGGGUGCAGCGUUGGCGUGAUCCCCUGUGAAUAGCGUGGAACAUGAUUAGUUAUAUUUUCCAUUAAGUUAUGAUACGAAGUUCUUGAAAUUUGAAGUUGAACAUGUUUAGUAUUAGUGAAGAGCGUGAUUAUGCUAGUUCCAAAGAGACCUUCUCAAUCAACACUUUCUCUAAAAUUCUCCUACAUUUUUCAUCACAGAUAUAUAUUAAAUUUUUAAUGUAAAAUAAGUAAACUUUAAAAUCUUCAAUUAUAUAAAAAUUAUGAUGAGACUUACCGAGUAAUAAAAUUUAAUACAGCCCCCAAAAUGGAUGGCAUGUGUGAGAAACAUUCAUACAAACAGUGAACAAAGAACAAGUCAAUGAUUAGGCCUUUAUCUUAAUUAAUUACCACUUUCCAAUCAUUUCCCUUCCUUCUCUCUCAUGCUACCCAAUUUCGAAUCAAAAAAAAUAAAAAUCGACUUUCUAUAGAUUACGGUUCAGUUUAGAUUCAAUUUUUUAAACUCAUCCAUGUAUGACCUAAUCAAAAUAUUGUCAUUUGAGAAAUGAUAUUGAAAUUCAAUAAAAACAGUAUGCGUAAAUUUUAAAUUUUAAUUUUCAUAUAAUCAAUUUUACUUCAAAUUUGGUAAUAAACCACACAAAACUGUAUAAAUCUAUUCUAAAAAUAGUUAUUGAAAUUAUAUAGAAGUUUUUUUUUCUCUAAAUGGUUAAUAUAUUUAUUUAUUUAUUCAAAAAAAAAGUUUGGUCUAAUAUAAAUCAAAUUCAAAUAGCCUACUCGCAUUAAUUUGCAACUCGAAUAAUUUAUAUCUACUACUAACUUGAUGAAUCAAAAUAGUAAUUUCAAGAAAUUCAAUUUAAAUUAAGUCGGAUUGGUCAUGCUGAAUCUAAAUUCAAACCAUUCAAACCUUAAAUUUAUAUAUAUAAAAAAUAACUUUAAAGUCAUUAACAAAGUUAUUAUUAAUUGUUUGACUAUGUACAUGUUUAUUCUAUCCUUACAUACAGUGAAAAUAAAUUAUAAAUUGAUAUAUUUGAUUAUAGAAUUGUCAAAAGUAAUAUUUUUUGGAAAAUUUUUUUAGCUAAACGUUGUGAAUAAAACAAAUAUCUUCUUAAGAAAUAGAACCUCCAGAAACAAAUAUAUAUUGGUUUUUUAUCUGUUGUAAAGAGAGUUUCUUUUGUUUUACACAGUCCGAGCAUUUCAAAUAUUCUGUAUAUAUAUCGAUAAAAAGUAUUCCAUAUAUAUAUAUAUAUAUAUAUAAUAUUUAUGGUAAAAAAACUCAAAAACAAAUAUUACUGGUCUCUUUAUUAAAAGAACCGUUUGUCAAUUGAUUCACUAUAUAUUGUAUAUUACUCUAUUAUUGUAAUUUAUUAAGUACAGUUUAUAAAAAUAAUUUAAUAAACUACAAAUUUACUAAAUAAUGCCAAUGACACUGAUUCAUGAAUAUGCUAGAUAUGAAUGGAAAGGCAUUGUAACCACAACUGAAUUAGGGUUCUGAAGAUGACUUCAUCUAAAUGGAUGGAUUGUAAUUAUUUGAGUAAAGUUUCUUUUACACUAAGAAUAAAAAACAAUGAAUUUACAACAGUAUUUAUUCAUAUGAAACACAAAUCCUUUACAUAAAAAAUGGUGAUUUCUGAGCUGUUCUAUACAUUUAGUGAUGCAGAUAAGUAUCUAUAUACGCAAGGCUUUGCCACCAUGAAUGGAUCUCAUGGUUAAACAAGUAGCCUCUGGAAUAGUCUCGAGCACAGGCAUCCACAAUCCAUGACGCCAUUCACGAUCUCUGGCCUUUAUUAAGCGAAGCAGAACUAGUUCUGCAGAACUUCUCCCUACUUGCUUCUUCUUACAAACCUGUUGUGGCUUCUCCAACAGUUCAGCCAGCUCUUUCUUUGAAAUCAUUAUCUUCACCUUCCCAUUCGCAUCAGGAGAAGCUCUCGCCGCCUCCAUAAGCUUCUCCUUCUGCACUUUCCCUAAACUCAACACAUUACCACCGUUUUCGUCAAUCACUUUUCUUGGGCUGCUCUUCUUCGAUGUCAAAUCACUCCAGUCCUCUCCGUCCCACUCCAUUGAUGAUGCCGGCUUGCAACAGUUUCCCAUGUUUUCACAGAUUAUUAUCAGAUUGAUUGUGAUGAUUGAGAGAUUGACGAGGUUGAAGCUGAUUCCAUUUGAUAGUUCUCUAUAUAUAGGGAUAUGGGUGGGGCAUGUUUUUCUUUCUACUCUUUCAUUCUCAUCACACCUCAACGUGGUCGCAUUCUAAGUCAUUGUAGCACAAAGGUGGCUUCCUUGACCAAAUAGUACAAUUCUAAUCAUCACGUGUAUGGCGUGUACGUACGACUAAGCUUUCAACCCCGUUUCGUUUAAUCUUAACCGUUUUUACUAACAAACUGACCCUCAACUUACUCAUCAAAUCAUGGAAUUCGAAUCUUUGAACUUUAAUUAAUUACUGUCACUGUUGGAUAUUAAUCAUAGGGGUCACCUUUGAAUAAACAGAAUGUUCCGCUUUAUUACUUAAUUAAAUUCGUAUUGGAAGUCAACAUUUCAAGCUGCUUACAAAAACGAAAUACUUUUUCUCUGUUUUUUUUUUCUCUCCUCUUAGCUGUAGAAAGAAAUCUUUAACAAACUAUAAAGAAUGGCAAAAUUAAUAUUUCUUCUUAUAAUAUUAUUAUGACCUACCAAAAUUAUAUUCAUCACGGAUUCUUAGAAAAAAAACUAUCCUUUUUUACCGGCAAAUUUUAAUAUAUGUAGAUGCAUAUAUGCACAAAGGAAAGGUGGCAAUUAGGUUAAUAUUUUCACACUUCUUUUUUUAUACUUGAAUGAUUGAAAAUUUUCAUACUUGCAUCGUCCUCAGAUGUCGUGAUGUGCCACUUAAUUUUCACGUAACCAAAUUAAAUGGAGGAGAAUGGGUAUGAGAUUUAAAAUGGAGAAGAAAUAAAGUUGAGGGUGAAAAAGUACAAAAAGAAUUAUUAAUUAGUAACAUAAACAAUGUUACUCUUAAAAGGGAUGUACAAUACACUUUCUCAUGACUAGGUGAUUCUCAAGGUUUUUUUUAUUUUUUUAUAGUGAGAUCAACAUACAGGUUUUUAAGGAAUACAAACAACAAUGGUAAUAACAACUAUUUUAAAUAUUUAUAGUUUGUAAAAACAUUUAUUAAUGUGUUGACUCUAACAGGAGGGUUAUGAUAGGAAAAGUACCUACAAUGAUAAAUCUUAUUAAAAGACGGGUAAAUUUAAUUAGCGUGAUAUGUUUGUUUGUGUUCGCAAGUAGAAGAAUCUAUGUAUUAUUUAUUUUUUGGGUUGUGACAUAGCUAUGAAAGUUUGGAAUUCUAGUCUUAGGUAGGCAAUCAAGUUGUCCAACACAAUAACUUUUAUAAUCAUUUCGAACAAUUUUAUCUACCUCGGCUUAAUAAAAAAGCAAAACCUAAUGUGGAAGGCCAUGUGGAACGUAAUAGUAUUAGAAUUGUGUUGUCUUCAAACAAUUGGUAGUUGAUGCAAAUUUUGCAGAUGGCUCAACUUAGAACUUGACUAUGGUUGAAGUGUAAAAUCAUAACACUCUCUUUUUAUUCUCUUAACCCAUUCUUGUGUUUAAAAUCUCUCAAAUAGGUCCCAGUUUUUAUCUUGCUAUAUCAUGAUGGUUGGGGAAGGUUGUGUAUCUGUUUUGAUUAUGCAGGUUAUGAUUGAUAAAUGAAUGAUCUGCAAACAAAAGAGGAGGCUUAAGGUAUAGUAGGAGACCAAAGUAUUUGGUUUAUGCAGUGAAGGAAGCCACAUUUUUUUUCCAGCAGUAUAACUACAUCAUAGCUACAUGAAGGUUAACGAGAAUGGAUUAUGCAGUUGGGAGGCUACACACAUACAAGGUUGCCAAUGGAAAAAAUAUUUCUUAGAGGUUGUUGCUAAACAAUUGAGCAACCUUGGAACAUAACAUGUCUUGGAACCACAAGUGCAAAACAUGUCACUCGCUUGUAUAAUGGGGCUGCCAUGAGGCAUUUUAAUGAUUGUUUUGCUUUUGUUUAUGUUUGGAAUGGUUUCAAAAGCAUGGUAUGCGGAGGGUAGUGGAGGUGUUUUGUGUGUGUAGGGUAAGAUUUUAUAUGUAUACCAUAUGUGAGGUUCUAUUUUUUGGUUAAAUGUAGUACACUCUUGUUCUGGUUUUAUAAGAGUGUUAUGGCUAGGUCUAGAUAGUCUAACUAUCUUUGUGCAUAAGGAUUGGAACACUCCUUCAGUGUUCCAUGUUCAUUUUAAUUUAUUAAUUAUUAGUCGAUAAAAAAAUGUAACCAAAUUAAAUGACUUUCGAUACAAAGAUUCCACACAAAUCCACUGUUAUCUUAUGCAUAUAACUAAUUACUAGGUCAUAAGACCAUAAUCUCUCUAGUGUAUAACUAUUUAGAGAAAAAGCCUUCAUGCACAAUGAGAAUUAAAGGUUAAAACUCACAAUAAAAACAAUAAAAGAAUGUAAACUUAACAUGAUUUAAUAUCUCUUCCAUGUAAACAUCUUAAUAUUAAUUUAUUCUCUACCAUUAAUGAUAUUAAAAUUAUUCAAAAUAAACUUGAUAAAAUCCUACAUCCAAUUACCUCCCUCAUGGAUAAGGUGGUAACCUCCUCUUUUUCAAGUGUAGCGAUCAAGAACUUUAUUUUAUAUACAUCACUCAAUCUAUUAAAAGAGGAAACAAAGUGCAAGAUUAUAUAUUGAAUACAAGGGAGAACCUAAAACUUAAACAAUACUAAGUUUUUUACACUUCAAAGUUUCACAUCACUUACCACUCGAUGUUAAGAGUGGUUUCUAUAUUCUCUUAGAGAUGUUUAUUGGGUUGAAUGACUUGAUGAUCAACCUCAAUUCAAUCUAAACAUAGUAGAUCAAAUUCUUUUUGUGAACUCAAAGUGUCUCAUUCUUGGACAGGUUGGGCAUGGGUAACCCAAGAUCUAAUGUUUUUAUCUAUGUAUCCUCCUUUUAUCUCAUAACAUGAUACAUCAGUGUGUGAAAUAAACCAAAAUUCUUACAAUCUUACCAUUAUCACAUCUAUUGUUCACCUUCAUCAUAUUUGCCUCUAUUGUUUUUCAAGUUGUCCAUUUUUAGAGUUGUUACAUCUUAAUCAAUAAUGGAUGAAAUUUUUGUAACUUUUGGCAUUAAUCAUAUUGGUUACUGUAGUAUUGUUUACUGCAAAAUCUGGAAGUGAGGAACAGAUUGCGAGGGUGGUACUGCUGAAAAAUUUCUUUUCAUAAGGAAACUAACAUUGGAUAGGGAUUGUUAAUGUCACUAAAGCUGCUAUCUUUUUUUAUUUUGUUAUAUUGGAUUCAUUAGCUUUUUUGAAAUCAUAUAUUGUUCAGACUGAGCAUCACAAAGUUAGAUUCUAUGUUGCUGGAAUUAUCUUUGUUUGGAUGGAAACUAUCAUGGUUAAUCACUGUUAAGAAUGAAGAAAAUAAAUAUAGGAUUAAUAUCCCUUGUGUAAAAUACACACAUAAGGGUCUUUAUUUAUAAAUGAGAAUAAUAACAUAAUCAAUAACAUAAUAACAGAAUAAUAUAAACUAUGGGCUAAGCUUGUUACAUUCAACAAUCACCUUGGAGUUUUUAGAUUGUUUAUAUUGUUAGAAUGUGUGGCCAAAACAAGAGGGGGAUGAAUUGUUUUCACAAGAUUUUCGCAAAGAUUGAAAGUAGAGUGAAUUUUUUUGAAAAAUCAACCAAUUGAUUUUUUGUUCAACUAGAUAAAAUUCCAGUUUUGUAAUUCUUUACAAGCAAAAGUAAUUAGUUGUUUUCUUGAAACAACAUGUUGUUUAUACUAGAAAACAAUGAACAAAUUGCAAAAUAGUGUAUAAGAGAAGGGAUAGAGAGAUCCACACAAAGAGGUUUAUACUGAUUCACUCUUAACCAAAACCUACAUCCAAGCUAACCAUUGAGAAUUCACUAUGCAAUCAAAUUUAGAUAACAAAACACACUAAGAAUGUUGACCUUGAAUCCCUCAACAACACGCAACACUUCUUAGCCAAAACCACACCAAGAAUGUUGAUCUUGAACCCCUCAAUAACACAACACUCUUUGGCAACACCUCAAUUUCCAGAAACCCUUCUUGAAACUGAUUUACACAGAUUUACAUUAUUCAAGUAAAGUAUAUAGAAUACACCUAGGUUUUACAAAGCAGUAGUACAAAAGAGUAGAAAACUCAGUUCCUAUUUCACACACAAGCUAUGAUCCAAAGGCUCUUGAUUCUCUUGAAAACGUUUUUAAUAAGCUCUUUAUCUUAGGUUCUUGAAAAAAAUCAUAAAACAGUCUUUAUAUAGACUCAAUGAAGUGGUUAAAACUGUUAGAUCAUAAAUCAAAAGCAAUUUGAAACAUUUAAAACAAAUUUGGAACUCUUAACAAAAUUCUGUUAGAAAAACAACAGAUUGUUUUACAAAACAGCUAAUUGAAAUUAUUUUUCUGUUAAGAAUUUCAUAUAAAAAAAACUAGUUAUUUUAUCGAAAUAACCAGUUGUUUCAGUUUUUUAGAAAAGAAAAAAAUAAAGCAAAGCCUUUUCAAAACCUUUUGAAAACUACUAAGUGUUAAACAAUAUUGAUUUGAAAAAAAAACUGACUAAAAUUUCACAGCUUUUUAGAAAACACUUCUUUUAAAAGAGAUAAAGAAUCAAGUGAGCUUGGAUCAAUACAAAGUGUGAAUUAACAAUUCAAAAGCUACUAAACAACACACACAAACACAACAGCAGGUUCUUCAAGUCUUCAACUCAUAUUUGGAGGCAUUAAAGCAUCUUGUUCAACAUAUACAUCUAACGAUCUCUUGUUCUAUGUAUAUGUAUUUACAGAAUACAUCUUUGGGUGGUUCACGUGAUUAAUUGUAUGGUCCUAGUUUGAUUUUGGGUAUGUUUUUUUUAAGGUUAUACAAGAAUCAUAACCAUUUUUGUGUAAUAGGAUUGGAACAUCCCUAAAAGGAUCCAUAUUUAUUUAUUUAUUUAUUCUUUUUAUGAUAAAAAAAAUCAUAUUUAUGAAGACGUUUGACUUGAAUAUUAUCUUUGUGGUAGAAAUGAUGUUUUGAAAUAAAUAAUUCGACAAGUGAUUUGAGAUAGAAUGUGGAGAAUAUUGUUCCUAUUUCAUAUUUAGUUCUUUUAAUAAUUAUUUUUCAUUGUUAUAAUUUUUACUUUGGUUAGUUGUAGAAUUUUUCAGUGUUCAAAUAUAUUCUUAAACAUGAAUGGGGAUAUGCUAAAGAUUAUAUUGAAUCCUUCAAUUAUAGUUAAUGAAUUGUAUUUAACUAAAACAAAAUGUCAUGAAGAUGCAUUUGUGUUGGAGAGGAGAAGACACUAUGGUAGGUGGGUGGUGACAUACUUCAAUUUUUGUGGCACCAUAACAAUAGGAGAUUCUUGGCGUACAAUAUAUUUUAACAAUAAUAUUUCUUUUUAUUCUUUACUCAGACGGUACUAUCAUAUUUUUAGACUCUUGUUGGAAUAAGAAACUAAUCUAUACUUAGUUGGCUUAGGGAAGGAAAGGAGAUUUAUGUAGGAGCCAUGGUUGAGUUUUGCAACAUGGAACGAAAGGAAGCUCGAUAUAUGAAGCAAAAUAAGUAUUGUUUGGAGUUUCAAGUUACAAAAAACAACCUGUCAAUGCGGAAGAUGUCCUACAGAAGAGGAAAGUUGUGAGUAAGACUUAUGCAUAUGUGUAAAGUUGUCUAGUCUCAAAUGUUCAUUCCCAAUCUGGACCGAAAUUAACACUUGUAAUUGUUGAAAAUGUCUAAGGUAUGCUUUGGAUUCAUGUUCUAGAGAGAUGUUGUUGAACAUAAAAAUAUAAAGAGUCAAGGUUUUCAAAAUGUACACCGACAAGACACAGUGAUUUUUUUGGCAUAAUGUAGGAUGUGCGGUGUUAAAUGGGGUAAAGGGCCUCGAUAUGUUUUAUUAUUGUCAUGGAUUUUAUGUUUGGUACACGUUACCAAUCAUGUGCGUCUAAUCUUUGAAGAUUUGUUUCUUUGAUCAUUUUGGAUCUUAUUGGAGUUUUAUGCAGGAAUUUUGUGGAACUUUGUGUAAUUUUGUGUACAAUGAUUGAAACAUCACUUAAAUACUUUUAUUUAUUAAUUUUUUAUUUGCCGAUAAAAAAACUUGAUAAUUUAUAUCCUUAUAUAAAUACAUUAAAUAUUAUUACUAAUUUUUUUUAAUAAUUUCUAAUUGUGCUCUGACAUCUACACAUGUAAAAAAAAAUGUUUACAUUGUCUACCAGUAACUUUAGAAAAGUAUGAAAAAAAUUAUUAAAGAAAACAAAGAAUCUACUACAUAUGUGUUUCUAGAAAAUAAAAGUGAUAUUUUCCGGUAAUCACCGUAUGUUACAUUAAUUAUUUAAAUAUAAAAAAUAUAAGAAAAAUAAGUUUUAAUAAAUAUAUAAAAAGUAAUUUAUGAAAAAUAAUCAUCUUAUCUCAUAACCUAUAUAUAUAUAUAUAUAUAUAUAUAUAUAUAUAUAUAAUAAUUACGUUACGNNNNNNNNNNNNNNNNNNNNNNNNNNNNNNNNNNNNNNNNNNNNNNNNNNNNNNNNNNNNNNNNNNNNNNNNNNNNNNNNNNNNNNNNNNNNNNNNNNNNUACUACUAUAUAUAUAUAUAUAUAUAUAUAUAUAUAUAUAUAGAAAAAUUUGUCACGAAAUUACUAUGCUCAAAACUUGAGAUCUAAAAAGUAUUUUAAAUUUGAAAGUUAAAGUCUUCUCUUAAUUUCAAACUAUUACUAUGCAUUCAAGUUUGUUUAUUUGCAUCAUAUUAUUCGAGAGUUUGCCUAAAUUAUAUAUUAUUCUACAAUAUGUUAAAAUUACAUUAUCAUUUUUUUCAGAAAAUUUAAUAAAAAUAUAUGUAUAUUGACUUUAAAAUAAAUUAUCAUGUUAAGAUUUUAAUGAAUUUCAAAUUAUGAACUUAAAAGUCAUAUCUAAAUAUAAUUAUUUGAACUAUUAAUUUCUAAUAUACGUGAAAUUUAGCAUUUUCUUAUUAAAAAAUUAUACUAUACUUUAUUAAGAAAAUAACAUUUACAAAGAUAUAAUUCUAUGAACUAUAUAGCCGAAAUUCACAAGAAAAAUAAGCGAACUCGACCUAAUAACAAAGAUUUGAAGUACAUAGAUUCUAUGUUCAUACCUUAGUACCACCGUUUUACAACAUUAAAAAAAACUCCAUUUCUUCUUCCUCUAACUUCUAAAUCUCUAUAAAGGGAUUUCGAAUAUUAUAUAAUGGAAAAAUUAACAUGGAGAGGAAAUAAAAAAAAAAUGCUCAUUCUCAUUAAAAUAGACUUUUUUUGUGACAUACAUAUAUAUGUUUUCACAAAGAAUUUUUCCUUCAGUGAUGAUAUUUUGAAUAAGUCUGCCUCUAUACAUAUUAUUCUCUUCUUGGGAGAGUGUGUAAUUUAUUGGAGUACAAAUUAAAAUUUGAAUAAGAAUAAUUUUACAAGCUUCAAAUUUUAUCAAAUAUGGUUAACAACCAGAUUCAACAAAUCUUGAUCUCAAUAUAAAUGGAUAUAGUAGCCACAACAGGAAUUUACCUGUAAGGAGAAUUAGGGUUUAGAACCCUAUAUAUCUAAAACCGAUUCUAAUUUAUUGAUAUGAUAUACAAAUCUGGCAAACUCUAUCCUACUAUUGUACAUGAAAAAUAUUGGAUUCUUACUGUUCUAUACAAUUACUGAUGCAAAUAACCUUUUGAAUACACAAAACCAUUGAGCAGCAUGAUCUGAUCUUGAAUCAACUAACCUCAGGAAUACUCUCUAACACGGGUCUCCACAACUCGUGACGAGAAUCCUGAUGAUAUCUUGCUUUUAUCAAGCGAAGCAGAACUAGUUCUGCAGAACUUCUCCCUACUUGCUUCUUACAAACCUGUUGUGGCUUCUCCAACAGUUCAGCCAGCUCUUUCUUUGAAAUCAUUAUCUUCACCUUCCCAUUCGCAUUAGGAGAAGCUUUUAGUGCUCCCAUAAGCUUCUCCUUCUGCACUUUCCCUAAACUCAAUCCACGACCACGAGUUUGAUCAAACCCCUUGCUUGAGCCUGUGGUCUUGGACGUUAAAUCACUCCAGUCCUCGCCGUCCCACUCCAUUGAUGAAGCUGGCUGGCAACAGUUUCCCAUAUUCUCACAGAUGAAUGAUGUGUGUGAUGAAAGUUGGUUAUAAUCCUUUGAGUGUGAUGUGUAUUGGUAAUGAAGAUUGUAUCAGCAGUGAUGUGUAUUGUUGUUGAUAAUGAAGAUUGUAUCAGCAGUGAUGUGUAUGUUAUUAAGUGGUAGGUAUUAUAAUGAAGUUUUGUGAGGGAUGAUGGGUUUGAAUUUGAUAGGUAUAUAUAGAGGGUGGUGUGAGGGGAAUGGAUACGUUGGUAUUUAUAAUUUAUAAUUGCGGUGACGGCACCUAGAAUGUGGUCUCGUUCUUGGUCAUGGCAGCUGCAGGUGGCUUCCUUGACCAAAUACUAAACACGUGUCUGUUAUAUAAGUCGACUAAGUUUUAUCUUUUGUUAGAGUGUGAAACUAAUGGGGAAUGAAGCAUCCUAAGGAGUCACUAAGUGAAAAUGUCACAAAUCUUGGAUCUUCUCAAACUAUUUAUAUCCAAAUAUCAUUCAUAUCAUAAAAAAAACCUAUAAAAAAUUGUUAAAUAAAAAUUACUUUUUAGAUAAAAAAUAAAUAAUUAAUCAUAAUUAAAUUAAAUAUUAGUUAGAGAUUAAAAAAUUAUUAAAAUUAUUAGUAUUUAAAGUAGUUUUUAUUAUUAAAAAUUUAUAAAUUAAUUUUUAGAUUGAUAUUUAAUUACUUUUCAACAUUUUAGCUAUCCAUCAAAUCAAAUUAUAAAGUUGAUAACUAAAAUUUUGAUAGUUAAUUAGAUACCAAUUUAAAAACUAGUUUAUAAAUUUUAUUAAUAAUAUAAAUUAUUUUGAUGGAAAAAACGCACGCGGAAGUAACACAAUCACAAACUAUGCAACAUAGACACUGACACGAAUACCGAUACGACAGGGACACGAACACGGAGAUACGUAAAAUCUCUAAAAUGUAGGACACGGGACACGAAUCUAUAUACAAUAUAAUUAUGAAUUAUAUAAAUUGACAAUAAAAAUUAUGUUCACAAGUAUGUUUCAGAUUUUUUUUUGGAGCAAAAAGAUGCUUUUCAGGAGUGGUUCACAAGGAUUUGUUUCUUAUUUUUAUAAUCAUAAUAACAAUUUAUACAAUAAAGUUUGAAUUUUUAGAAAAUUAAUGUAUUUUUCCUUUUUAAAAUUGUGUUGGAACUGUAUUAGAAUUGUCAGAAAUCUAAGAAAUACUUUUUGAAUUGGACACUUCACGGAUACACAUCUUACCGGUGUCAUACGAGUGUUGGUGUCCGAUACGAGUAUCGGACAUCAACACGCCAUUUAAAAGGAGUGUUCGAACUUUAUAAAUCACGAAUCAACGGUCAAAAGUAAACAACACACCCAAUUGGUCCUGCCUUCACACUCAACAUAUUUUAAAUAUCAUAAUUUUUUUAAUUUUAAAAUAAUAUCUAAUUUAAUUAAUAUAUUGAAUAAGUCUCUAAAAUUAAUUUUUAUUUAAUUAUUUAAUUACCGUGAAAUACCUUGUCAAUCAAGAUUUCCUCUCCAAUUCACCCGGUACAAAGUUGUUUAUUUUUAAUGAUAUUUAUUUUCCUUUCAAAAGAAUACCAUUUGAAUUACUAUUUGUCUGGGGUUUCAAUAGUUUAACACGUUGGUGAGAUUUUGACACACAUUUACCAUUUUUUUCUUCCAUACAAGUUCCUACUAUUCUUAAUUUUUCUUGUAAUGAUAUUGGAAUAGAUUUCAAACAGAGUUACCUCCCUAAGGUUGAACAAGUUUGAAGAAACAGUGAGGCAACAUAAUGACAGUGAUAGAAGUGUGUGAAGAGAAGUUAGGUAUUAUAUAUAGUGUGUAGCAUGACUAUGUGUUGAUUGAGACGCCAAGUAGGAAAAAGGAAAAAAGAAGAAAAAAAAGAGUGAAUAUAUAUUGGUCAUUCAAUAAUCCAUUGUUAUUCUUAUUCUUAUCUCAAUCCAAACCUCAUUCUCCAUUUGGCCAUCCAAACAGAAGAGGUAUUACAUUUUCAACGCAUAUAUAAAUAACAGAGUCAAAAGUUUUUUGUUUUUCAAAGUUAUAUCAUGUUUGUAUCGUGAUGCAGUGAACUUUAGUAUUUUACAAAUACUCUUUUCCUUGUUCGUAGAGGUCAUGCGGCCUGGCCUAAAAUAAUUAUGUAUGAAUACUUUACGAAGAUCAACGUAAUAAAAAAUGGAAAUGUCUCUAACAAGGACCACUUGUACAAAAACACGUGAAGUUUCACGUAUUUUUAAUCUUUUUAGAUUUUUCUUUCCCAAUGACCCAAGUGAACAAAUACUAAAUAACCUACACAUUAAGACAUCAACAUAAAUUAAUUUAUUGCUGGAUUCAGGUUUUUUUUUUAUCAGCAAUAAAAAAUAAAUAAAUGGGAACCACUUUAGGGGUGGUCAAACCCUUAUACAUAAAUAGCUAGCGUUUUAUCAACUUUCAACCAAGGAACACUUUCUAACUUAAAUAAGGAACAACCAAAACAACUCAAAAAAGCGUUAAACAACCAGCCUCAUACAAUCUAUUGGGUUCAAAACUCAGUUGGGAUACGUAAAGGAAUUACAACAGGACUUUGCAAAAAUCCAAGACCAACAUUUACAUGUACCCGUGCAAAUACCUCGAGCGCAUCUAUCAGUCCUGGAUUCAGGGUAAGGACUUUAUUUUAGAGUUGUUUUAAUUAGAAAGGUAAUAGAUUUUUCAUUUCAUUUUUUCAUAUAGAUGCACGAGAUAACAGUAAUGCAUCCAUUUAACGAGAUAAGUUAACUUAGGUUGAUGCGUUGAGUUGAGUUUUUUUUUUAUAAUUUUAUAAUUUUAAUAUUUUGAUGUUUAGUUAUACUACUAUAUUUGUUUUUGUUUUAUGAUUGACAUAUAUAAUAGUUAUUUAUUAUUUUUUACAUUUUUUUGUUUGGGUUGAAAUUUUUCACUUGAUGAGAAAUGGGCUCUGUUUAAUCUACAACAUAUUUUAGAGGGUCAAGAUAUUAAUUUGUUUUGAUAUACAAGGGAAUAAAGUGGGAAGAAGAAGGAACAAAAAAAAGUUAGAGAAUUUAUUAAGUUUCUUAGAAAAAAAAAUUAAAUGUGUACAUGAAAUACCAUAAAUACUCCUAAUAAGAAAAAAUAAUUAUAGAGAAAGAAAUUUAUUCUAGGUGUUUAACAUCAAACCAUCUUAUCCAUAUUUAAUUAAUUAUUUAAAGUUAUUAUUUUAUUUUUUAGUAUUAUUUUAAACAUGAUUUUUUUUUUUAAUUCAAAGAAAUAUAUAAAUAAUAAUAACAAUAAAUUAAAAGUAAAUAUUUUUUCAUUCAAUUCAAUGAACUUAGAUAAAAGAAAGUUAGUUAUAAGUUAUAUUAUUAUUUUAAAACUUUUCAAGUAUGUUUAUAUUUAUUUGUGUUGUUAUAUAGUAGAUGAAUGUCUACAUAGUUAAAAAUAUCACCUUGGAGUACUAGGAUAUUCAUAGGUGAAACUUGGAACUAUAUGUACCUGGAUGCUCGAAAUUGUCAAUGUUAGGUAGUGAGUGUAUAUCUCUUUUGUAGGGUGAUAAAUUGUCGAUACUCUCCAGAAAAAUAAUUUUAAUUGUAUCAAUGUUUUUAAUGAGAAAUAUUCAACUACCUAAUCACUUCCUAAUAUGAGUUGAUUUGAGAAUUACACAUUUUUAAAGAUUUCACUUUGAUUGAUUUUGAUUAGCAAGAUAAGGUGAUGACUCAGUGUUGGACACGAACUUAACCAAGUGGUUAAGUAAGUGUGAAGGUUCUCUUCAAAUAGAAAAAUAAAAAAGAACCACACAAGGAAUGACAAUGCAAGCAAAAAAUUAAGAAAUAAAAAGAUACUAGAAUAGAAGUUUGCGGAAAUGAAAGAGAGGAAUUUAGAGUCUAAGAAGAAAGAACUUAGAUGGUUGAAGAAUUCCAUGGAGGUGGAGAGAUGGGGGAGUCACGCCACUUGGAGGCGGAGGAGCCCAAGAUAACUGAUGAAGGGAGUCGCCACUUAAAGCAUAUUUGCCAAGAUAAGACUCAGAGAAAACUAGAUACUCAUAAAUUCACUCAAGUAGAGUUUCUUUACUCAAAAUGUGUUGUGAUUUACAAGAGGGGUGAUCAUCUAUUUGUAGUGACAGGUGCCAUGUGAUUAAGGCAUGGAGGGAAAUUUUAAAUUCAAAAUAAGCUAUCUUAACUCCUAAAAAUCUGCCACUAAUUGUAGAUCUAUAAGAGGUCAUGCUUUUCACAUUUAAGUAUGGGCUUAAUGUGAAAAGUGUGAUUAGGGCUUGCACAUGGGAGAUGAUGCACUCCAAACUCUUGAGUGCAUGAUUGAAUGGAGAAUGCAGUGGAAUGGAGUGGUGAUGGAGGCAUCGAACGAUUGAGAGGUGCUAGGUUUGGGAAGUUUGAUGGUGCAAUGAAGCGGGAUGAGGUUUGGCCAACCUUCCUAAGUUCACUAGGCCAAAGAGGCUCACUAGCAAGAGAGAUUUGGGAGGGAAUGAUUGUUCCAAUUCAGAACUCUUCAUUCAAUUAAUUGCAAAUCUGAAUACAUUAGUGGAUUUGAGUAUAGAUGAAGGCAGUUUGCUCCUUAAGCUACCAUAACUCUAGUUAAGUGAACUUAAAUAUAGUGAGUAUGGUGGCUUAAGGAAGUCGUAUGUGCUCUUCUAAGGUGCUAUAGAAGCCCUUACUUGUGUGACAAGUUAGGGUUUCUAGAGUAUACUUAUUUAUCUAUAAAAUACUCUAGAUAAAAGUAUAAUACAAAUCUUAUACAAAUUAUUUUUAUUAUUUCUACAGACAGUUCAUAUGUCUUUUAUUCUUGUGUAUGGUGGCUUUGGAUGGUCCUCCAUCGGGAGACUUUCAAGAUGUCAGGGUUUCUCUAUGGCCCAUGAACAAGCCCAAUUUUUAUGUUUUUUUAACACCUCCUCUUAAAAAGAUUAAAAUAAAGAAUAGUUUGUAUCCUGACCCAUGCUUUGGUGUUCUGCUCUUGAUGAUCUUCUGAGGGAUGGUGGGGCCUUGAGUCCUAGCCUGAGAUGCAUGACCUAGCCUUGAAUAGUCUUUUUCUGCUCUUGGUCAUCUUCUUGUAAUGUUGGACUAGUUUAGAUGGUGAUGCUCCUUUCAUGGUUACAUCACUUCCUAAGUAACUUUUCACGUUCAUAUUGCGUCAUCAGAAAUAGAAUAUGAUUCCAUAUCUUUGAUAAAGUGAGAUUUAGUCAUAUAACUGUAGAUUAAAUUAUAGACCUUCAUUGUUUGUAUUGUAUGUUAACUUUAUCAAGAUUGAUAUUUAAGGUUUGCAAAGACCUUACUUUUUGUGUGUUUUUCUUUCAUAUGUACAUGCGGUGCAAGUAGAAGAAGAACAUGCUCAAUAAGAAUUGUUUAAGAAAACUUUAUGAGAUCUUCUCUAAGAUGUUGUCUCAUGGAAAACCUGGUUUUUAUAUCUUUGGGAUAUAUUAUAGAUAGUCCUAUAUUUUGAUAUAGACUCUUAUUAUUAUACAACACAUAUAUGUUUUUGUAAUAUACUAUGAAUAAUUAUACAAAUGUAAAAUGUUGACAUAUAUAUAUAUAUAUAUGUGUGUGUGUGUGUAUGUAUCUAUGAGGUUAUGAUAUGAUUAAUGUUCCCAUUAAGAAAAUCUUAUUGCACACAAAAAAUUACUCCUAAUUUCUAGUUAAAUAACAAUUACUUAUAUAAUAAAUUACUUAUACAAACAUGGUGGUAAAAAUUGUUGGUUUGAUUGUUAUCGGAAAUUCUUGGAAAGAGAUCACCCCUUUAUAAGAAGUAAGAGGAGAUUUAUGAAAAAUAGAAAUAAUCAGAUGGGCCUCCUUAUAUGUUGAAUGGAGAGAAAUUGUGGGAAUUUAUUUGAGACUUUCCAAAAGUUGUUGAUGGUUCAUUUGAUACCUUACCAGGGUAUGGACAAUAUCGUAAUUGGACAAAAAGAUUAUUUUUUUGGGAUCUCCCAUAUUGGAAACACAACUUGUUAAGACACAACAUUGACGUCAUGCACAUAGAAAAAACUUUUUUGAUAAUAUUUUCAAUAUUGUAAUGGAUGUGAAGGGUAAAACAAAGGACAAUCACAAAGCAAUAAUGGAUGUUGCUGAAUUUUGCGCACGUGGGGACUUAGAGUUGGUACAAUUAGGAAAUGGGAAGUUAACUAAGCCAAAGGCAAACUACAAUUUCACAAUAAAAUAUGCAAAAUCAUUUUAUAAAUGGAUUACAAAGUUGAAGAUGUCAGAUGGUUAUGCGUCUAACAUUGCAAGGUGUGCAAAUAUUGAUAAAAGGGGUAUGCAUGGAAUGAAAAGUCAUGAUUGCCAUGAGAUUAUCAUGUUUUCAUGGACUAUUUACUACAAAUUGCAUUUUGUUCAUUACCAGAAUUUGUCUGGAAUGUCAUUGCUGAAAUAAGUCAAUUUUUUAGAGAUUUAUGUUGUAACACUUUGAGGAUGGAUGAUUUAAUUUGAAUGGAAGCAAAUAUAUCAAUCAUUAUUUGUAAAUUGGAAAGAAUCUUUCCACCAAAAAUAUACCAAUCAUUAUUAUGCUAAAGACUUUGACGAUCAGCCUGUGCAUUAAGUUCAUCAUGAAUAUAAGUAAAAUUAAUUGUAGUAUCAUCUGAUGUAUAUGUCUAAUGGCAGAGCCCCCAGCCACACACAGCCACACAAUAAGGAGGAUGAAGACUUAGAGUCUGUUUAUGGACUUAUUUGAAAAUAUGGGUCCAAUUGGGCUUUUGUCUAUCUUUGUAGACCCAAUCAAAAGAACAACUUUAGGAUGAAGGAAUGUAUAAAACAUGUCCAAGAAGACCUCCAAUUCAUCAAAACAUAAACUAGAGAUUUGGUCAGAAGAACACAAGAAGACUGAGUUUCGGCUGACUAGUGAAUAUUGUUUUUGGGUCAAGCUUUAGCUUAAAUAAAUUGUAUAAAUUUGUUUAGGCACCUUAAAACCAACCUAGAUUAAAUUAGGGUUUUUAGAAGACUUCUAAUUUAACCUAGGUCGAUCCUAAACCUAAAAAGAGUCACAUGAACCACACCUUGGUCAUGCUUGCCUUGUGACUCUAAAAUAGGCGCCAAUUUCAAACCUCUAACAUUUGAAUUUUCCCACCAUUUGCUUUGUACAUUGGUCGGACCUCUACCUAUAUAAAGAGGUGUUUGGAUCAUGAAAUUCUAAGAUCAAAUAUAUGAGUGAAUAGUUGCCAAGUUUGCAUGUUUUCUCACUCCCUUGUCUAAACUCUCUAAAAUGUGACCUUGAUCUUCUUCUUCACCUUUUCCAAGUGAUAUGGCAUAACCAAUCACUCUCCCUACUUCUCAUGCACCUUCAAGGAAUCCAUAGCUCCAUUGGAGUCAUCUUUGUUCGCGACUUCAAUUGAGCUUCCGCACACCACCUCAAAGUUGCAAAGAAAUCCAAUCGGAAUGAAGGCUACAUGCAAAUAUCCAUUAAAUGAAGUUUUCACAAACCCUAAACUACUAACUAAUCAACACAUACAUGCAAAUAUUUAUUAUAAAACUAAUUAAAAUUUUUAAAAUACUAACCUUUUAUAGUGGAGUUGUGGGUGCAAUAAACUCUACGAUGGAAGCACCAGUCUAGCGCAGUGGGCAACGAGAUGUUCAGCGCAGUGGAAUAAGUGGUCUGGCGCGGUGGUGAGGUGAAAAAGAUGUAUGGCGUAGUGGAGAGGUGAAAAGGAGGUUCGAGAGGUGCUAAAGGCAUGCGAACGUCCCGGUAGCAUGUGGAGGUGCUAGCGGCAUGCGAAAGGUGUUGUCAGCAUGUAAAGGUGUUGCCAACAUGAAGGGUUGGUGGCAGAGGCAGCUGUUUGCGCACGUAGAGGUUUAACGUGCGAAGGAGGGUUGGAGCAACAGAGGAGGGCUAGAGCGACGUUGACUAUGAUGGAGAGGGAGAAAGGAACGAAAGAGAGCUUAGGGUGCAUAGGGGGUAGAUCGGAGGCAGGGAGUUGUUUGAGUGUAGUGGAGAGGGAGAGAGGCACGAAUGAGAAAAAGAAUGAAUGAGAGCGUGUAAUGCGAGCUGAGAUUUAAUUUUCGCUCUUUUAACGACGGUUUUCCACUUAACUGUUGCUACUUUGCCACAACUCCUCAUUAACGACAGUUUGAAAAAGAACCAUCAUUAUUUUUCCUACAUAUCUUCAUCAACGACAGUUUAAAGUCCAACAUUCGUUAUUUAUCAACAUUUAUUCACCAAAAUGCCACUGUGCUUCUUCCUAAGAUGGGUUUCUAUCAAAUGUUGUUAUUCACAAUCGUUUUUAAGGUGUUUUGCACUAGUGUUAUGGUCUUUUUUUCAUUUUAAGUGUGUUUUUGGUCCACCUAAAUUCUUGUAGUGAUGGAAGAAGGUCAAACUCAAGAUCAACCACUAGGUCAAUGGCAAGAAAGAUUCAAGAAGACUAGGACUCUGCUACUGAUGGCAGAGACUUUCUUUUAUACAUGUUCAAAAAAUGUCAUAACGUAGUGUAGUUUCUUUAGAGUAGAAUUUAUUUUUCUUGCAAAAGUAAAGUAAGAAAAAUAGUUGUAAAUUUUCUUAAUUGUAAUUUGGGUUGAAUUAGGCAUCUAAAAACCAACUUAUAUUAAAUUAGGGUUUCAUUAAGACUCCUAAUUUAACCUAGGCCAGUCAUUUAACCUAAAGAGAGUCACAUGAAGCACACCUUGGUCAUGCUUGCAAUGUGACUCCAAAUAGGCGUUAUUUUCAAACCUAUUUCUUUUGAAUUGUCCCACCCUUUUUCUUGUAACCUUGGUCGGACCUCAUUACUAUAUAUUGGGAUGCUUGACUCUCAUUUCUAAGAUCAAUAUAUGAGUGAAUUGUUGCUAAGUUCGAUAGCCUUCUCACUCUCUUGUCUAAAAUCUCUAGGAUAGACACAUUUGGUCUUCUCCUUUCACCUCUCCAAGUGAUAUGACCCAACCAAUCACUCUUCCUACUUUUCAUGCACCUUCAAGGAACCCAUAGUUCUAUUGGAGUCAUCCUUGUUCCACUCCUUCCAUUGAACUUCCGCAAACCACAUAAAAAAUCCAAGAAAAUAAAUCGACAAUGAAGACAAUGCUAUCAUGUAAUGUACAUAAAUAGAUUAAUAUAUUGUAACAUAUACAAAAUUGAAUCUUAUUUGAAAUUUCUUGAUGUUUUAACAAAAAAAUUUAAGUUCUUAUCCUUUCUAAGAUUGGAAUGUAGGAUAUAUUGGAGAUAUAUAGUACGUAAUAUAUUAUAUUAUGCAUUAGAAUUUAUUGUUUGUUAAUUUUUUAAAAUUUUCUAAAGAGGGUGCAAUAACUUAUCUUGUACAUUCUUUUGUAUAACUUUUCAUUUUGUUUGAUGGAAGAAUGCCUAGUUCCUAACUUUUUUCUCUUAUAUUCUACUUUUUCGUAUGAUUUCUUUUGUUAAUUAUAUAUAUAAGUGAUUCGAUAACGGUUCGGUAGCGGAUGAUUUAAUAAGUUCAACAAACACUUGUUAGGAUAGACUCGAAAUACCGACUUAUAAGGUGAGGUUUGCACCCACUUAUAUACAGUGUAUGGGUGGUCCGAUAACGACCCGAUAGCAGGUGGCCUAAUAAGCCCAACAAACACUCGUUAGGAUAAACUCGAAAUGGUUCUAAUACCAUAUUAAUGGUUCGAUAGCGGGUGACCUGAUAAACCCAACAAACACUCGUUAGGAUAAACUUAAAAUGACUUUGAUACCAUAUUAAGAAGUGGACUUUAAGUCUAACUCAAUUUCAUAAAACUGACUUAUAAGAUAAGAUUUGCACUCACUUAUAUACUAUGAAAUGUCUUAAUAUCUAAUUGAUGUAGGAUCUCCAAAAUGUUCUCUGUAACUUUUCUACUCACUGUUGUAACUUUUCUACUCACUGUUGCAAUACACGAUAGACUAAAAAUUAUCUUGUAUGAAGGUAGACUUUGACAGAGAAAGACUUUGGUCAAUGGCGUCUCUUGUUUGGAAUUAAUCCUCACGCAUAUCUUCUUUGGACCGAGGGAAAUAAAAUUCAUAAUCUAAUGACUUGGAACUUUUUAUGUGAUAUGAUGCUUACUUAUAUGACAUUGAUGAAAGGUUUAUUUUGUUCUUGUGGAGGUGCAACAGGUUACAUCAUAAAAGGAUCAAUGGCUGUAUUGGGCACGUAAAGAUGAACCUUAUAGCUUUGUCACUGUCAAGGAUUUUGGUGUCUCAAAGGACCGUGACGAAGGAGUUAAUUUUAACACAAUGUAGCAGUUGUUUCUGCAUCAGAAAAGCUCUUCAAUUUAACUUUCUACCCACUCCACUACUCACUACUCUACUAAUGAUAGUUAUGGUGAGAAUUAAUUGAAAUAGGCACAAUUAGGAGAAAGUAGGUGAAGAGUGAGAGGCCAUAUACACACAAAAGCAUAAUAUCAAAGAGUUAAUGCCAAAUUUGAUUAGGCUUGUUUAGUUGCCUUAAGGAGAGAAAAGAAAGAAAGAAAAAGUACACAUGUUUUACUCCACUCACCCACUCACUCCAUGUCUAAGACAUCUUCCCAUCCUAGCAAAAGUCAAUAAAGACGCAUUUGGAAACCUGCUGCAAUAAUGAAAUAUCAGUGGUUACCUUACCAUUUACCAUUUACACUUGCCAUCAGAGUGAGAGAUAACAUAUCUCUGUCACAUAUGGGCAAAUUUCACCUAAAUGGUAAUGGUGCACUUUUUUUUUUAGAUUUACCUAAAUGGACAAAUUCUGAAAAAAAUAUAGAAAUGGGCAUUUUUUUUUAAUUCUCAAUAUCAAUUAAAUUUAUUAAUCCAGCAACUAUUGUCUUUUUAAGUAAAGUUGUCCACUAAAUAAAAUUAGAUAUUGAAUUGGGAACUGCGGUAUAUUUUAUCUCAAUUAAAGUUAUCAAUUUAGUUGUCAAGUUUAGGAUUUAAGGUUUAGGAUUUAGGGUUUAUAAAUAACACCAAAAUUUACUUUUGUUUUAUUUAAGAAAAUGAUAUAUAAAGUUGAAGAACUAAAAUGAUUUUUUUUUUACAAUAAUUUUAAAUAAAUUAGGUUAAAAAUGAUUUGUUUGAUAAAUUAAAAAUAUUUAGUAUUUUUUAAAUAUUGUUAAAGUUAAAAAUACACUUAUAAAAAAAUGUGAUAUGAUUUAUGUAUAAAUUUUUAGAUUAUAUAAUAUAUGAAAGUAUAAAUUAUAUAAUAUGUAAAACGUGAUAAUAUACAUGUAUUUAUGUAAAAUAAAUGUAUUAAAAAAUAAAUUAAAUUAUUGAAUGAGUCAUUAAAAGAAGAUGAUAUUAAAAUAUUUGAUGGGAACAACAUUACCAUGACUCUACUGUCUAAAUAGACAAUUUUCUCUGUUGUGACCUUUAUUGCAAUAGUAAAAACAUUUUUUGGUUUGUUCUGAAUUGGUUGAUCCAUUUCAUUAUGCAAACGAAUUGUAAUUGGUCGUUCCGAGUUUUUACGUCACAUGUGGGGGUCAGGUAUGAAAUUUGGCCUGGUAUAAGUAGAUCAAUAAUCCUCUUUUCGAACGGGAUAGAAUUCAACUUGAUAUGUCUUUCUAAUCGUGUGAAGGUGUAAAUUGGAUCAAUGAAUGUCAUAAUUUGUAAAUGACAAGAGGGACAAACGACAAUAACGUGACGACAGGGAAGUGGCCACAAUCACACCACCAAUCAUUUAAUCUAACUGUGUAUAUGACUGAGACCGUCAACCAUGUUGGGGGUGGUUAAUUCUUGGACAUUAAAUUCAAAAUUUUCUGCAUUAAACCUUUCCACAAAACACAUAGCCGAAUCUUGUUAUUUUUUCUAAGGUUGUGAUAUCUUCUGGAUAAUAGUGACAUGCGCGUAACAUGGUGUCUAUUUUGAAGGCUCGUUCAACAAACCAUGUUUUUGUUUUUUCGAAAGUUGUCUUAACCAAAGCGGAAAUCGGCAAAAAACGAGCUCCCUUAAGCACAAAGUUAAUGCAUUCCGCUAGAUUUGUGGUCAUAUGACCAUACCUUUUUCCACCAUCGUAUGCUUGAGUCCAUUUCUCUAACGGUAUAAGAUAUAUCCAAAAAAAUGUUUGCUUGAACUCAGAUCGCAUAACUAAUAGUUUUGCAUGUGCUGUGGGUUGUUUCAUCUCAUAAGUUGUCAUAAAGAAGUAAAUAAAACUAGUUAAACGGUAAAAGGUCGUAAUUAUCUAUUUAAUUUUAAUUUUUUAAAUAUUAUUUAUCUAUAAAAUACAAUUUUUCACAAUAUUCUUAUUCUUAUUUACUUCAUGUAAUUUUAAACAGUUUUUAAAUUAUUAUUAUGUACAUUUUUUAAUUUUAAAAAAAUCAAUUGAACUUGCCAACUGAAUUGACAACUUUAAUUGAGAUAAAAUAUACUAAAGUUGUCAAUGUCCAAUUUUAUUUAAAUUGUCAAUAUGAUUGACAACUUUAAUUAAAAAAAAUAAUGAAUUAAUGAAUUUAAUUAAUAUUACCUACAUCAUUAACAACUUUAACAAAAAAGUUAUCCAUUUUUAUAAUUUUUUCAAAAUUUUUCCAUUUACAUAAAUCUAAAAAAAAAAAUGCACCAUUUUAGUAAAAUUUCCCCAUAUGCCUUUACAUUCAGAGAGGGAGAUACAAAUUUACUACAGAACAAACAUUUCAAUUUAAUCAAGACUAAUUUUACUCGAUUAUUAUAAUUAAUAAAGUUAUUAUUUAUACAUUCCAUCAAAUUUAUUAUUAAAUAAGGAUCACAAUUUACAGUCUGGUCUACUGGUGGGGGUAGAAUAGGUUAGUCCAUAGAAUUCAUAAUAAAAAAAUCACUAUAUUUUAGUGUUAUUGAAAUAGAACAAUAAUAAUGUUGUUUUUAAGUGAAAAUAAUAUGAUAACUAACUAUUAUAAUUUUUUAGUAGUUUACCCACACAAAAUUUAUAUUUUAUUUUUUAUAAAAAAAAAUAACUUUAACAUAUUUAUUUAAUAUAGAUGUUAAUUUUAUAUUUAUUUACCUUAGUUAACAUGUUAAAAAAUGAAACGGUGUGAAAUAUUUACUGAUAAUUUGUGUUUCAAAAGAAUAAAAUGUUGAAAAAUCAUUCCUUAUAAGUUAUAGAGGAUUACAAGAUCACAUCUUAAAUAUUUAGCUUCAUUUGUUUCUACACAUCUUAGAAUUUCAAAUGCUAAGAUAUCAGAUUUUAUUUUGUUUCUUAGCACUUAAGACCAAGCAACUAUAGCUUCCUUUUUGGAUCACAUAAAAAUCAAAUUGGGUCCAAAGAAAUAUAUUUUUUGUGAUAAUGUUAGAAGUUCAAUAUUUAUAGUAAGCGAAUAGAUUAUACUUGUCACGAGUAAAUGGUAGGUGAAAUUCGUGAGAAGUCCUCUAACAAAUGAACUGAUUUCUUAGUACUAUAAUCAGUCUCAGACCAGGUUAUUAUUUUAUGCUGUAAAACACCAACAAAAUAUUCAUAUAAAGCAUCAUCCUUCAUGCAUUCAGAUCCAUAUUUAGAAAGGUUGAUUCUACCUUACGUAUAAUAGAGAUUCUUUUAGAUUCUCACAUUACAACUCUGUUAAAUAGUUCAUGAAUAUAUUCGGCUCCAAAAAAAAAACAUCAAAUAUUCAAUAUCACAAAUUUAAAAAAUGAAAUAUACAUUAAACAAAAUUGAAAAAUUAACAGUGAUAAAAACUUAUUACUGAAUAUAAUUUAAUCAAUAUCACAAAUUUAAAAUGAAAUACAGGCCUUUUAUUAUUAUUUUUAUUUUAGAAUAUGGUUUUAAAUGUAAUUAAAUACUAAAAUUAGCGCAUGCAAAAGGGUGAGGGGUGUGAUGAAAUUUAUCUAUUGAGACAGAGAGAUUCAUUCUGCAACUAAACCAAACAAACAAUGAACAACACUCGCAAACAUCCAAUUUGUUCCGGCGACUUCCCUUCAGCUACUUCUCCCGUCAAUUUCCGCCGCCCCACCCCCAAAAUUCACCUCUCCGCCAGGAAGCUCGCCGCGCGUUUAUGGCACUUCCGCUUCUUUCACCGCUCCUCUUCUCACAAGGUACAUUUCUUCACUUCACAAUACUCAUAUUCUCUCCUUUCAAUCUCCAAACAAUUCAUAUUCAUUCCCAAACCUUAUUUUCCGUGAUCCCUGUCCUCAAGCUUCAAUCUUCUCCACCACCACGUAUCAAGCGCACCGAGGAAGAGGCUACACAAGGUGAUGGCAGAAAGGUUCUCAGAGACACUAAGUUAAUCGGUGGCUCUGUUGUCUCUGUUCUUCUCUCGGAGCUCCUUCGGGCUCAAACCUGCAUUAACAAGCUCAAAUCAGAACAAAAAUCGUCUAAGAAAAAGCUUGAGGAGGAAAAGUUCCUCUGGAAGCGUCGGGAACUCAAGAAGAAGGAAUCGGUGUUGGAGGACUUAAAGGAUAAGUUAGCCAGGGAAAGGAGAAGUAAAGAGAGGAUGGAAUCACUUAACUCCAAAUUGGUGCAUGAUUUGGCCGAAGCAAAACUAUAUGCUGAGCAAUUUAUGAUUAACUACAAGGAGGAAAGGAGAAAAAGAGAAAUAACAGAGGAAGUGUGCCACGAAUUGGCGAUGCAAAUAGCAGAAGACAGAGCUAAGCUGGAGGGGAUUCGUGAGGAGAUGGAGGAAGAGAGGAAGAUGUUUCAUAUGGCAGAGCUGUGGAGAGAUGAGAGCAUUCAAAUGAAGCUACUUGAUGCCAAACUUGCCCUGGAAGAUAAGUAUACUCAGAUGAUCCACUUGAUUGCGCAUCUGCAAAGUUUCUUAAGGUCAAGAGGUGAUGAACUGGGUGCAUCUGAACCACCCAAUGUUGAACUUUCAUGUGAUUUCACCAAGUCAAACUAUGUUUUCGACACUUUUGAUGAGAUCAAAGUUAAAGAGAGGGUGAUUGGAGUUGAGUCCUGGUUCCUUUCCACUCUUACUGCUCCCUCUUCCACCGUCCACAUUGUAAGUCUUGAUGAAGAUCAUUGCCUCAACAAUAAUCUUCAUAAUGUUGACCAAAACGUGAAUGGACUAGGGAGUGAAGCAGAAUGCUGUGAAAAUUCACAGGAUGGUUGUUACAAACACUCUGACUCUUCUAUGGCACAACAAAACUCUCAAGAUCCUACUUUUGGUGAGUGUGAAGGAAGACUUCCAACAAGUUCGGUUAAGAGCCGUGGGUUCAGACAAUGGGAAUUAUUGAGACCACGAAAUUUUGCAGACUCGGUGAAUCCGCACAUUACUCGUGGAAUGAAAGGGUGCAUAGAAUGGCCACGAGGCAUGCCCAAAAUCAAUUCCAAGAUAAUUCCAAUGGAAGAAAGAGUGCGAAAACAGAAAUCUCAGUUGCAACAUCUACUUAAGCCAGUGGCUUAAGACCUUGUUUGAAAGAGAACGAGUAUACAAACAGAUUUGAAUAAAAUUCCAUUUAUUUAACUUUGUCUAAGGUGGCUUGUGGACCAAAUUUGCAGAAGAAACACCACCUCAUCACAGAUUUUAGCUUAUAUUUAUCGAAAACAGCAUUGUGUUAUUCGUGAAUUAUGAGUGUGGGUGGUUGAUUCUGUUGUAGAGAGCCAAACCAUUUCGAUAGCAAGAGGUAUUAUUAUUACUAUUCCAUGACAAGUGACAUUGCGGAUAUUACCUUGAAAUCAUGUUAUGUGUGUAAACUUUUCAGUGAUCUCUUGAUUGAGAAUUUGUUAAAUUUCAUGAUUAUUGUGUACUGAGGCUAUUGGUGCUCUUACUUUCCUUCGGGCCCAAGCUGAAGAAUUUAUGAAAUGAUAAAUUGGUUGCCUAUGAUUACAAUGGUUAUCACUGUGGCAAUCAUAACCUGUCUGAGUAAAAACGCAGAAAAACAAAGCAAUCAUGAUAUGACAUGAUUUACUUUUCUAGUGCUACAUUCAGUGUUGUUAACCUAAAUGCAAUGCCUGAGAUGAGAUUAAAUGAUUAAGAAUGAUUGGUUAAAGUGAUAACAAGAAUGUUGGUGGAGAAGAAUCCGGCGCGCCUGAUGAUGCGCCUAUAAUUUUUGGUGUCUUUCUUUGCUGGCAGAUAUUGUUAGCUAUCUUUAUGAUGACCGCCCAAUCCACGCCACCCUUCAUUAUACCAUAAAUACCACUCUUCUUUGGUUAACACAAUUUCUUGCAAUUUUUUUUACUAAAACUUUAAUUAACAAUAUAAUAUUAUAUAUAGAAUUUAGUUGAAGCAAACUUUUAAUAAAACAUCUAGUUUUAAAAAAAAAGUAUAGUUCCGAUAUCAAGUUCGAAAGAUAGCAUCGUUAGGGUCAAUAAUCAUAUCCGAUUUGGAGGUUGGUGUUCCAUCACAAUUUUGUCGUGUUUCGAUUGGGGAGUAGAUAUGUAAGGAUUUGAGGAAGUGCAUAUGUGAGGAUGUGAGAAGAAAGUGAGAAGAAAGUGAGGUUGUUUGAAUUGUAGUAUGUAGAGUGAAUCUGUGAGAAAAGUUUAUGGGAGUUGGUGAGUGAUAUGAUGGUUGUGAGGGAGUUUUAUUUUUUUUUUAAAUUGUUAAAUGUUACUUUACAAAUUUAUCCCUACCUAUUAAUUUUUUUUAAUAAUAAAAUGAGUUAUUUUUGUUUAGAAAUAAACAACUUUCACAUAUUCGUAGAUUUAAAAAUUAAAAUUAAAAAAUAUAUAUAUAUUAAAUAUAUAUAUAUAUAUAUAUAUAUAUAUAAUUUAAAAAUUAUAAUUAGAAAAAAAAAUGUAUUCGACAAAUUAAAUAAAAAUAGAACUUCAAAUAAUUUCUUAAAAUAUUAAACAUGUAUUAUAAAAUUAAAAAAUAAAUCACAAAGAUAACAUUUUUUAUUAUUAAAAACCAUAUAAUAAUAAAAAUUAAAAAAAAUACUAAAAGAAAUAUAACGUAAUUAACAAUAAAAAAUAAUUUCAUAAAAAACUAUUAUUAAAUAAAUUAUAAACUCAAAAACAUAAUAAUUAUAAAAAAAUAUAUUAAUAUAAACGCAACAAAUUAAGUAAAAAAGACAACUUUAAAUAAUUUCUUAAAAUAUUAAAUAUAUACUAUAAAAUUAGAAAAAAAAAUUACAUUUUAUAUAAAUAAAUAAAAAUAUUGUUUUUUAAUAUUAAAAAUCAUUGUAGAUGAAUAAGGGUAAAUUCAUAAAUAGUAUAUGCGGAUGUGGUUUUUCCUCUACCUCUCCUCAUCUUGAAAGAAGAGGACAUUUACUAUUCACAGGUAUAUCAUUUCCUCUUCUUCCCUGCAAAACCUUAGAUCCAAACUAUUGAUAUUCUCUUACUCCUUUUCUUGUGUAGAGUAGAUCCAUAAAAACAAAUAAAAUUUAAAAGAUGUCUCAGUAAAUUAAAAAAGGUUAAAGUAUUUAAACUAUCUUUAACCUAUUUUUUAUCAAUACUCCCAAGACUAUAUUCUAAACAAACAAAAUAAAAAUACUGCACACUGAAGUACAUUCCUUUGGUCCUGGUGAGGACUAAACAUGUAUUUGUGUGACUGAAGUGAAAUUCGCAGGUAAGUUGUGAUCCGUUAUAAGAAGAUGAAGGUUGUCUCAGACACUGUUUCCUGUGUCUACGUCAUUGCUUCCAUGCCGUGUGAGCCCCCCAACAAACAACUUUCCUUUCAUUCAUAUCGCUCAUUUCUUUUUCAUCUUGAAAUCGGUGAUUUCAUCAUUACAUUUUAUUGCAUAACACCUAUUUCCUUCAGAAAUUUAAAUUAUUUACUCUAAUUUAUUUUUAUCCUUAUCAACAUAAAGUGUUCAUGAAGAAUCUUUAAAAAAUAAGGUGUGUGGACAAUGAUUAUUAUCAGAUCUCUCCUUGAUUUAAUGAUUUUUACUUGUUCUGGUUUAAAGACUUUUAAGUAUUGUAGAGGGUUGAGUUUUUUCUUUGAAAGCCCAAAAUAUAUUUUUCAAUUGUUUUUUUUAAUAAGGUUUAUUUUUAUAAACAAUCCAUGACUUCAUUAAUUCUAGAAAAAAUAAUAUUAAAAUAGAUUAAUUAUCAUUAAAAAGUUUGGUCGUGAAUAUUUUAUUAUAAUGAGAAGGAUGUUAUUAUUCAGUAAAUAUAGUGAAUAAAAAAUGAUUAAUUAUAUUUUAAAGGUUAGUUGUAAAUCUUUUACAACAAUCAAAAAAAUUUAAAGAGUUAUUUGGGAUAUAGAUAUAGAUAUGAAAAGUGGUAGUAAACAUGAAGGUGUAAUAGUUGAGCAUAUUGAUUGAUGAUAGCUGCCAUUGGAUUUGGUGGACCUAUGUUAAAACUCUCAAAAUGACACAUUUUUGUGAUGGCUAACUAAAGGAGCCGAAAGAAGGGAUCUCAGGGCCCAAAACAAAAAGAUAAUUGUGAUCUUUUUUACAAUAGAAUUACGAGUAACCACAAGACAAAAGAGAGUGUAAUAUUUCUAUUAUCUAUACCUAAUGCAUUCGUAUUAUAAUAUUUUUUUUAUAUAAAUUUUUUUCAAUUCUACCUUUAUUUAAUAUAUAUUAUUUUAUUAAUACAAUAGAAUAUUUUGUCAUUUCAUACGAAUUAAUUAAAAAAUAAAAUUAUUUUUUAAUUUUUAAAUUAAUAUUAAUAUACAGUUUUUAUACUCAAACUGAUUUCCUCACUCUUUUUUUAAUUCUUUAUUUUAAGGCAACAACAGGAAGAAAGGGAGAAUACUCUCACACGUUUUUAAACCAAAUCUUAUAUAUCAAAUAAAAUAACAUUCAAUUUCAAUCACAUCAAUUACAUCACUCUCUCCACUUCAUUUCAAGCAAUUAUAUUUUUCUGUAAAACCAUUAUUUUUUUGUUUAUACCAUCAAAUCAAUCUUAAUCUUUACGUGAAUUACACUCUCCGAUUUCAAAACUACUAAUGAAAAAAGAAGAAAAAAAUUGAAAAAGAAAGACUUAAAAAAAAAAGAAAAAAGGUUAUUUAAUCAAUUUAUUAUUUUUUAUUUACAUAUUAUUUUUUGUUUAUAUAUUAUUUUUUGUUUUUUAAUUUUCACUAAUCCAAAAUUAUUUGUGUAUGUAUGUUAAAUUUUUAUUAUUAUAAAAAGUUGAAUAAAAGAAAAAAAAAUGCGGAUAUAUAGGAAAAAGAAAAAAGGCUUGUGUUUCCGUAGGAAAUAAUAAAGGUGUUAAUGCAAUGGGAUAUGAAAGCAGAAUAAAAUUAAACUAAUUUUACAUGGGAAUGGGAAAAAGUGGUUCAAUUUAAAUUCAACGCAAAAAAGUGAAUGAAAGUAUGGAAACAGUGAAUUUAAAAAUGGGUUAACUUUAAAAAGAAACAGUGAAAAAUGGUACGCUUGAUGCAUAAGAUGAGUAACGAAUUUCCAUUUAACUCACAAUGGUAUAUUAUAAGUUUUCUUAUUAUUUCACUAAUUUAUAGUAACAUAUCAAUUAUUUAUUCUAACAUGAAAUAACAACAUUUAGGUAUGUUUGAAAUUUAGACAUGAUUGUAUCAAGUGAAGAAAGAAGAUGGAAAGAAUAAGGAGAAAGUUAGAAAAACGAAAAAUAAAUUAUUGGAAAAUACGAAAAACAAUAUGUUUUUAACUUUCCUCCUUUUUAAAAUGAUUUGAGAAGAAAGGAUUUUUUUGAAAAAAUUAAUUAUAUACAUACUGAUUAUAUAUAAAAAUUCUGUUUUAAUAUAAAUGUUCAUAAACUUAUCAACUAUUAAUAUGUAUUUUAAUUAUUAUUUAAUAUUGAUUUUUAAUAUAAAAUUUUAUUUUAAUUAUGAUUUAUAUUUCUAAAUUUUUUAUAUUAAUUUUUUUAUAAUUUUUUAAAGUUUAUUUUGACUUUCUCCUCUCUAUCCAAAUCAUGAUAUAUCCAUGGCCCAUAACGAAAUGGAAUGUUCGGUGGACAAGUUCUCCAAAACACCUACAUUUACUUCUUAACAUAAUAUAUGGAAAUUAACCAAGAUAUCUAGGAUUUUCAUUAAAAAAAACCCUUAUUUAUCUUUCUCACAAUGUAAUAAUCUUAAUUUGCAUAACUAUAUCUAGCCAAACAAUCUUAUUAUCACAUAAUUUAUAUAAUUUCUUGAUACUCUAUUUUUGUUACAUGGUAUUCUGAUUUUGUUACAUGAUUUUUGUUACAUGAUAUUAUCAUUAAAUCUAAUUAUGCAUCAUAAAAGCUAUUAAAAAUUAAUAUCCAUUGUCCAUAUUUAUGAAGACGUAUAUGUUGAACCAGGUAAUGUUCAAGCUUUGAAGAAUCCAAACCCUUUGAAGGAUGUUGAAGGCUAGGUUGUGUUUGCUGUUGUUGAGUUGCCCUAGAUAGGAUCUAUGGUAGAUUGUGUAUGUAAUCCACUCUUUGAUUGAAUCCAAAGCAUAGGCAUUCUCAGUCUUUUUAAAAGAAAAGUGUUUUUCAAACUAAGUGAAAAACAACCGAUUGUUUUAUACUUCGGUGUUUUUAGAAAAGGUUGAAAACUAUUUUUCAAAUGGUUGAGUUGUUAAAACUAAAACAACUGAUUGAUUCGUGAAAACAACCGAUUGUUUGUUUUGGUACCAUAACAGAAAAACUGUUUUAGCUUUGACUGAGCUUUAAAUGUUUUAACUGAGCUUUAAAUGUUUUAACUGAUUACACUCCAGUCUUUAAUGCUUUGACCAAUCUUUUAAAUGCAAUGAAUAAGUUUGUUAAGAUUUGAUAACAAACAAUAUUUUUGAAUAUAUUCAGAAAAACAGAUUUGAGUAAUAAGAUUUUUAACACAAGUUUUUGAGUUUUUUGAGAAGUUGAGAUUGCUUAGAGAUUGAGAUUGAUCAAAGUGUGUGAGAUAGGAUUUCUGCUUGUAUUGAUUUCAGAUUUGUUUCUGUAACAAAUGUAAUCCUUUUAUCUGUUAAACAAGAAUCUUUGUGUGGUUGCUGAGAAGUGUUGUGUGUUCUUGAGGGGAUCAAGAUCAACAUUCUUAGUGUUGGUGUGUUGGCCAAGAGAAGUGUGUGUCUUAAGGGGAUCAAGGUCACUUUCUUGGUUGUGUUGUAAGUGAUCUAGGUUUGAUUGCUUAGUGGAAUUCCUUAGUGGUUUAUGAGAAGACUGGAUGUAGCUCUGGGUUUAGAGUGAACCAGUAUAAACAUCUGUGUGCAUUCUCUCUAUCCUUAAUCUCUUUAAAUUCAAUUUCAAUAUUUGUGAACUGGUAUAAACAACCGAUUGUUUCUGUGAAACAACCGAUUGUUUUUCUAGUGCUGUUGUUUUUGCUUUGUGUUUUGGCAAACUGAAUUCCUUAUCAUUUGUUUCUCGAAGUAAUUUCAUUCUAGGCUUAAAAGUUUGCGAAAACCCUCUUUAAACAAUUCACCCCCCUCUAGUUUAAAGCCAUAUAUUCUAACAGUAUAAAUAGACCACCACACUCAUGGAGUAAUCUCAACUCAUAUUUUGACACCAUACUCAUUUUAUACACUAUAUUUUAUGCUCCUACGGACUUGAACGUUGGAGAAUCUUCUACAAUUGGAAUCCCCUCUCCUUCUUGUAGCCGAUCCACAAAGCUUGCAAGGAUAUGAUCCAGUGACCAUUUCAAAGUUUACCUAACCUCAGAUCUAGAAAAUAAUUUGAGUAUAAGGGAUGUAUUUUAAAUGACAUCUCAAUAUUUUAUUUAUUAAAUUUAAAAUAGUAUAUAAAUAAAAAAUCAAUUACUUAGGUUUCAUUUUAAAAGAACCACCAUCUCUAUAAAAUUCAUCUUUUUCCUUUCUUUAUAUUCUCUCUAAAUUUCUGAACUCGUCUAUCACCAAACUAACGAUCAGAAUCCACCAUUAAACUCCUGUCAGCGAUUACUACAAGAAUGUUCAAUCAGAAUCUUACUUAGAGUAAGUUCAUUUUUUGUUUUUCUUCUUUUGAUUCAACUUCGAGUUUUUAAGUUUGAUUGGUUGAGAUAAGUUGCAUAUGGUGUUUUUAAUUUUAGGAUUAGUCUCUACUAGUUUAGAGUCCUGAUGAUAUGAUUAGAUCUAGGGAUGGUAAUGCGGGGCUGGCCAUGCGGGUCGGCCCACAACCUGCUACCAAAAAGCGCAGGGCGGGCCUAAUAAUCUAGCCAGCUGAACCGUUUAGGCUCACCCCGCAUAACCUGCAGCCUGAAAAAUUUGUUAUCUUCAUUAAAAUAUUUUGUAGAAAAACUUUUAUAAGAUACUUUGACAUUUACAUAUACAUAUAGAGGGAAAAUAGAUAAAAAAAAAAACUUUAAUUAUUUUUAAUCAAUUCUUAUAACAAUCCUCAUACUUGAAUUUCUUUUUAUUUUUAUCUUAAUUGAAUGAAUUGAAAGAUGGAUGAAAUUUUAAUUUUGUAGCAACAGAAAUAGGUUUUUUAUAAUUAAUGAAAUUUUAAUAUUUUUUAAAAAUAUAUUUUUCUUAUGCUGGCUAGCCCGCAAACCCGCAUGUUACCUCUUAUGCGAGGCGGGCCAAUGAAACAUUCAUUGCACAUGGCGGGUCAACCCAUCCCGCAUUUUACGGGCCAAAACACGGGGUGGGCUAGCCCGCAUUGCCACCCCUAAUUAGAUUAAUUAUUAAGACUUUGUGGUUUAUGUUAAGCUAUCCUUGGCCCCGGUUGGAUUAGAGCUCUUUGUGACUAUACCUAUUCAAACAACUUAUGUAAGGAAAGGUGGUUUUAAUUUUCAAUAGAACUCUAAGUUAGAAGAUCUGGAUAUGCAGACAAUCUCUGUAAUUAAUGCCCUACCCUCUUUAUGAGGAGUAAAUGGAAUCUUUUUUCAACAUUUCCAGAGAUCGGUAUGAGGUCUUCUUUCACCUAAUUAUUGGGCUCGACCCAAGACGUUCAUAACCACUAUUUUCAUAGAUUGGCAUUGAGAUCGUUUCACCACAUGAUUGAGCUCACUCAGCCCAUGACCUCACAGCCUCCAGCCUCAGGCAUAAGCCAAUGAGGCUGAUAAGCUCAUAACCAUUAUGUCCAUAGAUUGACAUUAAGACCGUUUCACCACAUGAAUGGGCUCAGCUUAUGACCUCACAACCCUCAGUCUCAAGCAUAAGCCAAUGAAACUAAUAAGUUCAUUGGUAUUGCUUGGUCGGUCUUUAACCUAUCAUUUGGGCUUGUGUCCUCGUGCACUUUAUUGGAGCUCGCACCCCAUCAUUAUUUCUACCACAUCUUUUCAAGCAUUAAAUUGAAACUCCUUCACACGUAUCCACCAUUGAUUGGUCAAAUUUGAUUAACAUUCUAUGCCCGUACACAUUCCACCUUUCAACUGACUUCCGAUAGAGAACUAAAUUAAAAGAAAAAAAAAACCUAAAGAAAAAUAAAGUAGAAAAAAGGAAAUAAGAUAAUAUAUAUAUAAUAAAAUAUUAAUAAAAUAAAAAUUAAAAAUAAUAGUUGAAUUGUAUAAAAAAUAAUAAAACAAUUAUUACAAUUAAAAAAUAAGCAUAUUAUUAAUAUUAAUAGUAAAAUUAUAAAAAUAAUAUUUAAAAAUUAAUAAUAGAAAAAUUAUAAAAUACUAAUAAUAUUAAUGUUAAAAAUAAAAAUAAAAAUAAAAUCUUAAAAUAAUAAUAAUCAAAAUAAUUUAUAAAAUAAUAAUAAUAUAUAAUAAAAAAUCAUAAAUCAUUUUUAUAAUAAUAAAUAUAAUAAAAUAAUAAAUAAUAAUAAUAAUAUAAUUGUAAAUAAUAAUAAUCAAAAUAAAUUUAUAAAAUAAUAUGUAUAAUUACUUUAUUUGUCCCUACAUUUUGGGGCAAUAUUCAAUUUAGUAUAGUGGUUUUUAAAAAAAUUAAUUUGGUCCCUAUGUUUUUUAAAAUGUAACUAAAAUGGUCCUUUUUGUUGAGUCGCACCAAACGGCGUCAACUGGUGCUUAUGUUGCAUAGAGAAGUGGGAUUGGGUUUAGUGUGAGGUAUGAGGUGUCAAUUGACGUAGAUGGUUAGAUUAAUUUAAUGAAAAAUGAAUUGGGGGUUAGGGUUUGUGGAAUUUGAAUUGGGAAUUUUCCACUUGCUUGCCAUGGUAACUAGGCGAUGGAACCACCGACUCCAUAUCUGAUCUCCCGAACGAGUGUCUGGCUUCGGUGUUUCAUUUUCUCAGCUUCGGUGAUCAAAACCUCUGUUCACUCGUUUGCCAGCGGUGGCUCCAGAUCGAAGGACAGAGUCGACACCGUCUCUUGCUGAAUGCAGAAGCAGAGCUGCUCUCAGCAAUUUCAUCGCUCUUCUCUCGGUUCCGAUCAGACCUGAUGUCCAUUUGCUUGUAGGAGCUCUACAAUGGACAAUGUUUCAGAAUGCUGAUUCUCGGCUCAUAGAAUCUAAAGACCUUGAAACUUUUUCGGUGCUCCGGGGAUUGGGAUCGAUUGUUUCAAUUAAUGGAUGAUAGAAUUACUAAAAGGAUUGAGAUUCACCUCGAGAGACUUCAGAUUAGCGACAUUGGAUUGCAAGCCAUCUCAAAUUACUCGAAUUUCGAGAUUUUGCAUCUUGUUAUGACCCCUGAAUGAUCUGAUAUUGGACUUGUUGUUAUUGCAAACAAGUGCAAGCUUUUGCGAAAGCUGCCUUUCAUAAAACCCCAUUUCUUCUCUCUCUGCAAAGCUCCAAGCUUUUUCCUUUCCGGCUUGCAGCAUUUUCAGCGUCAGAGAGAUCUCAAUGUCUCCCUACCAUGGCAAGCAAGUGGAAGAAUGUCAGUUGUCCCGCCUGAGCGACUUCAAAGAAAUUCAAUGGUUGGGUGAUAGCUGUCGUUUUGCUGUCAAAUUAAUAUGAUUCUAGCGUAGACUUGUCUAACACUAGAGAGAUGAUAGUAUAAUUGUGGCCAGAUGACCCCAAGUCGUCUCCCAACGAAUCCAAUAGUAAAAUCAGUUGAUCAGGGUUUAAAAUCUAUCUGCAGACAAUACAAGUUAGCAAUAACAAUAAAGAUAAAAAGGGGGUUUGAGAUAGUUGUGCAGAAAAUAUAAAAAAAAAUUAAAAUAACAAAUAAAAAGCGGUUGAUCCCAAGUUCUUCCACCAUUGAAUUCUUCACAGGUUCUCUAAAGAUUAAUCUUUUCUCAAUCCUCCAACAGAGCUAAACCAGAUUGAACAUGCGCCGAUCUGAUUCAACUGAAACUCACCAGUAAAGCAUGCCUCUACUAGUUUAAUCAAUACCCACUUUGUUCCAUGCGUAUACUCCAUAGGAAUUCUUACCUCCUCUCCCUUGAAUCAUGCGCCCAAGAAAUUAAUUAGAACUAUGCGAACUAACUAAGAAACCAAAGUUUAAGACAAGGAAGACUCUCAAUCAUGCGUUCAAGUACAACCUCUCACAAAAACUAGUUUUCCAGGAGAUUAGACAAUAAAAACAACUGCUAUAGAGAAUUAAAAAUCGAAACUUUUAUUGGAACAAAACCUCAGAACUCGAUGGGGAAUUACAAAAGAAUCAACCAAAAAGGUUUAGCCUUCCAUGCGGAGGCAAAACAAAAGAAUUACUAAGAAGAAAAUAAACUAAGAAAAUCCUAUGCAGCUCUCCCUUUUCUCCUUGAUGCUUGUGUCCUUUUAUAGGCUUUUCACCUCCAAGGAUCUUGAGAGAAUAUUGUAGUUUAUAUUUUGUUAACCGUUUCCAAGUUUCUAUCUUUCCAUAAUUCUUGUAUUUUGCAGAAGAUUCGCUUCCAAUUCUGUUUCUGAGAUAUUGUAGAUUUUAUUUUCUCUUUCUUCUCCUCAGAAUUUGUUUCCUGUUUUGGUUCAAGAAGCAACUUGGACUUUUGCAUAUUUGGCCCAUUCACAAAGGUAGAUGCUUCCUCUGGAUAAUUUACUCUAAAAACACAAAAUUAACAAUAAUAAUAGUUAAGGCCCAAAUAAACCCAAUUAUAAGAAUAUUAAUUAAAACAAUGGAUUUAUUUAUUAUUAUAGUCCAAUAAUCUAUGAAUAAGGCUAGUGAGUGUGAAUAAAUAUAUGCUCAUCAUUGGGGCAAAGUGGUACAGAGUUUCGCGUUGAGGAAUUUCAAGGGAGAGAGAAGCGCAUCAGGCUGAGGUCUCCUCACAUCACAUCUCUCAAUUCACCUCUCUCUGUCACAUAUGCAAUACUUAACACAUCUCUUCGUUACAUAAGAAUCAAUUGACGCUGUAAGGUGUGUUAGAAUGGAUGACUUGAAACUAGAGGGGGGUGAAUUGUUUAAAGAGGAUUUUCGCAAACUUUUAAAACAAGAAUGAAAUUAUCUCAAGAAACAAUUGAUAAGAAAUUUAGUUUGCCAAAACAGCAAUAAAAAACAGCAGAACCAGAAAAACAAUUGGUUGUUUAUACCAGCAAACAACAAACAAAACUGAAUUUAAAGAGUUAGGGAUAGAGAGAUUGCACACGGAUGUUUAUACUGGUUCACUCCAAAUCCAGAGCUACAUCCAGUCUUCUCAAAAACCCUGAGGAAAUCCACUAAGCAAUCACACCUUGAUCACUUACACCACAACCAAGAAAGUGACCUUGAACACCUCAAGACACACACUCUUCUUGGCCAACACACCAACACUAAGAUUGCUGAUCUUGAUCCCUUCAAGAACACACAGCCAAUCUCAGCAAACACAGAAACGAAACUUGUUUCACAGAGUACAAGGAUUACACUUGUUACAAAAGAUAAUCUGAAAUCAAUACAAGCAAAAUCCUAUUCCACACACUUUGAUUAAUCACAAACUCUAAGCAAUCUUAGCUCUUUGAAAAACUCAAAAACUCUUUUCAAAAUCUUGUAAAAGAUUAUUACUCAAAUCUGUUUUUCUGAAUUUAUUCAAAGAUGUUGUUUGUUAUCAAAUCUUAACAAACUCUUAUAUUGCAUUAAAAGAUUGGUCAAAGCAUUUUAAUGACUGGAGCGUAAGCAGUUAAAUCAUUUAAAGCUCAGUCAAAGAUAAAACAGUUUUUCUGUUAUGGUCCAAAAACAAACAAUCGGUUGUUUCCUCGAAUCAAUCGGUUGUUUUGGUUCUAACAGUUCAACCAUUUGAAAAACAGUUUUCAAUCUUUUCUCAAAGCAUCUAAGUAUAAACAAUCGGUUGUUUCGACAAAACAAUCGGUUGUUUUAACUUAGUUUGAAAACAUUUUACUUUCACAAAGAUUGAGAAUGCCUAUGCUUUAGAUUCGAUCAAGGGGUGGAUUACAACACUCAAACUACCCCAGAACUAAACUAAACUAACACAGCAACAGCAAGCACAGCCAAGGCUUCAACAUCCUUCAAAGGGUUUGGAUUCUUCAAAGCUUGAACACCACAUGGUUCAACAAGGUGCCACUUGACGGAAAGGACCGAUUUGAGUACAUUUUAAAAAACAUAGAAACCAAAUUAAUUUUUUUAAAAACCAUUAUACUAAAUUGAAUAUUGUCCAAAAUGUAGGUAUAAAUAAGAUAAUUAUACCAAAACAAUAAUAAUAUUAAAUGAAAAUUAUUUUAUUUUAUUUUUAUUUUAUAAAAAUAUUUAUGGAUAUUUAGAAAUAUCAACAGUGUUACCUUAAUGGGCCUUCGUUGGUGGGUCGGAUUAAGAGGUUGGUUCAUAUUUAGGGUUGUGCUAAUCAACUCUUAAUUGGAUUAACCUUGCUGACUUGGUCAACCCAUGGCUCAUCGUCAUGUGUCGGUCGACCAUGUGUCGUCACGUGACCUUCUUAUCUUGGUCGAGUGGUUCGAGUCACUGAGUCGUUUGGUCAUGCCAGUACACUUGCCCCCAAGGCUCGAGGGCUGAUGACGCCGAAGAGUCUGAAAAUUGGGUGUCGUUCAGUGGUGUGAUGAUGGGUGAUGUGACUAGAGGCGACACCUGAACGAGUGAUGUGACGCGCAUUUAUGAGGGGAUUUUUGGGCACCAAACGACGUGGACCGCUGGAUCCAGCAGAUCCAACGAUUGAGAAUUUUGUGAUGUUUGGGCUUUCGAGACGUCUUCGGACAACAAAUAGAGGUUGUCAAUAGUGGCUUCUCACGCUUCCUGAUUCACAUUGUGCUCUAAGACCGAAACGGUUGUUAUCGAUUUGUGUUGCUUUCUUCGUUCGUCCAAGGUUAGUGAUGUCUUCUCAUUCUCGUCCUACAUCUUCUUCUUGGCUCUCUCUCUCCUCUUCCCGAACCCGCUUCGUCCUCAUUUUCUUCGUCUUCUUCAUCCACUUCCUCCUCCAACAAAAUUCAUUCGGUCGGAGCAAUUCAAACUGUUGCCCCCAAGAUGGAGGAAGUGAGGGGUGAUGACGCGGGCAAUACGUCUGACCGAUCGAACUAAUCUGAGCGGUCGCGCCGUCAUGAGGGCCCUAACUGGGUUGAUUCCAAAGUGUUUGGGAUCACGUUUGUCUUCCAUACAGACGUCUCUGUUUUGAUUUUUUUUAAAGAGGGUCCCUAUUUUGAAGGCUUCUGCCAGGGGAUCCCUCUUAUCAAUCAGUCCUUGCUCGUUGACCGAUCGCGUAUAUAGGGAACGAUCAUCCACCGAACUCCCUUUCUUCUUCAUGCUUAAUUGUCUUUUUUCUGACUUGCAUGUGUCGCUUCCUUUUGACACAUUCAUGGUGGGCAUCCUUCAGGCGGUCAACAUGGCGCCAAGUCAGUUGCACCCGAAUAUGUGAGUGUCCAUGCAGGCCUUUCGUGUGGUAUGUCAAAUGUUUGGUGUGCGUCCUGCCACGUCUUGCUUCUUGCACUUCUAUACUUCUCACCCGUCCGACCCUGUUGGCUGACAUUCGUUGGUCAGGCGGGCAGGUAGCAUUUUGUUCAAAACCUUCACGGCUUCCUAUAAGAACUUUAAAGAAAGGUUCUUUAAAGUGUUUGUGGAGCCUGCGGUAUGCCACACUUCUUCGACGCAGCUGGCCAGCCUAGGUUUCCUUUGUCUUGGACUAGGAAUCCUACAAAGAUAAAGGAUUGGCCUCGUCCGGUCAACCCGAUUACUGGUGAACGGGUGAAUUUUUUCCUCUUUGAUAGCCUCCCUAGAAAUCUCCCUGCUCGACCACUGAUGUCCCUGUACACCGAGUCCGAUCGAGAGGCGACCUUUGAGGGUAUGUUAACACCUUAGACCUUCGGUCGUUUAUUUUAAAUUUUAACUAACGCUAUGUUUUUUGGUUGCAGCGAUAGCAAAAAGAGAAGUUCCACAAGUGAUCAGCAUGUUGAAGGCAUUCAAAGAUACCCCCUGAGGCUCCUCAGGCCGAGGCCUGAGCGUGGCCAUCCUAGAAGAACCCCAAGAAGAGGGCAAAGGAGGGCGACAACACUACCCGAACAUAUCGCUCUCCAGGCAAGAUACCCAUUCCUCCUCCGAGCCGAGCCCCUAUCAACCUCGACUCCCCGCCGACUGAUGAAUUCAACCAACCAAUCCCAACUGCGGUCACGAUGCCAGUGGCGAUCGUCCAGGAGUCACCCCUAUCAAUGUUGGGGGGUGACCUGCAAUUUGCUAGGGGUAAGUUUUAAUUUGCCCCCCAAUAAUGAAGAACUGAUCUGGGCGGUCCCUAAAGACGACCUGCUCAAGGGCGGCAUAGAGAUUAUAUGCCGAGGGUUGAUCCUGACCCGCCAAGGGGCCACGGUGCGCGAUCGGCGUGUGGAGGAGAUCUCCCGCUUGGAGCAAAAGCUCCUUGAGGUGUCGGGCAGCUUGAAGCAAGUUGUUGACGCGAACACAACCUAUGAGAAGCGUCUGUGUGACCACCCUGUUGAGCGCGAGCUGGACGCCGCUCAGAUAACCGAGUUGGAGCGGCUUCAAGUUGAUACCACAGCUAAGAACACUCGAAUGAAGAAGACCCUGGAGGAGGUCGGCCAUAGAGUGGCGUCACUGGAGGAGGACGUUGCCUCGCUGAAGCAAAGGAAGGAGGCGGUGGAGGCCGAGCUAGAAAAGACCAUAGAUAACACCAUGGCUUUGAUCAUCCAGAGCUUCGACUUGGUUGUUCAGUAGGCUGGGGUACUAUAUGGUGGCCCUCCCCCUUCUGGUCGAUUUGACAAAGAGAUAGAGGUAUAUGAUGGUCGCUUUGUUCCCACAGACAAGGUUUAGACUCUACAGACCGCCACCCAACCAGCACCAAGCGAAGACGCUGAAGACUAUAGUUUAGGUUUUUAGCUUUUGUUGUCUUUGUUUGUUUUGUUACCUUCAAGCUGGGGUGUGGCCUCCUUCUUUGCUUAUUAUGAAUUCAAUCAACUUCUUCUUUUGAAAAUUUGCACAAGUUACUGCUUUCGGUCGAUGUGUGUGGCGUGAGUUAAAAAUGACCAAUUUAAUUAACGCAACUGGUGUAAGUUAACCCUCUCGGUCGUAGAUGCAUAGCAAAUAUUUUGACAAGUUAUAUCACAUGAUCGGUGUAGUGCUUCAUUCAGUUAUAGCCAGUGGUAUCUGGAUAGACCAAUACAUUUGAGUGGGUAUCGGGAGGGAAUGUCGGUUAAGGCUACAACCUGGCCGAACCGUGGGGAUGAAGUGUUGGGAGGGUAUGUCGUUUAAGGCUUCGUCUUGGCCAACACUUAUCUAGAGGGUAUGUCGGUUAAGGCUUCAUCCUAGCCAACACUUGUGUUUAGGUCACGAGAGGGUAUGCUGGUUAAAGCUUCAUCCUGACCGAACCGUGCCUCUUAGGUUGAUUUUAUAGUUUGCACAUUGUUUGAUGAAAACGCCUCGUUAAAACCUUUCCGACCGCUGGUGCUUCUGGGCGAGGAAAGAGUGCAUGGAUUUUAUUCAUUGUUCAACUGAAAUAAAAUUUGAGGUGCAAGGCAUUCCACGUCCUUGGUACAACUUUGCCUGACAACCACUCUAGGUAGUACGCUCCCCCUUCACCUACUUCUCGGAUUCGAAAUGGUCCUUCCCAAUUUGACGAGAACUUGUCGUCCGACUUCCUAGCGUCGCUGCGGAUUCUCCAGACGAGGUCUCCUUUGUGGAAGCUUCUUGGUCGAACCUUCGUGUUGGAUCUUCUUGUCGCUCGAAGCUUGCACCCGGCCUCGCGAAUUUUUCUCUUUUCGUGGAGCUCGUUGAUGAGGUCAAGUCCGACCGCCAGGCUUUCCUAAUUUAGGAAUAAAUCAAACAACUUCCACCUAAUGGACGGCUCGCCCACUUCGACUGGGAUAAUGGCUUCAGUGUCGUACGUGAGGCUAUAUGGCGUCUCUUGUGUCGUCGUCUGAGGCGUGCACCGAUAUGCUUAUAGGAUCUCGAGCAGUUCCUCUGUCCACCUUCCCUUUGUUGCGCCAAGUCUUUUCUUCAACUCGUUCAAGAGGACUUUGUUAGCCGCUUCGGCUUGACCAUUCGUCUGGGGUGUUCGACCGAGCUGGUCACAGAUUUGAUGCCGCAAUCAUCAUAGAAAGUAUGAAGCCCUCGGUCGAUGAACUGUCGUCUAUUAUCUAAUACAAUUGUGAUCGGUACCUCGAAACGACACACGAUAUUCUUCCAAAUAAAUUUUUAGACAUUUUUAGCUGAUAUAGAGGCUAGAGGCUCAGCUUCUAUCCACUUUGUGAAGUAGUCCACCGCGACCAAUAGAUGUCUAUUUCCCAUAUGGCAAACGGCCAGGGCGAUGUCAUGCUGUGGAGCUCUUCUGGUUUCGAGUGGUGCAGUGGACCGAACUCUUGGCAUUUCAGACAUUUCUUCACGUAUUCUACACAAUCUCCCUGAACGGUCGGCCAAUAGUACCCUGUCCGGAUGACUUUGGCCGCCAUUAUUCGUGCUCCAGAAUGGCUGCCUCACGCUCCAUCAUGCAUUUCUUGUAGCACAUAUUAUGCUUGUCAUUUGGUGAGGCACUUCAGGAGUGGUGUUGAGUAACCCCUAUGGUACAGGUCCUGACCGAUCAUAGUGUAUCGGGUGCAUUGCAGUCUGAUUGUCUUCUCGUCUCCUGAUUUGCACGUUCCAUGCUCAAAGUAUUGGACGAUUCGACUCAUCCAUGUGACGGCCUCAGUAAUGGCCAAGCAUUUGGUAUCUUCAACGCUUGGUUGCUCCAAAUGGAUCUAAACGACUGACCAAAGAUGGCUUUACUUUUUUGUGGAAGCGAGGCGAGGCAGUGCGUCCGCUCGUUCAUUGUCUUGUCGGCGUAUGUGUUCGAUAACGACCUUAUCGAAUUUGGAAAUUGAAUUGCCGAUCGUGUGAUAGUACCGUUGGAGUAGGGGCUCCUUAACCUCAAAUUCACCUUUGAUCUGGCUGACGACCAGUUGGGAGUCACUCUUGCAUACAACUUCACGGGCUCCGAGGUCAUGGGCGAGGUUGAGGUCGGCCAGGAUGGCUUCAUACUCGGCCUGAUUGUUCGUUGCUUUGAAGGCAAGUUGCAACGCUUGUUCAACCAGUAGGUCGUCUGGUCCUUUUAGGACGACCCCUGCGCCACAGGCGGUCUUAUUGGACGAUCCAUCCACAUAUAACAUCCAUUUGGUCGAGCCCUUUGGUUGUGGUGCUAGCUCUACCAAGAAGUCCGCCAAACACUGGGAUUUGAUGGCACUUCUCGGUUCGUACCCGAUGUCAAAUUCUGACAGCUCGAUCGACCACCCUAUCAUUCACCCUGCAAGAUCGGGUUUAGACAAUAUUUUAUAUAUAUGGCAGUUGUUCUUUACCGUUAUGGCGUAGUUUUGGAAGUACGGUCGCAUCCUCCUUGUGGUCAGAACUAGCGUUAGCACUAACUUUUCUAUCAUCUGGUACUUUUGUCUCGAUUGCGUGAAGUGUGCGACUGACAAAGUACACCGAACCUUCCUCUUUGUUGAUCUCAUGUACCAAGGCGGCGCUGAUCGCUUCUUCUGAUAUUGCCAGGUAUACUACGAUCGACAGGUUCUGCCUUGGCUUUUGAAAGACAUCCGGAGACGACAAAAAUUCCUUGAGAUGGCUGAAAAUGUUUUCCCAUGUCUCAUUCCAACUGAACUUUGUUGUUUUUCGAAGCAUUUGUGUCAUCGGUCAAUUGUUGUACCUCCUUCAGGUUCUUCGGGCUCCUCAUUUCAGUUAUUGCUUUACACUUGUCAGGGUUGGCCUCGAUUCCCCUGUGGGUCAGCAUGAAACCCAAGAAUUUCCCCGAACGCGCACUUCUCGGGGUUGAGGCGCACAUUGGUCCUUCUUAGAGUGCCAAAGACUUCCUACAAGUCUUUGAUGUGUUGGUCGCACGAGUUGGAUUUGACCUUUAUGUCAUCCACGUAGACCUCCACGCUUCUAACGAUCAUCCCCUUGAAGAUCUUAUCCAUCAGCCGCUGGUAUGUUGCUCCUGCAUUCUUUAUGCCAAACGACAUUACCUCAUAGAAGUAGUUUGCACCGUCGAUCGUAAAAGUCGUCUUCUCCUUAUCCCUGGGAUGCAUGCUUAUCUAGUUGUAGCUAGAGGAAGCGUCCAGGAAGCUCAAUACCUUGUACCCGACUGUCCCAUCAACCAGCCGGUCAAUGUUUGGCAGGGGUUAGGAGUCCUUUGGGCAGGCUUUGUUGAAGUCCUUAUAGGCCACGCACAUCUGCAACUUGCCAUUGGACUUGGUGACCAUGACCACAUUGGCCAACCAGGUUGUAUAUCGGGCUUCUCGGAUGAACCCGUUAGGAGCUUCUCAGCCUCUGCUUUGGUCGCGAGCCUUUUUCUUCUCCAUGGUUUCUCUUCUUUUGCGCGACCGGACGUGCUUCUUUGUAGAUUGAGAGUCUGUGGGUUAUGACUUUAGGGUUCACGCCUGACACCUCGACGGUUGUUCAGGCAAAAAGAUCAACAUUUUUCCUCAAAGCUUGAUGUAUGAGCUCGGCGUCAGCGACUACCAUUGUUGUGCCGAUACUCGUGUAGUGUUCUUCAUCGAUGAGUGGGUCGUGACGCAGCUCAUCCUUCGCUUCAAGCCUUGGUUCGACCUCUCGUGGGUCAAGAUCGAUCAUAGCGACCGCAUGUUCCGUCGGUCGCAUGUUUAUUUGGGGAGACCUUCCUCGUCCAGGCAUCUUACGCCUGGGUGAUCGACUGCCGACCACCUUCUGACAAGUGAGUUCCACUCUCAAGCUUUAUGCGUAACACUCCCUUGCAAUCUUCUGAUCUACAUGGAUCGUCAAAAUGUCACCCGACAGAGACGGGAACUUCAUCACCAGAUGCAGGGUGGAGACUAUCACUCCAAGCUUGUUUAACAACGACCGUCCGAGCAGAAUGUUGUAUGAAGUAUUGGCAUCAAUAACCAAGUACCUGAUCUUCAUGGUUUUACUCAUCUUUUCUAAGCCGAAGGUGGUGUACAGCUCCAUGUACCCCUUCGUACUUACUCGCUCCCUUGAGAAGCCAACUAUGUUGUUGUCAUAGAGUCUCAUUUCCUCUAUAGGAAUCUUCAUAGCUUUGAAGGUCUUCUAGUAGAGGAUGUCGACUGAGCUCCCCUGGUCUACUAGGGUCUUCAUGAUGGUGAAAUUGUCGAUGUUGACCGAUAUCAUCAUUGGGUCAUCCUAGGAGGGGUCUACCCCUUUGAAGUCUUCAUCCGUAAACGUGAUAGGUGGCAUCCUCGGCCGAACGGCCACAAAGUUGACUUGGUGUACUGCGCGUAGAUGCUUCUUCCUAGCGUUGUUCGAGCUGCCUCCUCCAGCAAAUCCACCAGCAAUGGUGUUUAUGACUUCGCGGUCCCUCCUUCAAUCAUCUUUUGGAGGGUCGUCCCUUUUCGUGUGGCGUUUCUGUCACCGAUUGUCCUCCCUCGCCCUUGGAAGUGUGUGGUCUCUCUUCCUUGAUAUUUCUUCCCGACGUGGGGCCUUGUACAAAGCGGCGCAAGUGUCCGGCCUGUAUCAGUUCUUCUAUCUUAUCUUUCAAGGCUUGGCACUCUUCGGUCGAAUGACCGGUGUUCUGGUGAUACCGACACUUCUUGUUGCGGUCAGCAUUGUCGGGACUUAGGGCCCUUUUGGGCGAUGGCAUCAAUUCCGCACUAAGAGCUUCUUGCAGAAUCUUCCCUCGAUCGGCGUUGAGGGGUGUAUCAUGAGAAUCGGGGACCACGAUUAUCCCGCCUGGGGUCUCCUCGUCCGGACCCGAACUUCCCUUGUCGCUCUUUGUCAUCCUUCUUCUCACCACUCGCUUUUGCCCGAGCUUGGUUUGUAAACUCACACAACUCCUCCAGUUGCAUGAACUUGGCGGCUCGGCGCCUAAGUUCGUCCAAGCUUGCAGCAGGUUGCACGCACAAGCCAUCUGCGAAAGGACUCGGUCGGAGGGUCGUGAGCAUGUUGUGCAUCGCCACAUCAAGACUAAGAUUUCGGAAGCUCGUGGCGACCUUCCCAAACCAGUCGAUGAACUUCCUCAAUGAUUCCACCUUCUCCUGGCAGAUGUUGACCAGGCGAUGGACAUCAGGUGAUGGGGCCGAUUGGUAGCCUACUGGGCGUCGAACUUGGCCACCAGCAUCUCAAAGAAGUGGGGAAGACCCGGCAUAGAACCGCGUCAUCCGUGGUAUACAGAAUCAUGUGAGUGGUAUACGCGUCCAUGUGCUCAUCAGGGUCGGUCGUUCCAUCGUAACGGUCCCUGUUGACCCUCUUCCACUUGUCCGGUAGGGGAGCUUCGAUGACAAAAUCAGUGAAAGGGUGUCGGCGACCAGUCAUCGCAGUCUCGGUCGUGUUCAGCGACUUAUUGAGAUGGGACUCACCAUCCAUCUCCAAGGUGAGGACUUUGUUCUUCGGUUCUCUCUCAGUUUGAGGACCGAUAGCGGUGGCAAAGGACCUACCGACCUGAUUGGUCGGGUCCACGGACGGUCCUCCUUCUACGAGCUUCUUCAUUUCCUGAUUCUCCUUUCGGAGGUGCCUGAUCUCACCUUCAUUCCUCCUGGUGGUUUCCUCGUGCACCUUCUUCAUCUCAGCCAACUCUUUUUGUAGAGCCAUCAACAUUGUCGUUUGGUUUGCCUCUGACAUCCUCUCGCUUGUCAUGUUUUGGGUUGAUACCAUCUACUAUUUCUUCUUCACACUUAUCCUCUCGGCCCCACGGUGGACGCCAAUUGUUCUCGAACGGGUGUUGGGCCUAGAGAACGAUUACUUUGUUCCUCCCUUCGGGCAGUCGCUAUCACUCUCAGCUUCCUGCUUCGCCUUUCUCCUCUCGGUCGUCUAAUCUCACAGGUUGUGAUGGUACCUACAGAAGGCACUCCAACAAUCAAGUCAGUCAGGGUGUCGACACUCGGUUGUCAGAGUACUGUAGAUAAUGACGUACCUGAUUCUUGGAAUCUGUGCUAUUUAUAUUACCUUAAUGGGUCUUUGUUGGUGAGCCGGAUUAGGAGGUUGGUUCAUGUUUAGGGUUAUGCUAAUCAGCUCUUAAUUAUGGAUUAACCUUGCUGACUUAGUAAACCCAUGGGUCGGUCGACCAUGUGUCGUCACAUAACCUUCUUAUCGUGGUUGAGUGGUUCGAGUUCCUGACCGAGCCGGUUCGAGUCACUGAGUUGUUCGAUCGUGCCAGUACAAAAUAUAAACACAAUCAUAAUAAAUUUGCACAUUCCUUUAAUUUUAUUUUAUAUUAUUAAAAAUAAGAAUAUAAUUAAUAAAAAAUAAUUAAUGCAGUUUUAAACUUUACUCUAUAUAAAGGAAUAAUUUGUUUUCUAUUAGAACAACCGUUAGAGAGGAAUAGUGGGAGUAGUAUUUUAAUAUAGAAAGUUGUGUAAAUUUUAUUGAGAAAAUUUGGGUGCCAACCCUUUUUAAAGCUUUUUUACGCUCUUUCAUCAUAGUACUCCAUCAUUAGUCAUAUUUAUAUUUAGUUAAUGUUGAUUAACGAAAUAGAUACUACUUAAAAUAAUUAAAGAUAUUAAAAAUAAAAAUAAAAUUAAUUUCAUUGAACAAAAUCUCACAAGACAAAUAUCACAAAAUAAGAAAAACAAGUGUCAGAGUAAAAUAACCCAUCUAAUAAAACAUCUUAUCUUGAGGAAAAUAAAUGACAUGACAAACUACCUGGUUUUAAGAAAACUUUAUUGCAAUAAUUAAAUCAUAAGAUGAUAAAAUUUACAUAUAUCGAAGAAAAGUACUUUUAAAAUAAUGAUGGGAUGUGAAAACCUCCCUUACAUAUGUUUGUGAUUUUUUAUUUUUAUUUUUGUCUAUUUAAGUACAAGUAAAUUAAAUAAAUAAAUAAAAAAUGUAAAUUAAAAAAUAAUUUGGAACUAGCCGACAAAAGCAGUGUUGGAGAUCCUCCUUGAGCGUGCUAUGGUAUCUGCACUGCUACUGCAGUUAAACCCUAAUAAUCAUGCAGUGUGGGCAUGUUUCUCUUUCAUCACUAAAAAAAAGUGUAAAAGAAUUAAACAUUGGUAACAUCAGAUGAAUCCUUGGACUGACAGAAGUAAACACAUAAUUGUGGCAGUUUGUGGAGUGUGGUUGUUGAUAAAGAUAAGAAGAUAAUAGAGAAUUAUUGUACUUGUAAAGUUGAUUUUGUAUGUGAUUUUCCUAAGUUAUGGGAUUAUUUUCUCACUAUGGCCCAUUCCUUAUGUGAUGUUAUGAAGCCGCAUUGUCUAAACUUUAUUUUACUCUUUCUCUCAUUGGCAUUAGGAAGUACAGAAUUGAACAGUUGGCUCAGAAUAAAACUACAGCAUACAUAGCAUAGGAUGCUUGGUUCUACUGAUGGGUCUAAAUCUACCAGAGUUGGACCUAUGGCCCAGGGGCCCACUCCUGCCAAAUCCAACCAUUUCCUGUGUUCUGGCCCACUUUUACUGCCCACUCCACAAUCUAAGGCCCAUAACAAACUUGUGAGAAAAAGAAACCAACCAUUCUCCUGCCUCUCAUCAAUAAUGAGUAGUGCAUUUAAAAGAUGGCAGUUUUGCAGGCACAGUUACCUUCACGCUUAAAGUGAGUGAAGGAAGCGUGACCGGGCUGGGCCCAAGGCCCGUGCUGGUUGAUUCAGAAAUGGUAUUGAGGUGAUAACACGACAGGUGGCACCGAUGUGGGUCCCACACGGAGGCCGAACGAAAUUGUGGACCGCUGAACGUGGGUCUCUCACGGAGCUUGAUUUUGUUUGAAGAAGAUGGCAUGGUAGUGAAAUUUGAUUAGUGUACUGGCACGACCGAAUCAUCCAGUAAGUUCGUCAUUAAUUCCAUCAUUCAAUCACUCGGUCAAAAAUGAGAAAAUCACAUAAUAAUACGUGGUCGAUCGAUCGAUAGCGACGAUUUAUGGAUUGAUCAAGUUAGUAGGGUUAAUUCAUAAUUAAGAGUUAUUUAGUACAAUCUUAAAAACGAAUCAAUUUCUUAAUCCGAUCAACCAACAAAGGUCCAGGUAAUUUAAAUAGCACAGAUUUCAAGAAUCAGGUACAUUAUUUAUAGUACUCUAACAAUUGAGUAUUGACAUCUUUACUAACUUGAUCGUUAGAGUGUCUUUUGCAUGUAUUAUCUCAACCUAUAAAAUUAGACGACUAAGAGAAAGAAAGAGAAACAGAAAGUUAAUAACGAACAAUCGACCGAAAGAGUAGAAAAACAAUCCUUCUCAAGAACAAUCCGGUAAAUAUUAGUUUAGCUCCAAAUUGGGUUGUUGGGUAAGUGAUUGAUUAUCUUGAACCUUAUUUUGCAAUAAAUUAGAACCUGUGAUUGUGAAGCCACGUGGAGGAGAUUGAGAGAUGAUCGAGGGGCCCUGGUCUUCCAGAAUCUUACACGUGGUGGGUAGUAAGAGGUGGCACACACAAUAACAUGUGGACCCUCCAUCUUUAUUGCAUUUGGCAACUGUAAUUAUAUUUUAUAGUAAUGUUGUUAUAUUUGUUGCAAACAGUAUAAUAGUGUCUGGUUUAAAAAUUAGAAUGAAGUGUGGUGUGGUUGACUAGAAUGAUGCCUUUCCAAAUAUUGUAAUCCACUAAUUGAAUUCCCAUUUGGUUUUAAAAUAAGGCACCUUGCAUUGGAUGCCACAUAACUGCCCUUUCACUCAUUCCUAUUCCAGACCAACUUGUUCAUUUCUUUUCAAAAUUAAGGGCAGUGGAAGAAAUAUGUGAAUCCUCACUACUCACUACCACUCACCCAAGUACAAAACAUAAAUCUCUUUAUGCCAAUUAUAUAGCCACCAACAACAAUACUGCAAAUUUCAAUCUGCCUUUCUCUUCUUUUCUUACACAUCCAAUUUCUCCUAUGUAACUACCUCAAUUAUCAAUCACAAACUAAUUUUCAUCGUCAUUUUGUUUGGUUAGGAUGGGAGUGGGAAGAAAGAAAAUAAGAGGAAAAUAAGUGGAAAGUUUACUUGUUUUGAUCUAGGUAAAGUGAGUUAAAAAAAAUAAUAUUAUAGAUGAUUUGAUUAUUGUCACCAAAAUGUAAAAAAAAAAUAACUUUUACGAAAUACAUUUGUCUAAACUAAAAUUAGGUAAGUUGUUGUUUUAAAAUAGAUAUAAAAGUUUAUAUAAAGGUUUGUAGUAUUUAUAUAUUUGUGAAAAAAAAUUAAUUAAAUAAAAUAUUGGGAAAAUUAAUUUUUACAACUAAUAUUAUUAUGUAAAUGAAAAAGUAUUUGUAACUAUAAUUUUUGUAGCCUAAAAUUAAUUAAAAACUCAUAAUCAAUUAUAUUCAAAAGUUUAAUUGAUAUGAUAGGCUACUAAUCGAUUAAGUGGUUAACCUAAAUUUGAUUAAAUAUUGAAACUUAAUUUAUAAUAAAUUGUUUAAUCUAUUGUUUAAUAUAUUGUAACUGUGCAACAUUUACGAAUUUAAUUUAUUGUUUUGUUGGAAUUAAUAUAUUUACAAUUGUAACAUUUAUCGUGAUUUUCAUUUAAAAUGUUUUUAAAUUUUUUCUCAUUAUACGUAAUAUUAAAAUAAUACAAUAUAUCUAAAAAAAAGUGUUAAUAGAUAUUUGUGAACACUUAAAAUUAUUAUAUAUGACCAUUUGAACCACUGUCACAUGGUGAUUUUCACGCAGUGUGUCCAUUUGUCAUAAAAAAAAUAGAAUAAUCCAUGCAAAAUGUUUGUAGUAUGUCUAUUUGCCAAAAUUAAAAUCAACAAUUCAUACACAUACACGUAAAAGAAUCACCCUUAUACAGAGACAACAUGGUAAAAUCAUAUUUAAUCUUUAAAUUUCAUCUAAAUCAUCUCAUAUUAGAAGAGUGUUUCUCCCUUCCCACUACAUUUUCUUUCCACACAAAUCAGUCCAAAUAUAUUCAAUCAAAUUGUUAUACGAACUUAUCUUUUUCAUUCCAAAAUCAGUGCAAACAGUAAAUAACCCCAAACAAACACAAUAUUAUAUUUCAAUUUAUUUUUUAAUAUUAUAUUUCAAUUUAUUUUUUAAUAUUAUAAUAAAAUUUAUUUUAACAAGAUUUGUUUAAUAUAUAUAACAUUUUUUGUUUAAUGUUGAUUGAAAUCAAAAUUAACAAUUUCAUUGUUACACUAAAUUAACAUUUAUAUUCCCUAUUUUUUUCUAAUUGUUUUAGUUUGUUGUUAUUUUGACGGUUAGAUUUUGUAAUGAAUAUAAUAAAUAAUUAGGAUUUAUUAAACAAGGUUCUUAUGUUUGAAUGAGAGAGAAUACAAAUUCAAUAAUUUCAUUGAAGACAAAGUCAGAGUCUAAAAAUCUAAAAACGUGACUGUGUUUGGUGUUUGUUGAAAUAAAAAAACUUAUAAUUAGAGAUAUUUCUUUAAAAAAGUAUUAGUACAUAAACAUUUUAAACCGAGUCCUCUCAAAAGUGAUAGAAUGAUCAAUAUUAUGAGUGUUUUGUGUAUGACCCCUAGUUAAUGGUAUGAAUAAUGGAUGUACGGAAUGAUUAAUAUUAUCAGUGUACUUUGAAUAGGACCCCUAGUUAAUGGUCUGAAUAAUUGAUGUACGAAAUUUUAUCAAAAUUGUGUUAUAAAACAGUGAUAAUUUGUAAGAAAAUGAAGGUGGCAUACUCAAUUUGUCUGGUGCACUUCAAUAAUUUUAAAAAUUCAUUUAUCCAGAAUGGCAUAUUUUUUUUAUAAAAUUCUCAACUAAAAAUAUAGUUAGUGAAAAGAUUGUAACAUUAGUUAGUAAUAUUUUGGACAAAGAAGUUGAAAGGAACUGUUGAAGAAGAGUAACAGGCAAAGGCAAUGUUUUGUUUUGGUAUGUAUUUUGAAUAAUGAUUACAUUAGUUACUUUGGUAGUUUCAGUUUUAACUAGCCCCACGCAAAUAAAAUUCAUCUUACUCUACUACAGAAAAUUCCAAGUACAAUCCGUUAUGAAUAGAUAAUAUUGAAUAAAAAAACUUAGCUAAAACAAAUAAUAAUGAUAAAAUGUGAAUAACAAAUUAAAAAUUUGUAAAUAUCUCAUUCCAUCUAAAAAAAAUGUUUUAAUAUUUAUAAAGUUGUAAAUAUAUUUAAUAUUUAAAUUUUGGAAUGAUACUUUUUAAAAUUUAAUAAAUAACUAAAAUUAUAGUUUAUUUUAAAGCAGUUAUUAAAAUUGUAUAUAUGAUUUUUUUAAGGUUUAGUAUAUUUAUUUUAAUUGAGAUAUACUGAAUUAGUCUAAGCAACCGGACCUAUAGAGGCGAACCGAACAGGAUGGGAAGAAAUGCAGAGAAAAUGAAGUUGAAACUCAAAUUGAAAUGAAAUUUGAGAGAGAAAAAGAGGCUAUAUAAACACCUCGACCGCUACGCUCAAAGCUUAUGCCAAAGCAAAAGCAGGUUCCAAAGAAGAACAAGAAGAAGCGCAAAUGGCCAAGGGUCGAAAAUUCCCCACCACGGCCCGAAGCGAGCGCUUCUUGGGAACAACCUACUCAUCCCAGGGCUCCGCCGCCGUCGAACCCUCCGAGUUCCGGGAAGAGGACGUGUGGUCCACGCCGGAAGACCGCGAAGGAGACUUCAAGGCCUCGCCGGGCCAGUGGGAGCCACGCGAGUGGCCGCGGCGACGGAACAGCAGGGAGCAGCAGGUGCACCGGCACGUUGGGGGUUUGUCGUUGGCGUUCGAGAAUCCGAAUGGGUCGGGUGGUGGUGGUGCCACGAGAAUCGUGCACCACCAGUACCGCGCACAGCACGACACCGUUUCGUCGUCGCCACGUGGACGCCAUCACCAAAUGGCCACGUCAGCACCCGUGAACGUGCCCGACUGGAGUAAGAUCCUCCGGGCCGACUCGGUCGAGUCGCUUCACGAGAUGGACGUCGCCUUCGACGACAACGACUCCGAGAUGGUUCCGCCGCACGAGUACCUGGCGCGCAGCCGCCAGAUGGCGGCGAACUCCGUAUUCGAGGGCGUGGGGCGCACGUUAAAGGGCCGCGACAUGAGACGGGUUCGCGACGCCGUUUGGAGCCAGACCGGGUUCGACGGCUGAGUUGUUUGCUCCGGUUUGGUUUUUGCAACAUUGGAUCCUUUUAGUUAUUAUGAGGUGGUGGUUAAUUUAAAAGUUUUGGGGAAAUUUUAAAAAGUUAAACAGAUAGAUUUAGGUUUAUUUUUUUGGAUUAUUAUUAUUAUUAUUAUUAUUAUUAUUAUAAAAUUGAAUGAGAUGAUGAGAGGUGAUGAGUUUAAGCAUAUAUUUGAGAAAGGAAUGUGAAGUGAUGGGAUGAUGAAGGAUAUUAUGUUAUAAAAUCUGAACAGGAAUUCACUGUUCUCUGUUCUGUUUUCUCAUUAUUUUCUAUUCUAUACCAUUUUUUAAUUCACUUACUUCAGAUAGACUCAAAUUUAAGUUUUUUUUUUAAGUUGGAUUCUAAUCAAAAUUGAAUGUUGGAGUGUUCAAUCAAUUUUUUUAAAGAAGUUUUUCCUUAAGAGUUGCUUAACAAAUUUUAAAUAAUAAAAACAUAUUUUCACAUUCAUAAUUAAUAGGAAGGAAGAAAGAUGAGUGUUUAUGGCAUUAAAAUUUUAGUGAGACUUUAUGUAAUUAAUUAUUUUAAAAAUAAAUAAUGAUUUAUUUUUUUUCUUUUCUCCAAUUAAUUUACAUACACAAGUUACUUAAAUCAUUUAAGCAGUGAGCAGAAUUAACCUCUUAAGUAGUGAGCAUUAAUGAUACAUUUUGAUGAAUGGCACUAACAUCAAUUUAUAUUUUGGGUUUAAUACUUCACAACAAAUUAUAAUAAAUAAAUAUUUAAGGAUCAAAUAGCUAAUUACAAAUAUAUUUAACUAGUCUCAAUAGAAGUAAUUGAUAUCCACCAUUCAUUAUUAUAAUAACAUAUCUAACCAUACACAUGUACGAUCCAUGGGUGGGCCAUUUAUAAGCUAAACCACCGUGGACUUCACCAAAUUCGGAACCACAAAAUAUAUAAAUAAUACCUCAUAUUUCAACUUUUUUUAGUAACUUUUUCAUGUUUUUGUGUACUCAAGAUGCUCAUACCCGAAUAUUUUCAGUUAUAGAAUUCUCAAUGAAUAAAAAACUAUAUAUAUUAAAUGUAUGCAUUCUACACUGCUUAUGGAAGUAUCAUAAUAUGAUUUAUGUAUAAACACAUAUUAGUUAAGCUGGUACACUAGUGGUAGCAAUUUAAAGAAUUAAAUUAAAAAAAUUUAAAAUCUUAAUAUUAAAGUGGAAAAAUUGUUGUUGCUAAAAAUAUUUAUCUCCAACAAAAAGCAUUCAAUUCAAUGUGUAUCAUUAUUGUAUUGACGUAAGAGAAUCUUUUUUAUUAUUAAAAAUACAGAAAUGGUUAAUGAAGAUCUCCAUCUUCAAUAGUGGACUGUGUUGAUGAAGGUAAUAUCGAUAUGUUGAAGCUAUGAUUAGAUCCUACACAGUACAAUGAACCAUGAGACCAAAAACCCUUCAACUAAGAUUUGAAGUCCAAACAGUACAACAAUUAGUUAAUAUUUUAAUUCAAAUAUUAAAAGAAAGUGUUUAAUUAAUGGAUGGCUUUUUAAUUUCAAUUUUAAAAGGAAGAAAAAAAAGGUAAUAUGAAUGCAUUAUUUGAGACCAUAAAAUACUAACUCGUCUAACCUAUAUACUAGGGUUAAACAUCAAGCCUUGCAAUAUUUGUUUUAUUAUUCAAGUUUUACCAUAUGCUUUUGACAUUAGGAUGCUGUUUUUUUCCUCUAAAUUUUGUUUGUAGCUCUCCACUUGUUACAAGAUUUGAAAAUAAAAAAAUGUGAAAUGUAAAUAUAUACACGCCAUUGAGAUGAAUUAAUUAAGAAAUUUAUAAAUAUAUAUAGAAAAGAGAAGAAACUGAUACUCAAUUUUUUUUAUGAAAGUGGGAUAAUUUUUUCUCCUUUUUAUCAAAAUUAGGGUUAUUUCUUGAAAAAAAAAUAUGGAUAUAGAAAAAUCGUGUCAUGUUGAUGCGAUUUUACUGUGAAAAAGUCAUAUUAAGGUGAUUAAAUUUUUGACAUGUCAAGAUGAAAUUGUAUCACAUUUCACACUGAACAUUUAGCAAGACAUACUCAUAAACAUCAUGUGUGAAAUAGGGUGCAAUUUAUGUUAGAGUGACAUAUUCGGAGCAUAAAAUCUGAAAGGUUUAUUUUAUUAUUGAUAAUAAUGUUUAAAGAAAAGAGUUGAAUAGGUGUGUGAAAUGGAAAUGAGUAUAUUCCAUUAGAAUGGGUAGUGAGAGAGGGACAGGAAAUGCUUUUAAUGGAAAGAGAUGGACUGGUAGAGGUUAAAUAGGGUCCAAUAGUGGAAGAGUGAGGCACAUGAGGACUAAAAUGACUGAAUGACAACUUAAUGGUGCCACCCUUCUUUUGCAUGACAAUGACGCUACUUAUACAUGUUGGGCUCACAACUCAGGUGCCUUUAUCACCACUAGUUUUCCACUCUUGCUGCCAAAGUUUCACACAGAUUUUCCUCUAGAUUUACUUUCUUUCUGCCUUUCUUCCAUCCUAAAAAAUCUACACCACAAUCUCCCAUCACUCAACCUUUCACCAAUGGAACAAAACCUUACCACUCCAACUUUCUUUCUUUUAUAAGCUGGAACCACACUUUAACAACUGCAAAACCUUUAUUACACACCCCAAAUCUUAUAUUACAGAAUCAAAUAAGGGAUGUGAGUACUUAAGUAUCAGGAAUCCCCUUCUAAACUAAAACUUUUUCUACUUCUUCAAUUUCUACUUCAACCAAGUUUUUCAUCUUCACAGCUAUCUGAACUAUCAAUUUCAGAAUCUUAUAUAUCACAUAAUCUCUCUUCCUUUUGCGUAUUAUAUAUCAUAAUCAUUUUAUACUUUCAAAUGUAUAUCACUCAACCAUAUAAAUACUUUUUAUUUUUUUAAUAUUUUUAACAAAAUUACCAUUUUAACAAAACCAUAUGUACCCUUUUUAACAAAACCAUAUUGUUGGAGUAACUUUUGCAUGAUGUUCUCUUGAUCGGAAGCCUACGAAGAAAGAAGGAGUUGGACUCAAGUGAAGGAUCGAGGGUUGAUCAAGGUGAGAUGGAGUUGCUAAAUUGAGAAGAAGGAGGACAAAUUACCAAUUGACUGCCUGAAGAUAGGAGAUAAAAGUGUAGUCAAUGAGGCUUCAAAAUACGAACAAAAUUGAUUUUUCCAAGGCAUGAACGAUCACUGUUCGUAAGAACUUAUCCGCAGUGCAUUGUGCAAGUCUUCUAGGAUACAACAGGAACUUCUUGGAAAUUUUUGAGGAUCAGGACUAACAAGUUACUCUUAAAAGUAAGAACCCAAUAAAACCCAGAAAAAUAUUUAUAAUAAAAUAAAUGAAUAAAUAGUGAAGGGGAAGAGAGAAGGUGAGGAAGAAAGGAAAUGUAAAGUUGUGUGUGAAAGUGAGAAUUGAACCCCUCUUUAUAUAGGGAGAGAAAUCAAAGAUAUUUUGCAUCUCCACAACAAAAUUCACUUUGUUGUUGCACUUUUAAAACCGAAUUUGAUAUUUCUUUGGCAACAUUCUCCAUAUUUCCGUAAGACCAGGACCAAGCAACGUGAUUUACAAACUGUUUUUUUUUUUUUGUUUCUUUUACAAUAUCUGCUUACGGUUUUACAACAAUCCCCCACAUAUUGCAAAAGAUAAAACAUAGAGAUAAAGAAAGAAAAAAUAAUUAUGGGUUCAUCUAAGAUGUAUUGCAUCAGAGCUGGUAUAGCAAGCUAUAUGAACCAAUCUUAGAUUGAUGAACUUAACACAUAAUGUAGUUGGAAUAGCAAAUUAUAUGAACCAAGACAUUUAGUAUGUGUUAGAGGUUUAUCAAUCACAAUAGACCCCCACAUUACUUGCGGUUAUCGUUGUGUUGCGCUAGGCCAUGCGCGUGCCCGAUAUUCAUGAGUGUAGUAGAGAUCUUGCCAAGAUCUCAUACAAGAGGCCCCACUUGACACUCAUAUAGGUGAUUUCAUCAAGUAUAUGUUGCAAAUCAUACACCACCCAUAAGGGAUAUGAAAAUCAUUAAAAACUUUGUAAAUCGUUAAAGCUCUUUUACCUCAAAAUUUUAACCACAAAGUUUAUCCUCUCGAUAAUGCAGUAUCUAGCACUUUCACACACACCAUAGGAAUGGACAAAUUCAUUUUAAAUCAAUAUUAGUGCUAGCAGAACUAACAAGUGACUUAUUUUUACCCAUAUGAACCUUAUUCAUGGGAUCUCCAAUCACAAAGGUUGGGUUUCCAUCACUUGUUUGUUUGCAAGUGGCUUAAGUCUCAUUCCCCUCGAUGUUAUUAAAAUCAUUUUUCUCCCUAGAGGUUUAGUUAGAGGAGCUGCCAAAUUCCGUUUUGACUUGACAUAGUCAAUAGAAAAUCGUUCCACUCUUUAACAGUUGUUUCACCAAAUUAUGUCUCAAUUGUAUAUGUCUAUUCUUUCCAUUGUAACUUUUAUUUUUAGCUAUAGCUAUUGCCGAUUGGAAAUCACAACGCAUUGAUACAAACGGGGUUGGUUUCAUUCCUAACGGAAUGUUUGCUAAGAAGUUUUUCAAUCACUCAACUUCACUACCAGCCAUCUCAAGAGCAGCAAACUCAUAUUCCAUUGUUGAUCUUGCAAUAAUAGUUUGUCUGGUUGAUCUCCAUGUAACUACACCACCCCCAAGUGUAAAUACAUAACCACUAGUGGAUUUUGUCUCAUCUGAAUCAAAGAUCCAAUUAGCAUCAUUGUACCCUUCUAUCACAAUGGGAAAUCCACUAUAUUCAAUGGCAUAAUCCAUUGUACCUCUAAGUAUUUCAUGAGUCUCGCAAGCGCAUCCCAAUGAUCCUGACUAGGACAUUGAGUGUACCUACUCAGUCUACCUAGUGCAUAAGCAAUAUCUGGUCUAUAAAAGCUCAUUAAAUGCAAUAAGCUCCCAAUUAUCUAGGCAUACUUAGUUUGAGAAAUAGAUUCUCCUCUGCUCUUCUUUAAUUUAGAGUUAACAUCAUAAGAUGUGCUCACUGACUUAAAGUCAUAAUAACCAAACUUCUUAAGAAGUUUCUCAGUGUAUUUUUCUUGGGAUAGUAAUAUACUAUCUCCCUUCCUUAUGAUUUUAAUCACACUUGCUUCACCCAUGUCUUAUCUGAAACUUAGAUCCAAGAAACAAUUUUGUUUUAAAAACAAUAUCAUUGCAUGUACCACAAAUUAACAUGUCAUCCACAUACAAACAUAUAAUGACACAUUCACCAUUUUCAGUUCUAGAAUACACACAUUUAUCAGCAUCAUUGGUAGAAAAACCUUCACAAAGUAAAAUAUUAUCAAGUUUUUCAUGUCAUUGUUUUGGUACUUGUUUCAAACCAUAUAAAGAUUUUAAAAGCUUACAUACUUUUUCCUUUUGACUUGGAACUACACAUCCUUCAGGUUGAGUCAUAUAAAUUUCCUCUUCUAGUUCACCAUUCAGAAAGGUUGUUUUAACAUCCAUUUGGUGAAUUACUAACUUAUGGAUAGAUGUUAAGGCUAGCAACACACGGAUAGAUGAAAUCCUAGUAACAGGUGCAAAAGUAUCAAAGUAAUAUAUGUUAUGUUUUUUAGUAAAACCUUUAGCUACUAAUCUUGCCUUAUAUUUCUCUAUGGAUCCAUUGAGAUGGUACUUCUUCUUAAAGAUCCACUUACAACCAAUGGAUUUUGCUCCUUUAGGCAGAUCUACUAAGGUCCACAUAUUAUUUUUCUUAAUUGAAUCAAGCUCAUUUUUAAUGGCCUUAUCCCAAUGUUUAGCAUCAGGAGCACUAAUAGCUUCUAAAAAACUUAUUGGAUCAUUUUCAAUUAUAUCACUAUUAAGAACUAAAAACCUAUAGGCAACACUAUGUUCCGCAUAUCCUAAGAACAUGCAAUCAGAUGUUUUAGAGUCUAUUUUCCUUUUCUUAGGAUCAGGUAACAUCAAUUUAGCUAAACACCCUCACACUCUUAGGUAUUUCAGAUUAGGUUGAUAACCUUUCCACAACUCAUAGGGUGUUUUACUAGUUUUCAUAUGUUUUGCAAAAAAACUUGCGGUAAGCAGAGAUUCACCCCAUAAAUUAUCAGGAGCAUUAGAACUAAUAAGCAUGAGAUUCAUCAUUUCUUUAAGAGUCAUAUUUUUUCUUUCAGCUACUCCAUUAGAUUUAGGUGAAUAUGGUGGGGUUACUUCAUGAAUAAUGCCUUAUUUAACACAAUAAUCAUUAAAUAAAACAUAUUCCCCACCUCUAUCUGAUUUAAUUCUUUUAAUUUUCUUAUUCAAUUGAUUUUCGUACUUCUGCUUUAUAAGUUAAGAACAUGUCAAAAGUUUCAUCUUUAUGUUUAAUUAAAUACACUUUGGUGUAUCUAGAAAAAUCAUCUGUAAAAGUUACAAAAUAAUUUUUAUCACCUCUAGACAUGAUUUGUUUUAAGUCUAUGAGAUCGGUAUGAAUUAAACUAAGAAGUUUAGUUUGACAUUCUACAAAAUGACAUGUUUUCUUCGUUAUUUUAGAUUCUACACAUAUAUCACAUUUACUAUUUUGUUUGUCAUGCAUGUUGAUUAAUCAUAGUCGUUGCAAUUUCAUAACAUACGAAAAAUUCACAUGUCAUAAUCUAGCAUGCCAUAUAUCAUACGAAUCAACAAUAUAAGCAGAAGAUUCAUAUUCAUUAAUAACUUCAGAAAUGUUCAAUACAAAAAGACCUUGAUCACAAUAUCCCUUCCCCACAAAACAUUGUUUUUUUGUCAUAACAAUCUUGUCAGAUUCAAAUGACACUUUAACCCCAACUUUGCUUAGCAUUGCCACAGAGAUCAAAUUAACUCUAAUUGAUGACACAUGUACCACAUCACUCAAAGCCAGAGUUUUACCAUAUGUGAGCUUCAGAAGAACCUUUCCUUUUCCUAGGAUAGGAGUUGUCCUGGAGUCACCGAGAUAAACUUGUUCUUCUCCAUCCCCCAUACUUGUGUAGGAGGUAAACACAUUUUUGUUUGCACAGAUGUGUCUGGUAGCCCCAGAGUCUAUCACCCAUUUGCUCACAUUUGUCACAAGAUUUACUUGUGAAACGAAUGCCACAAUUGUAUCUUCCCCUUCAACUAUAUUUGUCUUAGGAGGAUAGUCGUUUUUGGUCCUAUGUCUACCCUGAGGUGCAUGAUGACCUAGCUUUCCAUAGACAAAGCAGUUACCAUUUUUCUUGAAAGUGGGGUUAGUUUCAUUGGGACAAGAGAAUUUAUUAUUAUAUUUCUUUUUGUGAUCAGAUUUUUUCUUGUACCUUUUUGGAGCUGGUUUGUCUUCUAUCACGUUUGCUUUAGCAGACAAAGCUUUGGCCUUUGCAACAACACACUCCUUCUUGUUUGUGUCUUCGAUGAUGAUGUGGGUGAUCAGAUCUGAUAGUGACAUCUGUUUGUGUCAAUGCUUCAGUUGUUGUUUGUAAUUCGUCCAAGAUUGUGGAAGCUUUUCGAUCAAGAGUUCAGACACGAAUUCAUUCGGCACGGCUAUGUUUUCAGCUUUGAUAUCUUCAAGCAGCUUGUGAUAUUCGUUUAUCUAGAUUUUGAUGUCUUUGCCUUCGAUCAUCUCCCAGCGGUAGUAGUUUCAGAAUCACGAAUUUUUAUCUGAUGACGUCUUCGACAAUAUAUUUGAGGAUAAGGAAUCCCAAAUAUCUUUUGCUUCCUUGUAAGAAGCAUAGACAUCGAACAAAUCAUUAAAUAACGCACUGAGUAGGGUGUGACGACAUACCUUAUUUGCAUGAAUCCAAUCAUCAACUUGUUUCGCAGCUGUGCUUGAGUCUGGUUUAGAAGUUGUAAGUGCAAAAACGACUUCGUACAUGUCCAAAAAGGGUGGACACACGUUCUUGCCAACGUUGGAAAUUUUGAGCGGUGAAGACUUCAAUUUUUGAGACAUACGGAAAUGGUUUCACACGUUCUUUUGUCCGUCUUGUCAGCCAUAAGUCCUUACGAUUGUAGUCAAUGAGGCUUCAAAAGACUAACAAAAUUGAUUUUCCCGAGGCAUGAGCGAUCACUGUCCGUAAGAACUUAUCCACGGUGUAUUGCGCAAGUCCCUCAAGAUACAACAGGAACUCCCCGAAAAAUUCUGAGGAUCAGAACUAGCAAGUUACUCUUAAAAGAGUAAGAACCCAAUAAAACCCAGAAAAAUAUUUAUAAUAAAAUAAAUGAAUAAAGAGUGAAGGGGAAGAGAGAAAGUGAGGAAGAAAGGAAGCGUAAAGUUGUGUGUGAAAGUGAGAAUGAAACCCCUCUUUAUAUAGGGAGAGGAAUCAAAGAUAUUUUGCAUCUCCACAACAAAAUUCACUUUGUUGUUGCACUUUCAAAACUGAAUUUGAUUUUUCUUUGACAACGUUCUCCAUAUUUCCGUAAGACCAGGAUCAAGCAACAUGAGUUUACAAACUGUUUUUCUGUUUAUUUUGCAAUAUCCGUUUAUGGUUUUACAAUAAAUAGUUCUCUCAAUCUCUUUUCAGACAAGAACACCAUACAAUAUAAUAGUCUUUGUUUUUAAUCUAUAAACACCUUCUAAAUGAAUUUCAACCGAAGGUUUAUAAUUUUGAAUGAAAAUGUAUUCGUAAAAGACUAUCCAAUAAUUAAAUUAGUAAAACUUUUAUGGUAUAAUCCAUGCUUUUUAAAAGAUACUACUUUCUCUCUAUCAUUUAAAAAUUUAAAAAUCAUAAGUAAUUUUUACUUGCUUGACAUGGUUGGUAAAUUUUUUCCUGCUUGAUAUAUUUUUUAUUUCCUUAAUCAAUUUUCCUAAAAUACUAACCAGAAAAUUGACAAUAAGUCCUAGUGAACAUCUUACAUCAAUAACUGUUCAACCAAAGUAAGAAAUGUCAUAAAGUAUUAACCCGUGAAAUUUUACAAACAUGAAAUGUUUAAGGAUUUUCCAAUUUAAAAUCGGUUGAUUUCAUAUGCCACCGAAAAUUAUUUGGGCUUUUUCUUUUGAUCCAAUUGUUUUACCCUUAGCAUUCAGAAAGACGCGAAAAUUAAGCAUAAAUUUAAAAAGUUAAUACAAAAUAUCAAUUGAUUAUAUAUAUAAACUCAUUUUUUAUUAUUUAAUAUUUUAAUUACUUUUUAUCUCAAGUCUCAUCAUUCAAUGAAUUUAUUUUAUAUAUAAAUGACAUUUGCAAGAUAAUUAUAAAAUAAAAUUAUAGAUAACACUAUUGAUAACUAUACCUGUGUGGAUGUCAGGGCCAGAGUAAUACUGAUCCACGUUGAUACACAAUUGUUGUCGUGUCAGCAGCUACCUAAUCCUUCAAGUCCUUCCUCCUUCGCGUGCGUGCUCGUCCGGUCGGCGGGGUACCUGCAAUUGCACUCUGACGCUCAAGUUAGUUAGUGCUAGUGUUUUGUCUAGUCUCUCAGGAUAUCAUAAAAAAACAUACAUUUUCCCCCUUUCAGAAGUCCCUUUAAUAAGUUGACUUGGGCUUUUUCUUGUGGGCCAGGUAACCGGUUGUCAAAGACAUGCGUAGUGGUCCUUAGGUCAUGUGUAGUGGUUUCCUGAUAUUAAGGAAGUGCUUCUCGAAGUGUCUCUGACUUAUUCAACGCUAGUUGUAACCGUUUCCUUACUACGUAUUUACUAUAUUAUAUUAUUUAAUGUGUAGCCUCGGUCGUCCGGGGUCGACCGGUACAAUAACAAAUGUUAGAGCCAAGUUAUGAAGAAGGAGAAUAAUAAGCCCAAUUUAGUGGAAACGAAACUUUAAGAUUAGGGGAUUUCUUUUAGCAACCCAUGGUUUUUUCCUGCACCUCCAUCGAAUGUCCCUUCAAUUGUGUCUUUUUAUGCUCCUAUCUUGAAUGAAUUUUUUUUUUAUCCUUAAGAGUAAUUUAUGAAUUCUGUAAUCUAAAAGUCAAUCUUAAAUUAUAUAAUUUAUUUUUUUUCAUAUAAAAAUAUUAAAUUAUGUAAUUUAAAAGUAAAAAAUAACUUUAAGAUUGUACAAUCCAAAAUAAAAAAUAACUUUAAAAUUAUGUAAUCUAAAAGUUUUUUUUUAAAUACAAAAUAACUUUUAAAUUAUGUAAUUUAUAAGUUAAAAGUACAUUGAAGAUUAGCCAAUCUAAAAGCUUUUUGCACAAAAAAUAUGACUUUCAGAUUGUGCAGAGAGGAAGCUUUUGACUUUUGGAUUUCACAAUCCAAAAAGUUCUUAAACUACAAAAUUAAAAAAAGAAAAUUGAACAAAAAGAUAAAGUGAUGACUUUUAUAUUUAUAGGGUGCAAAAAGAUAUCUCUUAAGAACAACAUCCCUACAACACAACAAAAGAUAAAGGCCCAAAUUUAAUGAAAAUGACAUUAUCGUGACUCUUUCUUCCUGCACCUCCAUAGGUUCUUCUGCCACCCCAUACCCAAUACGAAAAUACUUUUUCAAUCUUCUUGUGCCACCCUCAUAGAGUAGCUUCCGGAUUAUGUAAUCUGGACACACAUUUGAAAAAAGACUUCUGGAUUAUGUAAUCCAUAAGCUAAAAAAGACUUCCGGAUUACAUAAUUUAGAAACUAAUCAUGCAUAUGAAAAAAAGCUUUCGAAUUAUUUAAUCUGGAAACUAAUUACAAAUUUAAAAAAAGACUUUCUGAUUACAUAAUCCAGAUUAUUUUUAAAAGUAUAAAAAUGUAUGGAGGUGGGAGAAGAAUAUAUGGAGUUGCAGGAAGAAACAGCCCAUUAUCGUAUUAUCGUUGAGUUCCCUCACUUGAAAGGAAUUGACGGUGAUGAAAAUAGACCAUUGGUGGAAUUGAAAUGGUGAUGAAGGAACACGAGAAAGUGUGGAAGGAGGUACGCGAGAAAGAGAAAGUGUUAAUCUUAACAUAGUUUUGUGAUUUUUUUUUACUUUUCCAAUUGUUUAAUCUGAAAAAUUUCCGGAUCGCUCAAUUCUUGAUGUUUCUAGAUUAGAAAUUCAAAAGUGAGAAAUUGUUGUUUAUGCACUAUUUUGGACAGGUCAUCUCAAAACACCUUUUUGUUUUAUUUUAAAAUUUGUAACAUGUUUUUGAAUUACAAAUUCUAGAAACAUACUUAAGAUUGGAUAAUCCACAAAAACAUAUCAUAUGUUCUGAAACACUUAUACUAAAAAACUCUUUCCAAAUUUUUUUUUUGUAAUAGAUAAUUCUAAAGUUACCAUUGAAAUAUUAUGAAAGGCAGGAAGAAGCUCAUUACUUAUCCUUAGAAGGCUACACCACUUGUGUGUAUUUUUGUGAUUGCUUUAACCAAAGUCUCGAAAGACUUGUUUAAUGCUCAUCCUAUGUUAUUCAAUAGUUUUUUUUUUUAAUAUAAGAAUAAAAAACGUGAAUAUUGUACAUGAGGAUGAGGAGCUUGGGAGAGUUGUAUGAAAUUAAGGUUGGAAAAAAUUUAAAUUGUGAAAUUUAAUUCAUAAUUAUCCAAACUCAUAUUAUUUUUAAGUUAUUUAAAUAGAUUUAUUUCAAAUCUAAAUUUAUAUUUUUGAAUUUUAAGUUCAAUCCAUUUAAUUGGAAUAUGGCUUAGAUAUAUAUUUGAUAUAUUUUUGGAUUAUCCAAAGUUGGAUUUUGAGUUGGUUUGGACCUAAGUUUAGCUAAGUUAACCCAGGCCAUGGUCGAGCUAAGUCGACCCGAACCAAGGUCCAGCUGAGUUUAUCCGGGCCUAGGUUGAGUCGAAUCGCUCGAACCUUGAUCGAGCCAAGAUGACACGGGACCAGAUCAAGUCGAGUCGACCCGAACUCAAGUCGAGUUGAGUUGACCCAAGCCGGGAUCAAGCCCAAAUUGAGUUAAGUCGACUUGAGCCCGAAUCGAGACCAGUCGAUCUGAGCCCAUGUCGAGUGGAGUUGGCCUGAACUCAAGUUGAUUGAAUUCACCCGAACCCAGGAAGCGACUUGUCGGCCUGUGCAUAGUUUGAGCCGAGUCGAGUCGGCCCGAACUAAAGUCAAGUCAAGUCAAGCCAGCCCAGGCUAGUCGAACUGAGUCAGCCUGGUACCUGGUCGAGUCAGCCCAGAUCCAAACAGAGUGAGUUGACCAAGGUCCAGGUUGAGCUGAGUCGGCUUGGUACCUGGUCCAGUCGGCCCAAGUUCAGGCAGAGCGAGUUGGCCAAGGUUCAGGUCAAGCCGAGUCGGCCCGGGCCAAGGUCGAGCCGAGUCAGCUUGGACCCAUGUUGAGCCAAGUUGUUCCAAGCCCAGGUCGAGCUGGAUCGACCCGAGUCAGCUUGGCCCAAGUCAGCCUAAACCCAUAUCGAGCCAAGUCGACUCAAGCCCAUGUCGAGUCGAGCCGUCCUAGGUCUAUGUCGAGCCGAGUUGACCCAAACCCAUGUCGGGCUGAGUUGACCCAAACCCAGAUCAGGCUAAGUUGACCCGAGCCCAUGUCGAGCCGACACCAUCCGAGUCCAUGUCGAGUUGGCCUGGGUCAUGUCGAGCCGAAUUGGUUUGGGACCAUGUCGAGCCAAAUGGGUCCUGGGCGAUGUCAAGUCGAGUGGGCCCGGGGCUAUAUUGAGUCGAGUGGGUACGGGGCCAUGUCGAGCCGAGUCGGCCUGAGUCAGGUCGAGCUCAGUCGACCCAGACCCAGGUCGAGCUCAGUCGACCCAGACCCAAGUCGAGCUCAGUCGCCUGAUACUUGGUCAAUUCGGCCUGAGCUUAAGCGAAGUCUGCUUGAGCUUAGGUCAAGCUAAGUCAGCCUGAGCUUAGGUUGAUACAAAUCGGCCCUAGCCCAUAUCAAGCUGAUUGCCCUAGGGUCCAUGUGGAGUCGAGGGACUAGGUCGAGCCGAGUUGGUCUGGGCUCAGGUCGAGUCGAUUCGGUCUGAAGCCAGGUCGAGUUGAGUGAGCUCGAGCCCUGGUCGAGUCAAGUGGGCUCAGGGCCAUGUUGAGUUGAGUGGGCUCGGGGCCAUGUCAAGUUGAGGGGGCUUGGGGCCAUGUCGAGCGAGUGGGUCUGGGACCCUGUUGAGCUGAGUGGUCCUGGGGCCAUGUUAAGUCGAGUGGGCUCGAGCCCAUGUUGAGCUGAGUCGGCCUGGUACCAGGUCGAGUUGACCCCGACCCAUAUCGAGUCCAGUCAGCCUGGUACUAGGUCGAGCAUACUCGAAUCGGGUGCAGGUCGAGCCGAGACGGUCUGAAUCCAAGUCGAGCCGAGUUGGUUUGGGUUUGGGUCUAGCCAAGUCGGUCUGGGUCCAGGUCGGCUAAGUCAAUCCAUGUUUAGAUUAAGAUGGAUUUAAUCUAUUUAAAUGGAUUUGAAAAAUUCAAAUAAAUAUGAUUUAGUUAAAAUUGAUAAGGAUUUUCAAUCCAAUCCAUUUUAUUGAAUGUGGAUUAGAUCUAGAUUGUAUUUUGAAAAAUUCAAUCCAUGACCACCCAUACAUGGAAUGUAAGGAUGACAAUUUGGCGUGGUUGGGCUGACCCACGACGUGAUAAAAAAACGUGGAGCCAGCUAUUUUAACUCGCAUGCUGAUACGCAACUCGCACGAGCUAGGUAUGGGACAUAUCAACCCACACAAUCUGCAUACCUUAACAUUUCAUUUUAAUCCCUAAAAAUAACACGUAGUUAGCUAGCCAACCCUAAAUGUCAUUCUUCCUCCUACGUACAACUCUUACCUCCAUUGUCAGGAUACUUGCUGCAUGGAUCCUUGAAAAAGCUAGUCAAAAUAAUCCAAUUGUUCAGCAAUAUUUUUUUUAUGUUUAAUAAAUUUUUUACUAAGAUACAUUUGUGUCUAUAAUAUUUUUUUAAAAAAAUUCCUUAUACAAGAUAGUUUACAGGUUCGCGAGCUAACCUUUAUACAGAGCGAGUCAACAAAAUCAAUUUAUAUUUCUUAUGUGGAAUGUGGACCAACUUGACUCACAUUUUAUAGACUAAUGUGGGGCGAACCGCAUUUGAAUCCUUAAUGAAGGGAAAAUUCUUCUUGCAUCUCCUUACUUUUUUUAAUUUCAACAAUACCCUUUUUAGUAUGUUGAGUGUGACGUCUUCUUCAUUUUCAAGUGGUGGCGGCUGGUGGUGAUUGGUGGUGAACAUUGGUAGUUGAGGUAAAUUUUAUGGUGUUUUUACUGAUGAUGAUUGUUUCUUCGUUUACUUAUUUUUUUUUUCAUUUUUUUGAAAGCCACAAAACCCAGAAAAACAAAACAGCGAGAUGUAAAGAUGAGUACAAAACUAAAAAAAGUCUAUCUUCAUGUUGAAAAAUGUCAAAAACAACAAAUCUUCUUGUCAACUUUUUCACACAUAUCCAGAUGAUAUCAUUGUUCUGUUGAAUGCUACUAAUAGAGAAUAAUAAAAGUAUUGCAAUGAAAAAAAAUAUUAAAAAAAAAAUAUAUGAGAUACGAAUGUACACUGAAAUUAUUUAAAAUUAUACUUUAUUUAGGAUUAUUUGAAAUUUUGAAAAAUAUUAAAAUCGAUAUAUUAGUAUGAAUACAAAGUUGGAUAUUUUAGUAUGAAUAUAAAUGUGGAUAAUGGGGGGGGGGGGGAAGGAUAAGGAGGUGUUAGGGAAAAAUUUGCCCAAAUGGAGAGAUUUGCUGGAGUGGUCUGUAAUCAAAUAAAACUAAAUUCCAAAUCAAAACAUAAUUAUUUUCACGAGCCUUUCUUUUUCUUGGGUGCCAUCAUCAACCUAUUUAUUGGCUAAUUUACUUAAGAUUAUAUUUUUUUAGAAAAGAUAAUUGGUCGGAUUCGAAAAUAUUCAAUGUUUUUUACAGCGAGUGUUGACAGUGUCACCAUCGCUUUGGACUUUGGACACUAGCUGCCUUUUAUCCCUCUUUUCUACUUUCUGCCCACAUCACUGCAAACUAUCUCCUUCCAUCUCCGAAUCUUCUCCCAAAUCCUUCAAAAGAGAAAAUGGGUUGUCACGGCAGCAAGGAGAAAAAAUCAAACGCAGAAUUCAGCAGUGCCUAUGGAUCAGGCAGUGCUGGUCACAAUACUGUUCAACAACCAUCUACCACCACUGUUGCACAGGUUCAAACAUCACCACCACCCAAACCACAACCACAUUCAGAGGCGGUAGCGAGUCCACCAAAACCGAAACUUUCUCCGACCCAGAAUGCCAGGGCGGUGCAGAAACCCGACGCCACGAUUCUGGGGAAACCCUUUGAGGAUAUAAAGAAGUACUACAGUCUGGGGAAGGAACUGGGAAGAGGGCAAUUCGGUAUAACGUAUCUGUGCACGGAGAAUGCGACCGGAAUGACUUACGCUUGCAAGUCGAUUCUGAAGAGGAAGCUGGUGUCGAGAGCGGACAGGGAGGACAUGAAGAGGGAGAUUCAGAUCAUGCAGCAUUUGUCUGGGCAGAACAACAUUGUGGAGUUCAAGGGGGCGUUCGAGGACAGGAUGUCGGUCCACCUUGUAAUGGAACUCUGCGCCGGCGGGGAGCUCUUCGACCGGAUCAUCGCCCAAGGCCACUACUCCGAGAGAGCCGCCGCCUCACUCUGCCGCGCCAUGGUCAACGUUGUUAACAUUUGCCAUUUCAUGGGAGUCUUACACCGCGAUCUCAAGCCCGAAAAUUUUCUGCUCUCUACUAAGGAUGACGAUGCUACGCUCAAGGCUACUGAUUUUGGACUCUCUGUCUUCAUUGAAGAAGGUUCCCAUCACUUUCACUUUCAACCCUCCUACUCUCUGUCACUACUCUUUGCUUUAGAUAUUCAGGGGGCAGUGAGCGGUGAACCACGAUAGAAAUUUUGUUCCUUUUUCGCUUUGAUGUUAUCUAUUUCUGAUUGGUUUAUCUGUUGCUUGCAUUGUUGUGCUACUUCUGAUUCUGAUUUUUUUUGUUCCCUACUUCACUGGUGAACCAUUUGGGCAUGAAGAUUAAGUUGACUCAUCAACUCAUAAGAACAUUGAUAGGAUAGGUUUUCAGAGUUCUAUCGCCUGGUUAAACUUAUGUCUAAGGUGACCAUUGACAUUUGGGAACUUUAAAGGCCAACACACUCCGUGGAUUGUGAGAUGCUUGAUUAUUAUAUAGAUAUCACCUUGAUAUGGCUACCUUGUCAAUGAUUCGUGGAGAUGAUUCUAUACUAAGGAAUUAUCGGAGUGAGAUUGAUUUCAGAUGUAGGUAUCUGAUCAGGACAGCGAUUGUAAAAAUAAUAUUUGAUUUUGUGAUGUAGGUGAUAUUUUAAGCAAAUUUAAGAUCCGAUGCUACAUUGAUUUCUAAUUCCUUUUCAGCAGGUGCAUUGAAGUGUAUCCACAGGAUUGAAUGGUCAUUUUAGUUACAGCUUAUGUUGAAUUCUAAUUGCAUUCUAUGUCGUUCUAAAGGACCUAACACGGCCAUUACUUUCACAAUUUGCAUUUGAUAAUUCAUUGUAUUUUCUGAAUUCUUUCAGGGAAGGUAUAUCAUGAUAUGGUUGGCAGUGCUUACUAUGUUGCUCCCGAGGUAUUGCGUCGUAGUUAUGGAAAGGAAAUAGAUAUUUGGAGUGCAGGCGUCAUAUUGUAUAUUCUUCUCAGUGGUGUACCACCUUUUUGGGCUGGUAAGAUCUAAUUGUAGUUUGACAAUGUUGAAUAUCCAUUGUUUAUUGUUGAGUUUCUUAUUUAAAAAUUAACUCUUCAACAUACAAUAGGUGUGAGAAUAUGUUUCUAUUAUCUUCUGCAGAAACUGAAAAGGGAAUAUUUAACGCCAUAUUGGAAGGUGAACUUGAUUUUGUAAGUGAACCAUGGCCAUCCAUAUCAGACAGUGCUAAAGAUCUAGUCAGGAAGAUGUUGACACAAGAUCCAAAGAAGCGGAUUACUUCUGCGCAAGUCCUUGGUAUUAGACUACCGUUACUAAUUUGACUCAAGUAACUGUCAUAAAUGCAGUACUUAUUUAUUUAAAUUAAAACUGCUAUUAUUUGUGUUAGUAUUAGUUUAGCAGUUUACUUGUCCUCCUUUCAGUUUUUAUUACAAAUUUUUUGAGUGCUUCUAUUUGCUGCAUCUACUUUCCCAAGUUACAUAUAUGUAGGCAGCGAGAAUAGUUUGCUCAUGCGUUGAACUGUAAAAAUAAGAACCAGCAAGCAAAAUCCUAUCCAGAGAAAUGUUAAUAGCCUACCAACUAUAAGUUACGAUCAAAAUAUCAUCAACUAAGUAAAUUUUUCUCAUUAGUCAUUUGAGUUGCCACUGUUUUGUCUAGUUUUUUCUUUUCCAAACAAAACCUGAUUAAGAUUGAUGAUUUUGUUUGGUAAGAACACCCAUGGAUGAGAGAAGGCGGAGAGGCAUCCGAUAAACCAAUUGACAGUGCAGUUCUAUCCAGAAUGAAACAAUUCAGGGCAAUGAAUAAGCUCAAGAAGCUAGCAUUGAAGGUAUGACAUCAAACUUGAAUUAAACAUCCACCGUCAAUGUCCAUUUCUGAUAGUUCUUGAUAUUGUUGAGGGAUGAUGAUUCUCUUUUGAUUGCAGUUGUUAUUUUGUGUACACAAAAAUUUUAAAUUUACCCAUUAUGGAAUAUGACUACCACAAUAUUAUUAAAGUCCUCCUGUUUGUUCUGUCUGGUAUAUGAACCUUUGUUUCUUUCACCUGAAACAAGUUAAUAAUCUCUUUUCAACUGGCCCUUGCAAUUUCUUUUCAUCAUAUUUAACACAACAAUGUUAUGGGAUGAGAGAAUUGCGUUCUAAAACUGACAUAUUGUCUAUGUUAUUGACAUAAAUUAUUUUACAGGAAAACUGGUGUCCUGAAGUUUUCAACUUUUCGACAAGGAAGUACAAACACUUGAGAAUUACUCCUUAUCUCAUGUUAUUUUUAAAAACUUUUGUACCUAUAGUCUUAUUCCGAUAGUAAUUAGAUAAAUCAAAGCAUGUUAAUAAGACUACACCUACAAUGACUUGAGCUCAUAUUUAGAAGUUUAAUUCUCUCUCUUGAUUAAAGAUUUGUGUUUUAUAAAUUAUACUGUUAUACGUUAUAUUAUGUAUUUGCAUUGUAUCUGUGCUUCUAGGUUUCUAGAUACUGCUUUUAUUCUUGAAGUUGUCCUCUCAAUUCAUGGGAUGCCGCUGAGAAGCAUUUUAUGAGUUACGUGUUCCAGUCUACUUUUUUCUCUAAAUAUUUCUCCAUCACUGACAUUGGUGCAAAUUUCUCAAGGUUAUUGCUGAAAAUCUAUCAGAAGAGGAGAUUAAAGGUCUGAAAGCAAUGUUUGCAAAUAUGGACACUGACAACAGUGGCACAAUUACCUACGAAGAAUUGAAGACUGGCUUGGCUCGAAUUGGAUCAAGGUUGUCCGAGGCUGAAGUGAAGCAACUCAUGGAGGCUGUAAGUUGUCAGUUGUUACAUACCCUUGUGAAGAGCACAACUAGUUGGACAUUUGUGCAUUCACUGUAUCUUGAACUCAGCGUUGUUUUUCUUAUGUAUAAUUUUUCUCAGGCUGAUGUUGAUGGAAAUGGGUCAAUUGACUAUCUUGAAUUCAUUUCGGCUACAAUGCAUAGGCACAGACUUGAACGUGAUGAACAUCUUUACAAAGCAUUCCAGUAUUUUGAUAAGGAUAACAGUGGGUGAGUUUUACAAGACUGGUAUUUAGGUGAUUUCCAUAUUACAAUUUCUUUCUAAUCAUCUGUGUUCAGACAACUAUCAUCCACUGGUUUGAUUCUUGUCGAGUUCUUCAUUGUUGUUAUGAGAAUUUGAAUUUUGUUUUUUUUAGUCUCCAUGUUCCAUAUUAGACAGUACUUUUUAUCAGUAACAUUUCUCUGUUAAACUGCAUUAGUUCACUUUAAGACUAUAUCAAUAACCUGAGACUUGAGGGUCACGCAAGGUUGAUGGAUAAGAAUGGGCUUUAAAUUCAUGUCCAGGUACAUUACUAGAGAUGAAUUGGAGACUGCUAUGACCCAACAUGGAAUGGGUGAUGAAGCAACAAUAAAGGAAAUAAUAUCUGAGGUGGAUACAGAUAAUGUAAGUUGGUUCUAGUUUGUUUAAUGGCGGUACAGAACAAUGAUGCUGUAACUAACAAUUCUUGAACUAACAGGAUGGAAGAAUAAACUAUGAGGAAUUUUGUGCAAUGAUGAGAAGUGGAAUGCCACACCAGGGAGGGUCAACCACUUUAAAUCCACUGAUGGGUUGAGCAGUGACUUGUUACUGUUGGGAAAAAGCAGUAUCUCCGGGAAUGUGUGACAGUACACUUCAUGCAAUGAUGAUAUUUCUUUGCAAUCCCAAUUUAUUACAAGGUUCCUGUGGUGUCUGUCGGAUUGCUUGGUCUGUACUUUUUUUAUCUGUUCAGCUGUCACAUUUUACAAGUGACAUGGAAAACAGAAUUUUUAUAUUAAGAUACUUUUGUACCAUAUAGAGUUAUCAUUUUUAUUGUGGCUAAGUAACAAGUAAUCAAGGGAGGGAACUAUUUUCCUUAACCUUUAUAUUGAAGUGCAAACUUGAACUUUUUUUCGAAUAAUGUUUUGGCAAUUUAAUCUAGUGUGUCAAUGCUAUGUUUUCUUCUUUUUUAUCCCUAUUGAUUAGAGCUAUUAGAGAUAUAAUAAGAGGUAAAUCACCUCUUGUUUUAAUCAGCUAUAUGUUGUGGCCUAUCUUAUAUUUAUGUCUAUUACUUUAUUCUAGGUAGUUAUCUCAGUGCUUAAAUGCAAUUAAUCUCAAUUACUUAAAUGGUCUGAGUAUUCGUAGUUGUAUUUUGUAUAUUUUCAUUUUUUAAUUUGACUGUUUGACAAAAAGUAAUAAAUAGUGGGUUAGAUGGUUACUCUAUACCUAAUAGUAGAUUAGUUAAUGUAAGAUAUUUGAUAAGCUAGUUGAUUACAUUUGAAGUACUGGUAAAAAUAGCCUUUAAAUUAGUUGAUAAAUAUGAAAUUAUGUAAAAGGACAUGUGAUGCUUUUUUUUAUACAUAAGUUCUAUUUAUUUACCUAAAUAAGAUUUUAAAAUAUUUAUAUAUUUAUAUGCUUUGAUUUGUUUUCAAUUAAUUUUAUCUAAAAUCUUAAAAUUUUAAUUUUAAUAGAAAAAGCAAAAUGAGAACAAAAAACUGAAAUGAAUUGUGUUUUAUUUUUGUUAAUAGUUAAUGCUUUACUUUACAAGUGGUCCUUAGACAUGAAAUUUUGACUAAAAUAGCAUAAUUAAGAUAAUUUAUUUCCUCCAAUGGCAUACUAUACUAAAUAUUUUAUUAAAAAUAAAAGAAAGGGAAUUGAUAAUUUGGAGUUUUUUUAAAAAUUAACUAUUUAAAAAAUUGGUAUGCUUAAAAAAUUAUGUAGAAAAAUAAUUAUAUAAAAUAUAAUAAUUUUGGAAAAUAAUUAUUUGAAGAAAUAAGUAUUUACAAAAAAACAUAUAUUUUAAGCAAUAAUUAUUUAGAAAAGUAUGUAAAUAAGAAAAGAUUGUUAACAAAAUUAGCAUUCAUAAAUUUUGAAAUAAUUUAUUUUUUAAAUUUGGUUUGAAAAUUUCACAGAAAAUUGUAAAAAAUAGUGAAAGGUGAAACCAAACUAUGAACUACUGUAGUAAAUCGUACUAUUUAAAUAAUUAUUUGGUAUAAUAUGUAAUUUGAGUAAAUAUAUGAUAUGAGAAAACAUAAAUAGUUAAACUAUACUAUUUUGGUUAAAAUUUCUGUAGAGAUGUUGGAGCUGGAGACUCUUAUCUUUUAUCAAGACACGCCACAACAUAUAGUAGAGUGAACUUUUAAUUUUGUAUGUGAGAUAUGUAUAAUACUUUUUGGCUUUUAUUUGGGACAUGAUAAAAUAGGACUUUAAUUAAAAUAGGUAAGAAUAAAGUUGAGAGGAAAAACAGUAUGGUAUACAUCAUAAGCUCAAACAUUACUACUUAAAAGGAUCAAAUGGUUUUCUCUAUCAAAUGUUCAAAAGUUAACUUAACUAAUGUCAAAUUUAUUGAGCAUCUGCCAAAAGGAUGACCUUGAUGACAAGAAAGUGCAGUAGUCCACACAGAGAACAGCUGCAGUUUAUGGUCUGUCAUAGUAGUAAACUAUACACAGAAUGAGGCAAAAGAAACUAGAAAUGCAGUGAUCAUGAAGUUUUUGUUUCUUUGUUUUUUUUUGUAUUUUAUAAGGAAUCCUGAGAAGUCAGUAGAAUCGUGGGUCCGAAGUUUCAUAUAUUUGAUUUCUUGGGGUAACCUCAAAGUAAACUGGCCACAGCUCCUAAGAAUAAUCAAAGGGCGUUGCAAUUGUUGCAAAAGGAGAAAUGCCUGACGCUAAUAAACUUUGUUUAAUAUUAAUAAGAUGGUAUCCAAGGUUUUAGCUUCAUAUUCUCCUGACAAAAAUUGUAUUAAGAGACAACCAUUUAAGUUACUCAUCCACGUGAGCUUGUUUUUAAUACUGCAUAUUAUGCACCCCACUAACUAUAAUAUUAUAUAUAUAUGCACGUGUGCACCCCUUUCUUUGUUGCUAUAAAUGUCUGGGAAAGAGAAAUCAUUAUUAUAUAGUAAUCAUUUUACAACAAACAGAGAAAUAUGAGUUAAGAGAAAAAGGCCUCUCACAGACGCUAAAAUUACUAAAAAUUAUGAAAACUUCAAAGAUGAGAAGCUUUUUCAUUCUUUUGUGGCCGAAGGGUGGAAGUGGAAUUGUAACAUUUGACAUUGUAAGUUUGAAAGAGCAACGCAGUAGACAGAGUUGAAUAAAUAAUAGAAUAAUAUAUGUGAAUGGUGCCUCGGAUGCUCCAAACUGUUAACAUGGUAACAGCCUCAGACUUUAAAGAAAAGACAACGCAAUGCAACUCUAAUUAAAACAUGACGCUGAGUUGUCAUGACCAGUAGCAGAGAAGAUUCAUGCAUUGUCCAAAAAAAAAAUUUGAGGCCACCAAGCUAUGUAUGCUGCAGGUUUAUUAAACCUUAACAAGCACCAAAGCUGCACAUUCUCUUCAAUGGUCUACUAAUAUCCCAAAAUUAAUAACUAACUACUAAUAUGUACUCACAGUACAUGGCUUAAUAAUAUAUAACUUGUAUUGUAGCAAGCGCACUUCGAUUUUGGAACAAGAAAAAUCGCAAAUCAAAUACGGUUAAAGAUACACAACUAUUCUUCUGAUGCGAAUUUUUUAAUUUAGAUACAUGUAAUUUGCACACCCUUUAAGCCUAAGAGGCUACAAUAUGAUUUGAGCUUCUGGGAUGGUGAAUUGGUGAGACAAACCCGUUAAAGAUUUCGCUUUUCUGCGAUCUGAAGAUAAUACCAGAAGUGUGGCUCGGAAUACAAUGAUAUAGAGAGAGGAGCGCACGUGGUGAUGCUAAUGCAUGCCUCUCUUCUCGCUGUGCUCUUUUUCUUUUACCAAACUCAGAAAUCAUAUUAAGCAAAACUCAAAACAAAAAGGACUCCGUUCUUGCUUUGCAUUGAGAUCACUAUCAUGCCAUUUGCCUCUGUCUAUUGGCAUUGACUAAUGAGUUUAACUUUUCUUCUUGGCCUCCACUGAGAGUGAAACCUCUUCUCUUCUUUAUAACCGUUUUGUUUCCAUCCAAGUAUUGUUUUACGUAUCAUUGCUGAUAUUAGUUUUGCUUUGGAAGUACAAUUUUCUUAUUUACUACUAUUAAUCAGGGGUUAUAGGGUAUCUAUCUGUCACUUUACGUAAUCAUUUAACUUAAUUCCCAAUGGUACAACUCCAAUCUUGUGCUACUUUGGUCAAUGCCUCAUCAUUGUGUGCUAUAGAACAAGAAGUGAGAGGAGAUAGCGUCAAUGUGGUUGCUGAGAUUUCGGCCGAGUUGGAGAGGGAAAGAAAGAAGAAUGCAGAGCUCAUGGAGAGAAUAUCAAUGCUCGAAGCUCAGUUAAGAGAAAGAAACAAAGAAUCUCAAGUACGGUUAGUCAUUAAACAAUUAGUGACUACUUUUUCUUGUUUGUCAUUGUAUUUUUGCUUAAAUAAGCACUUGCUUGUUUAAAGUUAGUGUUAUGCAUGAAAAUUCAUUUUCUAACUUGAUGAACCGGCUGCAAACCAUUGUUAUAUUAUAUCAUAUAGCAUAUAUGAGUAUCUGCUCAUUGCAUGAUGAAAUCUAAGUAUAGUUGGUCGGAGUGUGGGGGAAUGAUGUACAUGUUAUAUUUGACACUGAUAUCAACUGUAUAUGAUGAUCAAGAUUUAUUGACACAUUAGAAACAUGAUCAGCAUGAUGCCCCUUUUAAUUAUUAUUCAUGUUCCUUGUCUGUUGAAGUUUUCAUCCGUUUUAUCAUUGAUGAAAAUGUCUCCCUUGGUAUCAGGAAAAUCAUCAGCGUGCAGUUGCAAGAAGCUUGAAGAAUUUCAAGAGGCAGAAGAUAGAAAUGGUAGAUGAUGAAAAAAAUAGGAAUACUGUGAAAAGUGAAACGGCCUCAGAGUACACGCCUGAUACAGAAGGCAUUGUUCCUAAGCAGAUUGAUCUAGAAAAGCGCUUAGUUAAUUGGAUGAGCAUGGACAAUGGUCAAAAUUUGUACGCUGAAAAAUUUAAAGACUGGAACUCUGUUGCAGAUUUCAGUGAAACGGAUAGUGAUGAUGCUUGUGAUGAAAUUUUUGAUGAUGAUAUGGAAAAUAGCCAAAGACAUGAGGAGGUUGAUGACACAAAUGAAGCCGUUAGUGCAGAAAAAGGUUACCGUGCUGAUCAUGUUGACGAGGAAUCAAAUACAACAUGCAUGGGAAAUUUUUCUGGUGAUCCAGCCAGUAAUGUGAGACAAGAAGAUCAUGAAAAUCAAAAGACGAGUUGCAUAUUAAUCACUCCAUUAUCCGAGAAGAGUGAAGUCAAAACACUCCAAGGGAAAGAAAUUAAGGAGAGAGCAGCAUUUACAGCAGCAGCUGAGGUUCCUUCUUCAGGAUCGGCUCGCAUAUCACAUAAUAGAAAGCCUCCGAAGGUACCUUUCUGCCCAAAAGAAGUGAAAAGAAUAAUUGAGUCAGAAGCCCUUCUGCAAAAAAAUGCUCAGUCCCACACUGUAAGGAAAAUCAUAGUUUUUGCAUCACUUGGCAUAAGGCAUGGAUGUGAGGAUAUGUACGAACUGGACUUCAAUCAUUUUAGCAUUUUGAACAAAGGAGAACCAUACGUGUCUCCAAAAAGCCCUGGGGUAAGAGCAAUCCUUAGAAUGCUAUUUCUCUGAUGGAGCAAAUCAAUUAAAAUAAGAGAUAUUUUUUGUCAUGAUGCAUUUAAACUAGUAACUAGUUGUGUGCCAAAAUGGAAGAAUGCAACCAUUAGCCAAAUACUAUCUGGAACCAAGUCACUACUUUGCAUUCAAGCAUGAAUUUAGACCUAGAAAAGUUAGGCUCAGGUAUUUCUAUUUUAUAAAUGUAACGAUUGAGGUUUCAAUCUAUGUAGGAGCAUGUUUUGUACGAGAAUCCUGGUGUUCGGAGGAAAAUAUUUUAUCCAAAUCAACAAAACCCUGUAUUAUGUCCUGUUCAGAUAAUAGAAGAAGAAAGAGUCAUGCGUCCAUCAGAUCCUAGCUGUCCAUCAUACUUAUUCUUGUGCAUUAAAUAUGGUGGAAGGACAAGAAAUCUUCCUCAAAAUGAGUAAGUUUUGGAAUGAUAAUGGUUCACUGCUGCUUCCUUUUCUCAUAGUACUUUCCUUUAUUAUAAAUGGCAUUGGCUCUGAUGAAUAUUUCACUUCAAAAUAUUUGUAUGCAGUCUAAUAUGGAGUAAUUUUUCGAUUGCAUAAUACAGAUAUGUGAGACAGAGGAUGGGAAGAAACAAACUGAAGUCUUUUGGUCCACUCCUGUGCCGAAUGGCAGUGUUGGUUCAUAGUCGCAGUGGAAGCUUUUUCUUCAAGGCUUUGGGCAUCACACUCCUGUUUAUGGCAGGAUUUCCUGAUUAUCUAGUUCAAAGGGAAACCAAAUACCGGAACUUAGACUUGCUUCAGAAAUAUUACAGGUCUAUCUAAUUAUAUGCAACAACCAAUCUAAGCAUAAAUGAAACAGAAAGAUACAUAUAUUUCUAGUUAAAGAACAGCACAAUCUAUUAGGAGCAUUGCUCGAAAUCAAUGUCAUCACAGAAAACAAAUCAGUAGAUGCUAUCUAAAUAGGAAAAUAUUUAAUGUAAUUCAAUCUAACACAUAAUUUUCCCUUUGCAGGAGUGAUGAGGAUGCUGAAGGCGAGGAGUUGUUUCUUCCACAUUCAAUCGCAUGUGACAAUGUAAGAAUACGAAUCUCAUAAUGCACUGUUCUUUGUAUGAGCCACUUGCCUGUUCUUUUUCUUUGAAAAUCUCAAGCAACAAUUUCUAAAAUCAAAUUGAGUGAGUAAACUCAACUAUCAAAAUUUAUUUCUAUACAUGGAACAGAAGAGUACAAGUUCUCACAUAAUAGACGCAAUUUAUAACGUUUCUAUUGGUUUUGGUGGCUUCAAAAUAGCUCCUGUUUUUGGUGUCACAUAUUUGAUAGCUCUUUUAAGCUUUUACAUUGUAUUGUUGUAGCAGGGUACUCCUGAACCCCACAACUUAACCAAAAAGACACUUCCUGCAAAAUCCAAGGGAAAAAAGCACCCUAAUGCCAUCAUCAAGUCUCAGAAUUCACAGAAGACCCCAUCUCAACAGGCAGCACCAACAAGUUCAGCAGCUACUCAAUUUGGUUUAACAGGCUAUUCCUCAGCUUACACGUAUGCAAUGGCAGCAUUUCAUUCAAUGCCAUCUCAGGUUUCUUCCCAAGACAAUUCUCACAUCCUAAAUCCAGCUCCUGCCAAUUCCAUUACCAAUGUCUCUGGUAAUCAUGGUAUACUGCUACCGCAGCCAGCAAGUUCAUUUCUGCCAGUGAUGUAUUGGCCUCCACCAAAUGCAUUUCUUCCUGUACCCUAUACUUCCACAUAUGGAUACCAUUCUUUUCCUACUGCUGCAAACUACGUGUCAAUCCAAACACAGCCUUAUCUCAAUCAUCCAAAGUCGUUAGAAGGUAGUGGAAAGAAUGAUUUAGCCUCAGAUGAAACUGACAGUGACACUGAUAGCAGCACUUCAGGCUGUAGUGAGCACAAGAAGAGUCCUGCAGUCCACAAAUGAUGGACUCAGCACUACUAUGGCACGCCAUAAAUGAUAUACUUGGAAUGUAUUAAUUUAUGUAAUAAUGUUGUUGAUGCUUGAAGUGAAAUGAUGCAUAGCAUAGCUUUUCUGUGCAGUUUGUAACAAACUUUAUGUUCUUACCGUCUUCUAUAUUUUUUUUUGGGAUUGCUGUACAAUUAAGCAAUUCUUUAAUUACAUUAUAAGCACACAUAACACUGCAUCUUUGUAUUAGAUUAGUAUGAAUAUUUAUUAAAUUGAGCAAUAAUCUUAAACAUCAACAAAUUAGGAACUGAGCCAUGGUGGACAGAACAAUAAUUGCAGUGCUUCUCUCUGAAGUAUGCAACAGCAUUAUGGACUUGGUUUCAAAGGUGUAUCAUAUUAAUAUUGUGACCGUAUUUUAUCUUAUUUCUUUUUGCAUAGUUCUAGAUCUUCUUAACAUUUUUUUAAAUUUCUUUUGUACUAUUGCAACUAAGCUUUCAUCGUAGUUAAAUAAACGCAAUAUAUUAUUGUAUUGAUAAUUAUAAGCAUGGACGAUUAGGCAGAGGAAAAUUGAGUUCUUUUAAACAAAAAUUUGAUGUUACUGAAAAUGUAUAGUUAGGAUAAAAUCAGUAAAAGGGUAAAAUUUGUUUAGUUUUAAGAAUAAAAAAAUACAGUUUCAAAAAUAAAACAAAUGUAUGGUUUAAGAAUAAAAAAAAACUUAAUUACUUAAGAAAAAUUUAAAAGCCAAAAUCAAACCAUCCAAAUUAAUAAUAUUAGAAGUUGUAAUAGUCAUUGCUUUCUUGUUUGACAAUUUAUUAGAUCCAAAUUUAAUUAUUAUUACUAUUAUUAGAUAAAAAAAAAUAUUAAAAGGUUUGUUGUUAGAAUUUCUUUAUAAAAGUUUUUUUUAAAAAAAAGUUAUUGUUUUUUUAGAAACAUAAAUGGUCAUAUUUUGGUUGUUAUAUCUUAUGAUUAAACUUGUACCAUAUAUAAGAGCACUAUGUUACUAGUUAUUCUUCUUCUGGUCCACAUACUCUCUUGUAUAGCAGAUUGCCUUAUCUUAACCACGUCCAUUUUUAGGAAAGACCCAUUUUCUUCAAUCUUAUUGUUCUGUGGGCUCAAUCAAUUUCAAUUUUAGUCUCAGUGGGAAACAACACUAAUAUUUAACUAACCAAUCUCAUUAGUCAAUUUGCCAAGACUUACCAACAAGAAUCUGCACACUUUUUUGUUGAUAUUCCACUGCUUAAUUCAGAAUUCUAUUCUGUCAUUUCUCAGUGUUGAUUUGCACUGCAACACAGGAACAUGCCAUCUGAAUGAUGAUUUUCUUUUUGGCUUUUCUGCAUAACAUUACCAGUGGUCAAAAAAUUAUUUAUCUGUCAUUUAUCACAUAUAUUUACAAGUAAAUUCAUAUAUUUUAUCCAUUUUAUUUUAGGAAUGGUUCUUACAAGUUCUGGUUAUUCUUAGAUGGAAUUCUUCCGGUUUUCUUGAUUUUUAGGUUUUGUGGUUUUUCAGUCAACCCUUCUACUUAAGCAAAAUGACUAAGGGAGAACCUGCAGAGAUAUUCUGACAUUAAGUUAGUCUGUAUGUAACUUAACCUUUGAUUGUCUCAUAUUCUGACAUUAAGUUAGUCUGUAUGUAACUUAACCUUUGAUUGUCUCUAUUGUUUCUAUUUAUACUUUUUGGUUGGAUUAAAGGAGGUCAAGGUAGUACAAGAAUAAUUAAUAAUUUAUCUAUUAUUUCUCAAUCCAUCAAAUAAAAAUUAAUCCAAUUUUUUUUUUCAUAAUUAGGUUGUUUUUUGUUUUUAUCUUUUAUUUAUCUAUUAUUUAUCUUUAUUGUUUUUAAUUUUUUUACAAUUUUUUUCAAAAUUUUAUUUAAAAGGAUGAUUUUAAUUUUAAAUACUAUUUUCAUGGAUGAAUAAGAUAUGCACUCAUAAAAAAAAUAUGAAUGGAUAUAUUGGACUGAAUUUUUAUCAAAUAGAUUUUUUAAUUAAAUUUUUAAUAAAUUAUGGAUUAAUGAAUUGUUUUCAUCUGCUGGUCAUUAUUUGAAUUAAAAUUUAAUAAGUUUCCCACCUGUACCUAACCACAUUCCUAUUCAUCAGUAAUUACUUUUGUCCCAAUUCUACAUAUUGAUUGCUUAAUCAGUUUGCUAACCUUCAAUUAAAAUCACAUAAGAUUAAUAUAAAAAAUUGUUAGUAACUUGUUUGUUCUGACUUGUAUAGUUGUGAUCAUAUUUAAAACUAUUACUCUGAUCUCUCAUCUGAAUUGGUGUGGUAGGUGCUUGUGUGCUUUGCUAUGAAGUUCUUACAAUCCUGGAGUAGUGCUUGAGGUGGGGAUAAUGGAUUGUUCAUGUAGAGUCUGAAUCCUAGACAUUGAUAACAAUACUUUUCUAAAACACUUUAUCUUUUUAGCUUUGACAAAAGUAAAAUAUUUUACUUUUUUAAUAAUGGCAAUGCUGGGUGGCUAGUUUAACAAGUGGUCCAUCAUAAACCAUAACUUUAAACUCACAGGCCCUUUUCAAUAUCCUAUCUACUUAGUCAUCAAAUACCAUUCUCUUGCUAUGCUAUUUACAAAGUAGCUUACAAAGAACCAACAAGAAAAGAAUCUAGAUUUCUCAUCCACGUCAAUGGACCACUUUUGUUUUACUUCAUCUUUGUUUUUGGACCACUUACAUGUACUAUAAUAUCUGUAUCUGUGACUGUGAGCAAUUAUUGUAGUCUGCAAUUAUACAUAUUUUGUUUCCUCUAUCCUGGGGCCUCCCAUGGGCCAUGGUUUAUGUUGAAAGAAAGAACAAGAUUUAGAGUAUGGAUAUGGAUAUGGAUACCAUAAACAUUUUUGUCAAUGCCAUCGAUAACAGAACUCACAUGCAUACAUUGUUGAUAUCAUAAUUAACACUGUAACAUACACUUCUACACAACUCUAAGCUACUUGCAUACUAAAUAUAAUAUCCUUAUUGAAAUAAAAAAAACAACAACAGUCACAUCUCAGUCCUCACAUAUCCCAUGAACCUGCCGACAAGGUUCAAACAUUGAGAAAGCGGUGGUCUGGAUCGGUUCACAUCACAUCACUCCACUCAACCAAACCAACUCAGUUAAAAUAAAACAUAGCAUGUUAUUUUUGCAUAAUAUUUUACAGAUUUCUUCUUCCUCAUAUACAGGAGAAGAAAGUUCAAGGCUCCUCAUGGUGCUUGUUGGCAACAUUGCACUGCUUUCUGAUCUCCCCCUUUGUGCCAGUGAGAGGAUUGUUUUCAGAGAGCAAAGCAAUGGCUCUAGAAAACUCCUUGAAGAAAUAGUCUUGGCUCUUGGCCAUUUUCUUCACAUAAGGCUUGGUCCUCUUGUCAUUGGCUAGUUGGUGAUCCACUAUCAACAACCCCUUGUUGUCCAAUAUGUUCCUGUAGUAGUUGUUGUCUAGAAUCAUAGGGGUGCCACGGUCGUUUCUCACGUACUGCACGGCCUUGGGGUCUGGGAUGGCAUCAGGGCACUUCUUCAGCAUGUGAGGGACAUGGUCAGGGUUCAGCGCUGAAUCAAUCUCUGGGUACAAACGGUGCACCAACUUCACACAAUGGGUUCUACCAACACUGUGUGCUCCUGUUCAACAAAAUAUCUCAAUAAUUAAAGCUUAAAUCUGCAACCAAUAACGCCACGUGUUGCUUUUUUUAAUAUUGCAUCAAGUUUCAUACUGAGCCCACAUACAUUUAUGAAACAAUAAAUAUGACUCAUACAGUUUCCUGUGCUAAUUUAUGUAUGCAUUAUGAAUAUGUUUAUGCAGAGAAAUUAUUGCAUAUAUUAUGAAUGAAAGAACAAGUAUGGUGGCACAAGAUUUGCAUAAUGGGGCUUGUCUUUUUGAUGAACGUGUGUAUGUAGAAGAUGGAUUAUGGGAGGAUGUAGAGUAGUUCAUACCAAGCAAUGCAACCACCCCGGGAGUGUCAAUUCCCAUGGCACCAAACUUGUCAAGAACUGAAGAAAUGGACUCAUUGUGGUCUGGGAGGAACUCUUCCACCACAUCAGCUCUGCUCCUUCUACCAUCCCUUCUUCCAGUUUUAAGAGGGAUAUGGGGGCCUCCUAGCUGUAACACAUUCAAUUUGGAGGCUUCCAUCAAAAUAAUUAACUAUAAGAAUGAUAAUGGAAAAACAAUGAAAGCAGUUGCCAAAACGACUCUGGACUAAAUAAGUCUCCAAAUACUACUUCCUUCACACUAAAAAUAGAGUGAUCUGGUAGAAUUAGUUGAUAUCUUUAGCUCUCAAAAGUGAACUUCCUUAAAAGACGAAAAAAAGUAGCAAAUGACAGAUCUAAUGAGGGUGAGCAAAAGUGAGAAAUGGAAGAAAACAAAAGGAAAGGACAAGGAGUUAGUUACCGAAACAAUGCCAUCUCUGGCAGAGAGAACGAGUAUAUCAGCACAGGAAACAACUCCUGGGCACUCCCUUUCCACAGCUUCUUUGAUGGUCUCAAUGUACCUGAAAUUCCUCAAACCAAAGCUUCUGUCUGUCUCCUUCUCAGACAAGCUCCUUCUUGUGGAGUCCAGCAAGAGUGAAGCAUCACAACUCUGCCCUCACAAACAAAACAAAACAAAAGAUCAAACUCCUUCAUUAAAGAUUAACUAACAAAAAUAAAACAAAAUGGGCAACAACAUGCAACUUGCAAACCAAUAAGAAAAAGCAAGAAAGCAAGGAGUUGCAUAAAAAAAACCAAGAUUAAUCACCUGAACAGCACAGUCAUGGAAGAUGUUUCUGAGCCAGGAGAAAGCAGUGUUCUUGUGGCGUUUGUAGAGAAGCUUGACUUGUUCUUUGAUGAUAUCUUCAGCCUGAGGACAUGUUUCCUUGUAGAAGUUCAUGACAAGGCCAUUAUCUUGGCCUUCCUCUGCAAGAGAGGGAGUCAGCAGUGAAAGUGCUGAAAAGGAUAAGACAGCCAAAAGGGUUAAAAGCUUGGGAGCCAUUCUCACUCACUCUCCUGCUUACACUCCUCUCUGCUUCUGCUUAAAUAAAGUUCAAGUGCAAAUAAAAAACUACUGUGAGAGAGAAUGGUUUGGUAAAUAAAAUGAAAAUUGGUUUUUGAGUGAUGAUGGUGAUGGCUUCAUGAUGAUCCAAGGCCACUCAACCA
This 94556-nucleotide long non-coding RNA is filed under the name Phaseolus vulgaris (common bean). Its description in RNAcentral is "long non-coding RNA (PVUL_LNC003880)". Lineage: Eukaryota; Viridiplantae; Streptophyta; Magnoliopsida; Fabales; Fabaceae. The record is from RNAcentral.